UUUUUAAAUAGUACUAUUUGAUUUUUAUGUAAAGAUAUGCCUUGUAAUUUGGAUUUUGUAUGAAACUUAGUUACUACUUGAUAUAAUAAUGUCACGGAUUAUAAUGUUCUAUUUUUUAGUUUAGAAUGUGAUGAAGUAGAAGCGUAGAAUAAAUUUGUAGUUCGUUGAUUCAUGUAAAAUACCAUAAAAUAAUUAUGCAAGUAAUUUGUUGAUCCAAAGAAUAUCGAAAAAAAAAUGAAGAAGGGGUCAUGAAUUGACCAUAGAACCCUAUUCAAUAAGUGGAACACAUUAGUUGUCCAUAAUUACUGAAAUUUUUAUUGAAAAAAUCACUAUUGCAUCACAAUCCUCUCAAUCCUUUUUAAAUAAACCAUUUAAAAUUCAAACUAAAAGAAAUUGGAAAAGGAAACCUAUCCUACGUUAAGUAAAAUAAAGGUAAUUAUCUCUAUCUAAAAUUGAAAAAGAAAAAAUAAAAAAAAUAAACUUAAUUCCUAUCUAUAUGUGUUGCAUUAAUUUCACCAAGUAGGAAAAGAUUCGACCUUGAACGUUGUUAUCUCUAGAAAAAUGUUGUUAUUUGUUAGUUUUUAUAAUAUAAAUAUAUUGCAUCUCAAUGUUUGAUAUUAGAAAAAUAUAAAAUUUUAUCAUAUGUAGUAUUUUUUAUAAUCUUUCUAUAAUUUACAUUUUAAUACUAUUUUUUUUAUUAAAUGAUAUUAUAAAUUGAAUUUAUUUAUUUAGCACGUGCAAAACUUGUGCAUAUGAUAUAAUUUUUUUUUUCUUGCAUGUUGAUUGAUAAUUAAAAUAUUUGCUUUUUAUCAAUGUUUUCAGAACCGGACUGGUGAUUGAACCGGAAAAGUUACCGGUUCACGGUUCACUAGUCGAACCGGCGGUCGAACCACGGUCGAACCAGUGAUGUCAUAAAUAUAUAAUUUAUAUAUUAUUAAAAUUAAAAAUAAUUAUAAAAAUUUUAAAAUAUAUAUGAAUAAAUUAAACAUCAAUAAUAUUAUUUUAUAUCUUUGAUAUUAUCAAAUUAAAUCAUAUUAAUAUUUUAAAUUUUAUCAAAUGAAAUAUGUAUAAUAUUUAAAUGUGAAUAUAUAAAAAAUGAAAAUUUAAACUAAUUUCAUAAUUUUUAAAAAUAUUAUAUUAUUUUUAUUUAAUAUUAUAAAAAAAUUUUAAAAUUUAAUAUAUAUUGUUUUGUUUGGCAUAUUAGAUAUCAAAAUGCAUGUAGUCGAGUGGUGUCCUAGGUAGACUACAACCGAGGUGGUCCAAGGUUCAAACCGAGAUUUGUUAUGUUUUUUUUAUAUUUAGCAAUCCCACAUCGGAAAAUAAGAGGAAUAAGGAGUCAAAUGACUCCUAUAAAAGCCAUCCUCGGCAAGGGCAUUUCAUAAUCUUGUGGGCUCAAGACUCAGCCCAUAGUGAUUAAAGUGGGUGUAUGGGCUCUGUCAUAUGACAUGCCCAACAUGGGCUUUAGUAAAAACCAUUUAAAUUCUAUGGAAUCCCUUCUUCCAUGCUUACAAAAUGAGGGGUAAUUUGAAUCAUUCGAUUCGUUUAGAACCAUCCGGUUCCACCGGGUUACCGGUUCGACCACUGGUUUAGGCGAUUCGUGGCCGGUCCAAUACCCAAGUGGUUAAAAAGGGUAAAUCGGACCGAAAAUGCAACCGAUUGAGGGUUGAACUGGUUGGACUGGCCGGUCCGGUCUGGUUUUUAAAACAUUGAUUUUUAUAUGUUUAUAAUAUUUAAUUUUUGUUGUAACUCAUUGUAGACCCCCUCCCGGGGAGGAGGAGUUUUUGGCCAUUUUUAUUUUACUAUCAUGAUUACUCUUCUGACCACCCCGGGAAUUAGGCUGAUGGGGGCAGCCAGAUUAGACGGAAUGCAAAGAGUAGGUGAGGGUUGGGAAUAAAAAGAGCGGGAAAAGGAAAGAGCUAAGAGAAGGGAUUUUUUUUUUAGAGAAAGGGCAGAACGAGAGGGCUGAUGGGGGGCGUCUGAAAUUUUUUUUGGGUCCGAAGCUGGGGAGAAACACGGGCCUGCAGGCUGGGAAGAGAGCUGGGGCAUCUGCAAUUUUUUUGGGUCCGAAGCUAGGGAGAAAAAUGGAGGAUGGCUCGAGGAGAAGAGGUUUGAAGAAGUGACAAAAGAGAGAUUUGUGAGAGAGUAGAAAUGGGCGUCUCAAGCUGAGUUGAGGAGGAGUUUGAAGCUUCGGUCCAGGUAAGAUUUCUGCAUGUUUUACAUACCUCACUUCAGUUUGCUUUAUUCUAUUUCUUGUUAAUUUCGGUUCCUGCUUGGUGCUUAUUAUAUGGAUAGCGAGACAUAUGAUGCGUUAGAGAGCGUGUGUAUUGGAUUGAGAUCAAUUAAAGGGGUGGAAAAGAUGUCCAAUUAUAUGAUCAGUAGUGGGUUUGGUCCGGAUGAGUAUUUGGGGAACAAGUUCUUGUUGAUGCAAGUAAAAUACGGGAUGAGGAUUGAUGCACACGGACUGUUUGAUGAAAUGCCAAUAAAGAAUAUUUUAUAGUUUUUUUAACACCCCUACACAUGAUUCUCCCAUUCAUAUCAUAUUUGCUUCAAAUCCCGGAAGCGACCCCCACUAGCGACGUUGAGCCGAAGCUCCUCGCCGUCGGCGACGAGGAGAAUGACAGGCUGCAAGCUUGCAUGGGGAGGUGCCUACAGCUGCUAUUGGUCUUGGAGGUUUGGGCCACCAUGCUAGUGGAUUUGGGCCUGAGAUGAAGCCCCAAACCCAAAUAUGAUGGUGAAAAGGCUUGGGUCCUUUUGCUAAUGGAUGUGGGCUUGGGAUGAAGCCCAAAUCCAAGCUUGAUGAUGGAAGGCCCCCAUGAUUUGUCCAUCCACUUUAAGAUCGGCCCAUACUCAUUUCAAGCUGGCCCAUCUGGUUGUUUCCACCUUAUAUAGUUCACUUUCUCUAAAUCACUCAUUUCUCAAUAAACUCUCUAAUUUCUAAUUUCCAAGCCCAACUUACAAAAAUUCAAUCUUCAAAUGAAACUUCAAAAUUCAGAUUUUUAACAUUUAAUUCCAAUUUCCGAAUUCUCAUAUUCCCAUUAAUUUAUUUGAUCAUUAGUAUUUCAUUUAUUUAUUUCAAAGCUUCAUUCUAAAUCAAAUUCUUCUAAAACUUCUGAUUACCGAAUUAAAUUUCAAAAAUUCCAAUAUUCACAUUAAUCUAUUUAAUUAUUAUUAUUUUAUUUAUUUAUUCUAAAAUUCCAUUUUAAACAAUUCAUUAAAAUUUCCACUUCCGAUUUUAAUUUCUAAUUCCAAAAAUUCCAACAUUCACAUUAAUCUAUUUAAUUAUUAUUAUUUUAUUUAUUUAUUCUAAAAUUCCAUUUUAAACAAUUCAUUAAAAUUUCCACUUCCGAUUUAAUUUCUAAUUCCAAAAUUCCAAAAUUCACAUUAAUCUAUUUAAUUAUUAUUAUUUUAGUUAUUUAUUUUGAAAUUCCAUUUUAAACAAUUCUUCAAAUUUCCAAUUUCUGAACUUAAUUUUCGAUUUCCAAAACUCUAAUUUUUUUCAAAUUUAAUAUCCAAAAUUCAAAUUCUUAAAUUUAAUUUUUCAAGAUUCCAAUCUUUAAAUAAUUUUCGAGACUCUAAUUUCCAAAUAAAUCUCAAAAAUCCAGUUUUCUCUCGAAUAGCUUUAAUUCCACUCCGAUUUUUAAAUAAUGUUCUAUUUUUUUUUUAUUUUUACACAAGCAAGAAUGAUGAGUCUUCAUAAUUCCGAAAUAAUGGGAUUCGCGAGAUUAAUUCAAGCAAGAUCAAUCGGGCUUUGGUGGGGGCCCCACAUAUGUGAUUUUAUGACUGACUGAUUGAUUAAUUGAUUUAUUUACCAUGCUUGUUUGAUUUAUUCUGUUCGUUGACAUGCGCAUAAUUUUAUCUAUUCGUCAUUCACUAAUCCUGUUUCAUGAUAGCACAUUCGUGACUGGAGGACCAGGUACGCAUCCACUCAUAUUUUGUUCAUUCUUUAUACAUGCUCUGCUUCCCACGUCGUGCAUGAUUAAGGUGAGUAUCCAUUGACUUUCUCAUUGGUUGCCACGUCAGCUUCAUUCUAUUAGUAGAGACCCGAUUUCAUGGACUUAGAGGGGUGCUACGGUUCAUACCAUACCUUCCCGAUAAGUAACCUGACCCCCGAGCCCGAUCCGGUUUUUUAUAGACCACCUUUUCCAGAAUAAGGAGUCACACUUAGGGUUUUUCUUAUUUUGUUUAUCCUUUUUUAAAAAUAAAACAAAAAUAAGUGGCGACUCCAAGUCAGAUUUUUAAUGAAUAAAAAUCAUUUUUUUAAAAUAAAAAUCGAGUUCGCCAUCGAGUGGGAAACGCAUUGAGCCAAAAUGCGAGGUCCACACUCAUAAAAAAUUAUAAUUGAAAUAUCAAAAUUUUAAUAUUUGUUACUUUAUAUAACAUAAAAAUUAUGACAAAUUAAUACAUAUGUAGAGUACUAAAAUAUCCCUUAAAAUUCAUAAACUUUACACACAUGUAAUGAAUAUGCAUUAUAGGUGCAACCCAUAUGCGUGCAAUGUCCGUAUAACCCAUAUGCAAUGUACAAUAUAACUAAUAUAGAAAAUAGUAUAUCAUGAAAGAAUAAUAAUAGAAAAAACUAAAAAAAUCUAGACUUGAUAAGAAAAUGAAUCAACAAGACAAACAUAUCAUUAAAUGGAAGCUUCUUAUCCAUUGGAUGUUUAAUUUUAAAACUUUCAACUAUUUAUAAGUUUUUUAACUUUUAUUUUAUUUUACUUUUAAAUUAGGAUUCAUAUUUUAUUUUAUAUCUUGUAUUUGACAUUUUAAUAUUACAUUUAUAUUUUAACAUUAUAUACUUAACUAUUAAGUUUAUAGUUUAUAUAUAUAUAUAUAUACAAAGAUAUUUCAUAUGAAAAUAGUUUUAUGGCUCAAAAAUAUUAUUGUAAAAUAUUUAUAUUCGUUAAUUAUUUAUUGUAUUUUAAUUAUUUAAUUUUUUUUUAGUAUUUUAAAUGUUAUGAGUCUACUUCAUCUUAUAUUUUAAUUUAUGACAAUUUUAAUUUUAAAUAUUUCAUUUGAGAAUAUGGAAGCUAAUCAAGUAGAGGUGUUGCAUUGAAAAAUUGAUGGGAUCAAUCCAUCUAUCAUAGAUGCAGUUUCAGGUCACAAUGAUCCUCCAUUCAUAGUGAUUAUGUUGGGCAACAACUCUAUCAUAAUUGAUAUAUCUAUUGUUUUCAGUAUAUAAUUUAUGGAGUUGGACAUGUGUUAUUCCAAAACAAAAAACAAAAAACAAAAAUUUAUAUAAAUAACUUGAAGCCAAGGUUAAGGGUUGUGAUUGCACCAUAAGAAAGAAGAAGCAAUAUAAGAGUUGAUGACGACAUUAUAUUUCAUUUAUGUACAUUUUCUACUAGUGCCUAUAAAGUAAUUAAUUACUUAGAUGUUCCUUCUUGACCUUUGUUUACAUCUCAAAAUUAUAUUCUUGUUGUCAAUUAGCACCUAAGUGCAAAGACUUUAAAUUGAUAAUACUUUAAAAGUAUCCUAAUAGUCAAUCCCAAAGAAAGUGACGGAGAAAUCAGUUUAAAAAAGAGAUAAAAUGCAAGUAUUAGAGGUUAAUUAAUAAGUUGGGAUAUAAUCAAAUUGAGUAGGUGAAGUAUAAACUAUUGUAGAAUUCAUUUUAACCAUUUCCUUCUAUAUUUAAAACAUAUCAAAAUCAAAAUCAAAUACAUAUGUAGCCAAAUAAACAAUUUCUACCAACAUAUAAAAUGUCAUUUUAAUUCAUGCACGAACGAAAGGUAAACCCUACUUGUAAGCUAACUUAUUGAAUUCAAAAAAGCAAAGAAGUGUUUUGAGAGAGAAACGAAGAACAACAGUGCAAAGAAGAAUAGAAAGAGAAAAAAAUGUCUAAAAUAUAUAUCUUAUUUCUGUCUUUUUUUUUUUUUUUUUGCAUAUAUUUAUAUAUGAGAGAGUAUAACUAAAUUUUUUUUGUUGUAACUACAUUUGGUGUAUAUGGACCUACUUUUGUUUUGAGCUUGUGAGUUGGUGCUUUACAUGUGAGGCUAAGGGAUGCUUCUAGAAUUAUUCUCAACACUUCCCCGCAAGCAUAACUGCCAGUCACACACAAUAACCUUGGACCUCAGAAUUUCAAAUAAUUUUGUGUAACUGAUUUUGUGAGCAUAUCAACAAUCUGAUCUACAAUGGGUACAAACCUCACUUCAAACUCUUUCCGACCCACCUUCUCCCGUAUGAAGUGUACAUCAAUCUCCAUAUGUCUCGUUCAAGAAUGAUAUACAGGAUUAUCAACCAAAAUUGUUACUCCAAGAUUGUCACACUAGACAACUGCACUUUGUGGUAGUGAUAUGCUCAACUCACUUGAUAGGGAUUGCAACCAAGUUAUGUUUGCUACUACUUGAGCUAAAGCUUUAUAUUCAAACUCAGUGCUUGAAUGAGUCACAACUCUUUUUUUUUUUUUUUUUUUUAAACCCAUAAAAUCAUAUUGCCACAAAAAAAAAAAAAAAAAAAGUAUGUAGUAGCCACCAAUGGAAUAUCACUCAUCGGUAUCACUCUCCCAAUCAACAUUUGAAUAGGCAAUGAGAUCAAAAGAAGUUGGGCAAAAAAAAAAAAACCAAAGGUGGAAGUGCCUUUUAGAUAACACAAUACACGCAUGCAAGCUUGUCAAUCAAAUAGAGUAGAUUGUUAUAGAUAUUGAUUGACUAUAUUGACAAUAUAAGAAAGUUGUGAUUAUGAUAUAUUAGAGAGCAUUGAUGGUACUACAAUAAAGAGUAGGAUUAUCAAAAGGAGCAUUGUCUAUAUAACUCAAUUUCCUUCUUAGGUUGCUAGAGUAAGAGCAAGCUUGCCACCAAACAUUUUGCUACAUUACAACAAAUCAUGGAUGUAACAAAACUGACAUAAGUGAAGGCCAGAUGAUGUCCAAAGAGCUUAUAUACCAAGAAAAAAAAUAUAAGGAGCCAAGUCGCUUCAAAGAAAUUAAAUUGUUGAUGCAAAUGAUCAAUGAGAGUGUUAAUGACAAAGGGAUGACUGCUAGUGACAAGGAUGUCAUAUGUUGGAUAUUUUGGUAAUUAUGGGCCUACUUAUUAACACAUUAUACAUUAAAUUAUCUUGUUUUUGGGUCUAAUUAAAUGCAAUCAAUUAAGUUGAUGAUGGGCCUUUAAAGCAUCUCUAUAUAUAUAAACUAUAUGGGCUUUGCAAUGUGUAGAGACCAAUUUUAUUUUAUUUAUUAAUGAUGGGCCGAUAAAUAAAAUAAAAUAAUAAAGGGUAUAAAUAGGGUUAUGGUCCCCAGUUUAAACGAGGAUAUAAAAAAAAUUAUUUGUUAUUCACAUCUCAUCAAUGAGUGAUUUGAGGCUACAAUACUCGUUUCAAACAUAGAAGACAAGACCCAAGUACAUAAUCUCAAUGGAUUCAAGUAUGUCUUUCGAUAUUAUUAUCCCAUAGAUUUAACAUGAGAUUUUGAUGUAUCUAUUGUCUAAAUGAUUAGUUUCUAUAAUCAUUCUAUAUGAUUUGUGAUUCUCCAACAUCAUCAACCUAAAGAAGAAACAAAAUCAACAUGGAGCCCUUGUGAAGAAUGAACAAGGAUGUGUUAGCUUGGGAAUUCCAAAAACCAAAAUGGAGGAGACAAUUCCUCAAUCGUUCAUAGCAAGCACAAGGGGCCUAGUCAAGGCCAUAUAAGGCUUUUCGAAGCUGACAAACAUGGGUGGGCUUGGUGACAUCAACAAACCGCUUCAAUUGUUUCAUAGACAUAUUCAUGGAGCCAUCUACGAAGGAAAGCAUUGUUAACAUUUAAUUGUUGGAUGUCCUAGCCAUGAGUAACAACAAGACUUAAGAUAAUGCAAAUGGUAGAAAGAUUGAUGAUAGGAACAAAAGUGGCAGAGAAGUCAACCCCAAGUGUUUGAUGAAACCUCUUAGCCAUAAGCUUGACCUUAUAGUGCUAAAUAGAACCAUUCGAAUUAAGUUUCAACUUAAAAACCCACUUAUCCCCAAUGACUUUCAUUUGAGGUGAGCAAAGAACAAGAGACCAAAUUUGGUUCUGAGUUAAGAUAUCAAAUUUUGACACCAUCCAAAUUAAGUUACAACUUAAAAACCCACUUACUCCCAAUAACUUUCAUCUGAGGUGAGCAAGGAAUGAGAGACCAAGUUUGGUUUUGAGUUAAGGUAUUAAAUUUUGACUACAUAACUUGUUUCCAUAGAGGAUGAGAUAAAGUUUCGACAAUAGAAGAGGGUUUAAGUGAAUGGGAAGAAGUAGGAAGGGUAGUGAGAAAGGAAAGUUUAGGUUUGAAUAUGCCUGACUUGGAAUGUGUUUGCAUAUGAUGGGAAACAGAUUAAAGAUACGAUGACACAAGGGAUAAAGGAAGAGAGAGAGAGAGAGAGGUCGUAGUAGAGAAUGGGGUGGGAGAAUGAAGAGUUGGGCUAGUAGAUACAUGGUAAGUAGGGAUGCAAAGUGAAGAAACAAUGGGAACUUGGGAAACCUAGUAUGCACCAUGAUCAAUCAAGAAAAAGCUUGGAGAGGAAGACAAGAGGGAGACCUAAGAGAAGUGUGUGAGGUAGGCGAGGAAAAAAUAGUAGACACAUUGAUAUGAUGAUGUUGAAACUUAAAAUUAUAGGGAAAAGGGAAAUUAGUUUCAUUAAACACAAUAUAAGUAAUAUAAGCUUGACCAAAAGAAUCAUGACAUUUAUACCUCUUGUGGACAUCACUAUACCCAAUGAAAACACAUUUUUUAGUGUGAAAAGAAAACUUAUGGGUGUCAUAAGCAUGAAGGUUGGGAAAACAAGUGUAACCAAAGCUUUUAAGGAAAACAUAAUCAGGAAGGGUGCCAAAGAGUUUAUGAUAUGGAGAAGAGAUAUGGAGGACAGGUGUGAGUAACCUAUUGAUGAGAAAUGUGGCAGUAUGAAAGGCUUUCCACCAUAAAUGGAGAGGUAAUUAUGCUUGUGCUAAUAAGGUGAGACCAUACUUAAAUACAUGUCGAGGUUUGUGCUCAACACGACCAUGUUGUUGGUGCACAUGGAGGCGAGGAUGACGAAAAUGAAUUCCAUGUUUGAGAAGAAUAGGAAGAAAAGGUAUGCACUCCCAACCUCAAUCAGAUUGAGAGGCUUCAAUAGACAACUUGGACUAUUUUUCAACAAUCACUUUGAAGAUAAGAAAGAUAUUAAGGGCAUUAGAUUUAGCUUUUAAAGGAUAAAUCCAGGUAAACCAAGUAUAUUCAUCAAUAAAAUAAAUAUAAUAGAAGAAACCAAUACUGGACUUGACAGGAAAAAGCCCUCACAUAUCAAUAUGAAUCAACUGAAAAGGUGUCAUUUUGGUUGGAGUUAGGAUUAAAAAAAAAACAUAAUUUUUUCCAAACUAAUAAGAAUCACAAAAACUUGGAGAUAAGUUUCCAUUAUACAAAAAAAAAAAAAAAAAAAAAGGCAUUACAAGACAUCAAAACAAACUUGAGUACAUGUAGAGAUGAGUUACCCAACCUUUGGUGUCAGACAUCAAGUUGAUUAUAUCUAACAAACUUUAAAAUUGGACAAUAUUAGAGCAACAACUCUAGUUGAGAAUCUCGUUUAUCAUUCUCAAACAAAACAUAUAAAGAUUGAUGUACACUUCAUAUGGGAGACGGUGGUUUAAAAAGAACUUAAAGCGAGGUCUGUACCCACUAUUGAUCAGAUGUUAAUGUGGUUACAAAAUCAAUUUUAUAAAAUAGAUUUGAAAUACUAAGUUCUAAGCUUACCAUGUGUGACUGACAAUUGCGCUUAUAGGGGGUGUUAAGAAUAAUUCUAGAAGCAUCUCUUAGCCUCACAUGUAAAGCACUAGCUGAUCACCAACUCAAGACAAAAACAGAUCCUUAUACGCUAAAUGCAGUUACAACAUAAAGAAUUUGAUUGUAUGUUCUCAUAUAUAAAUAUAUAUAUAUAUAUAUAUAUAUAUAAUGCAUUAUAGGCAUUUUUUUUCUCUUUGUUUUUCUCUACACUAUUAUUCUUUGUUUCUUUCUCAAAACAUGUCUUUGUUUUUUUGAAUUCAUUCAUGGUAUCAGAGCUCUUGUCCUUCACAAAGCAAUGAUUCUGGUGAAACUCAACAUAAACAUUAUUAUCUACAGUGAACUUGAAAAUGCUUAAAAGAUUUUUAGUAAUUUUUGGAGAAUGUAAAAUAUUUCAAAGAUGCAAGGUUUUGAGAAAAGAAAGUAAAGAAGAAUAACCAAUAUUUUGAAUGCAUAAACCUUGACCAUUGCCUAUAGUAACCUUGUCAUGACCAUGAUAAUCAAAUUUAAAGCUCAAGUUGUCUUGAUUACUAGUCACAUGGGUUGAUGCACCAUUAUCAAAGUACCAAGAUGGAUUUGUUACUAUAUUUGGAAGGGCAACCAUAACAACUAAGGAAUUACUUUAUGGAGACUGAAAAACUUAAUCAAAUUAGUAGUAACAGUUUAUAACAAUGUGUCCUUGUCAACCACAAACUUGAUAAGUUGGGUAAGAUCCGUUGCUUUUACCACGACCACCAUGCCCUCGACCAAAAUUCUAAAUACCAUGAAGAGUAUUACAACCCCCAGUAUGUGCCCUAUCAUUUCCAUGAAUAUUUCUAGAGCCACGACCACCCUUGUAAGUACCAACUACUGUAAAAUUGGUAAAGACAUUUUGGAGAUCAAUUUGUGUGCAAGAAUUCAACUACUCGAUCCAAGUUUCAUGAUUCUACAACAUUGUACAUACUUUUGGUAAAAUGAAAGUUAUGAUUGUGCUAUAACAUUAAUGACAACUACUAGAUCAUAUUAUGUUCCUACACCAACCAACCCAUUCAUUAUAAGAUCCUCAUCAGUAAGAGAUGUUCCAGAUGCUACUAGAUUAUUUGCAAUGGAUUUGAUUUUGCUAAUAUAAUCAGUUAUUAAGAUAAAGCCUUUUUUGGUUAUCUACAUUUGUAUUUUCAACUAAAGCAACCUUGCCUUGGAAGGUGAGGCAAAGAGAUGCUUCAAAGCUUCCUAGACUUGCUGAGAAGUGAUACAACCUACAAUUUGACCAACAACACCUUCUAACAUUAAGGCAAUCAUCCAGCCAAAGGAUCAACUGAUCAUAUCUUUGCUAGUAAAAAUACUUUGGAUUUAUCAUUUGAUUAAGGCCAAAGAAAUCACCUACAACACUAAUAAACUCAUCCAAGCAAGGUUCCAUUCCAAUAACAAAACCAUCAAUACCAUGAACUUUAAGUACAGGAAGGAUCUAUGACCUCCAAAUAAGGUAAUUACCUCUUUCCAACUUGAUUGAUAGAGUGAAGUUGAGAUUAGAAACAACGGAAAUAAGAUUAAUAAAGUAGAAAAACACCAUUUCUAGAUUUGUAGUUAUGGUUAGAGUUGCAAUAGUGGACAUGAUAGGAGUCAAUCACCAAGUCUCACAUUGCUCUGAUACCAUGAUUGAAUUAAAAAAUAAAUAAAUAAUAGAGAAGUGUUUUGAGAGAGAAACAAAGAGUAAAAAAAAUGCUUAGAAUUCAUCUUUUUUUUUUUUUUUUUUUACAUAUAUUUAUAUAUGAGAGCAUACAAACAAAUUCUUUUUGUUGUAAUUGCAUUUGGCUUAUAUGGAUCUACUCUUAUCUUCAGCUGGUGAGCUUUACAUGUGAGGCUAAGGGAUGCUUCUAGAAUUAUUCUCAACACUAACCAACAGCAUGCUAAAAUUGAUGAAUUGUAACAUUUGAACAUCAUCCAUUUUUAUUGAAAAAAAUGAAGUCCAAAAUUGAUUUCCCAAAAAAAUUAAAUUACACUACAUGGUUUUCGAUUUUUUGAACAUGCUGGAAAAUCAAUAAUACACUUCAUUUUUCUGGAAAAUCCAUGAAUUGAGGUAGGCCAGACCCCAAUUAGUCUACAAAAAACCUCCAUUUGGUUGCUAUGAAAACACAAGAAAAUAUAUUUUCAAAAACUGUACAGAAAAAAAAAAAAAAAAAAGGUUUUGAUAGAGAACCUUCUUCAAUGAAGCUUUUUUAGGUGUAGAGAGGUUUCAGGUGGAAUGAAUUAAGAGAGAUCUCCCAUGUAGUCUUCAUCCUCAUUAUCAUCAUCUUUUGUGGUUAUGUUAUUGAAUGAAAAUAGAGGAUGAAAGUUUCAAAAUGGGCUUGUGGAGUUUCUAUGGUGUGAUUAUCAAUGAGAUUGUGGGAAGCUUUCCUCAAUUGGCUUCGUAGGUGAACUCUUUUGUUUCUCCAAUUGAUUUUUGAUUGGUUACUAGUUUUUGUUUGUUUAAGAAGAAUUUUAUUCUAGGUAGAUUUUUAAUUUUAUUUAUUUUUUAUUUUGAAUUUUAUUUUUCAUUUAAGUGUGUCAUGUAGCCACACCUACAUACAAUUUAAAUAUAAAAUAAUAUAUGAUGUAACAGCUUAAAUAAGUAUUUUUGUCCCUUACUUUUUCAUAUCCUUUUAUCAAUUUCCCAUCAAUUGUGGGUAUUAUAUGGAUGUUGAGCCCAUUAUCAAGCCCAUAUGAAGUGAAAGCAUAAUUCUCCCUAAAGGAUUUAGCUUUUUUUUUUUUUUUUUUUUUGUGUGGGGGGAAUAGCAAUGACCGUGGCCAUUGCUCUACCGUGGAAUUCCAAUAAAGGCAGUCAGUUGUGCAUUUAUUCUUCAAACAACCCUCUUUUACAAUUUUUUGUUUUUUUUUUUAGAAUUUACUAAAAUUGUAAAAAAUUCACCCCACUUUUGAAAUAAAUAUUCAAAAUUCGGUCUUUAAUAUAAAUUUAAAAAUUGCAUCUCAAAAAUUGCGGCUUUAAUACAUAUUUAAAAAUCAUAUUAUAAAUUUGUAUUUGAUACCUUUUAAUCAAUUAAUUCUAAAAUUAACCAUCACAGGUGUAAUGUUAACAUGGGAAAGGAGGGCAAAUAUCUAAAAACAGAUCUAUAUCUGCAGAUGAUAGGUACUCUCAAGCGGUGGAUGGUGUGAACCAACUUAUGAAGCUGCUUCUUCUCAACCAUAGGUCGUUCAUGGCAGCCCCUCUGGGUUCAGUCAGGAGGGCUUUGUUGUCUACGUGUUCUGCCGUCAAAUGGGAAGGUGGCGUUUCCAUGGUUCAGGGAGCUUCCAGAGGAAUUGGCCUUGAGUUUGUGAGCAUUUACUCAUUUUCAUUUUAUGCCCUCCUUUACAUAAUAUUUUAUCACUGAUUUCUAUUUCUUUCUUCAGUUGUAUGAUAAUGUGGCAUUUUCAUUUGCAUAAUAUUGUGGAAAAAUGUGGUUUGUUUCCAGGACUUUCUUGAAGCAUGGUAUGCCUUAUUUGCCUAUGCUUGAUUGGUUGGAAUUGAAAUUUUGUGGCAUUGUUCAGUAAUUACUGAUGGUGUUUUUUUUUUUUUUUUUUUUUUUUUUUUUUUUUUUUUUUUUUUUUUUUUUUUUUUUUGUCUUGGGUGGGUGGGGACUGGGGAGGAAGUCUAAGAUGGUGAAUGAAUACUCCAUUUAGCUUUGCUUAGAGUUUGGGUUCUGGGCAUGAAAAUCUGUCUAUGUAGAGUGGUGUUAUUGUGUUAUCGAUGCACUCUUUUUCUUGAUUUCCUUUUUGAUAUAAACUUUCUAUGAACAUUCUCAUCCAAUCUGAAUACUUAAAUCAGGGAAGACAACCCUAUUUUGGUGAGUUCGAGUAGUCUUAGGUCCAAAAUUCCAGUCGAGUCUUGGGUCAAACUUGGAUAUGUUGGCUUCUUGUCUGACCUGGAACUGACCAAGCUCUGAAUUUCUCACCCUUAUUUCUUAUAUUUCUGAAGAAGUCUAAAAUCUUUUGCUUAUAUAAAUAUUCCUGAAAGUUUGGGGUGAAAAAUUCUCUUCAGAAAUACAGGUUUGGAAGUUGUUUGGUUUUAUUUUGAGGUUCUUGACUCAAGCUAAUUUGUGCUAAUUGCAUGUAAACUAAUAUAUUGUAUAUAAUACAGUCAUAUUAUUGUAAUAUUUAUAUUAUCAUAUAAAAUACAUUGAAAUUUUUGGCUGUAUUCAGUUUCAUUGAUUUUAAAUCAGGCCAGUUCUGGAGAUAGGUUGUUCUCUGAUCAGAGUUUGAGUCCAGACUGUGUCAAGAUUGAAUGCCAAAAUACUGGUUAUGAUUUUAAUAUGUUUGCCAUCAUAAAUGAACAGAUGGUUAUAUGAAUGGUUGAUUUUAUUUAUGCUUUUAGUAUGUUUGCCAUUUUACCAAUUUUUGGCAUUUCUCUAGACAUCAGUUUUCUGUAUAUUCAUUGAAUUUGGGAAACUGCUGAAUUGUGUAAUUCAAAUAUGCUGAAUUUUGGGAACCCUCUAUAUAAGGUGUAUGAUGACUGCUUGCUCAAUGGUGUCAUGCUGUAGUGAUUUUGCAAAUUCAACCACAAGUUCUCUAUUUGAUUAAUGGAGAAUGUACUAGCAUGAGUUGUUAAGGGUGCAAACCUGAAUGGUGCUCAAUUAAUUAGUGCUAUCUUAGUGGCUUUUCUGCUAACUCACUAGAAAGCUCCUACUACAGUUUUUGCCUUCCACAGGUUAUAUUUGGUAGAGGUUGCAGUUCUGGAAACUUUAUGUCCAUUUGGGAUUUGAAAUUUUGUAUCACUGUUAAUGUUGCAUAAUUUUUCAAGAAUAUCUCGUUACCUUCUCUUGUUUACACUUGAGUACCUAGACCUUUAUCAUAUUUUUUCCUGUCAUACUCGUGAGUUUCUUGCCUUCCUAACUGAUGGAAACCAGCUAUAUGUUUGGCUCCCUAAUAAGAAUUCAGUUUAUUAGUUAACAAUAUCCCAGUAAAGGUUUUUAUUUGGUUAUUUUUAUUUGUUAUUUUACCUUUUAUUUCUCAUUGUGCAUUUGUAACUUGUUUUGUGCUAUUUGUAGGUUAAGCAACUCCUGGAGAAAAAUGAGAAAGGGCAUGUUAUUGCCACUUGUCGUAAUCCUGAUGGGGCAACUGCACUUCUUGAUUUAAAAAAUGAGUUUGCUGAACGGCUUAACAUCCUGCAGUUGGAUCUCACCAUUGAAAGCACCAUAGAGGUUAUAUUGAUCUCUCCCUUUUAUCCAGCUAAAACUAAAUUCAACUUAGUAGUCUUUUACCUUGUCAAGAAAACCUUGAUUGGAUUACUGAGGCUACGAAUUCAUUUCUACAUAUUGUUGUGGUUUUCACUUUCUUAAUCCAUGGAUGUCUCAUAGAAAGUUCACAGGCCCUUUUAGCAGCUGAAACGAUGGAGGAUAAUAAUAGAAAACUAGGAGUCUUAUUGCCAUUUAAGAUUUAAAGCUUUUGAGACUACAAAUUUCCAGUUAUUUUUCUUAGUCCUCUUGGGAAUGAAGAGCUUUAAUUUUUGUAUGCUAUAAAUUCAGUUCCUAUUUAUUAACAAAACAUGGUAGUUUUUGACUGCUUCUUAUGGUCUAUUCUCAGCCCUUUGAUAUACCUUCAUAUUUCAGGCAUCAGCAAAUUCUAUAAGAGAGAGAUACGGAUCUCUGAACCUUCUUAUCAAUGCAUCUGGCAUUCUUUCAAUACCUAAUAUUUUGCAACCAGGUAUUCUCAUUGUAUCGUUGCUUAUGCAUAGAUUUUGAACUUAGUAAUGGGCUUCAAUAACAGCCUAUAGUUAUCGAAAGUACAAGGUUCACCAGUAUGGAAGAAUACAAAUUCCAAACAUCCAAAGCAUUCAAGCAUUAGUAAAACAAGAAACAUCUAAUCCUAGAGUCCUAGACACUUUGUUCAACUGUCAUCUUCAUACAGAAAAUCAUCAUUUGUCUUUCCCAUUAUAGGAUUUAUAGCCCUCAUCAUCGUCCUUGUCCUUUCAUCUGAAUCACUUCCUUAUGAUCUAGAUUUAGUGUUGAGGAAGGGGACUGAGAGGUUGUAGCCUUUUCCCAAUGUUGCCCUCAUGGAGCUUAUCUGAUUUGCAUAUCAAAUCUGGCACCCCUGACUUUCAUACUUUUAACCAAUCAUUCGUUGCUUUCACAUAUAUCUUUCAAGGAGACAGAGCAGAUGAUUCUGUGCAUAUUAUAUUGUCUCCCCUGAGGCUUGGUUGUGCUUGAUGGAUGCCAAAUCAAUCAGAAUGACCAUGCAGUAGCAAGUUUCUUCUUUUUCCAUCUCUAUCCCAUGGAAGACUGCUGGUGUUUUUUUAUCUUUCUUCAUCUAGUAGCCAUGUCAAUUCCAAAGAGGUCUUGAGGUGUCAACUCUUCUAUAAUUAUGCCUUGCCUGAAAAUUAGCCAUGUCAAAACCAAUCAUUCAUUGAUCAGUUUUUGAAUGUCCAACAUCAAAGCUGAGCUAUGAGCACACAUGUGAUCCUAGAGAAACACAUGUAGUCCAGUAUAAAUGUAAGGAAUUGGCCUCUUCCAAGGCAAGAUGCAUGGCACGUGGGCUUGCAUUUUCUAUCAAUGUAUAAUCUAAUGCUGAACUAAAAGCUACCUGUUCAAUUAAUAGGGUUUUUUUUUUUUUUUUUUUUUUUUUUUUUUUUUUUUUUUUUUAUUGUAAGUGAAUUUGUUUUCUCUUUUCUUAUUUAUUUAGGAAAAAUAAACUUAUUUUUCUUAAUUUUCCAGUACAGAAACAACACUGAGCAAAGUGCAGAAAUCAUCUUUGCUUCUAGCCUAUGAGGUUAAUGCAGUGGGUCCUAUUUUAGUGAUCAAGGUGCGCUCUCUCAACCUGCGGUUUUCAACUUAUCAUUAAUUCCAAGGAUUCGAGAUGGAUCCAGAUAUUUGUCCUUUAAGAUUCUGCCUGAUUAGGUUGAAAUAGUUUUACUGCAGAAAGUGUUUUAAUUGCAAAAUAUUUAUCAACAGGGUGAUAUUUUUUUUUCAUGUUAUUCUAUGCUUGCAUUCUAUUUAUUUAAUUAUUUUUGGUUCAAUUUUCUGAAGAAAUAUAUAUAUAUAUAUAUAUAUAUAUAUGCCGUGGAGCUUUUACACCAUAUUUACAUUUGUGAAUAGAUGAAAGCAUUGAUAAGGAUGAGCACGUACAUCAUCUUCUCCCUUACCAUUUAGAAUGAGUUUUUGCUAUAAUUCUCUAGCAGAAAAUGAUUUAGCAAGAAAUAUGUGCACGCUAACAAAAAUUAUUUUAUUAUAUUACCAUUGUCACCGGAUAAGGCUGUUCUUCACAGUAAAGUCAUACCAGUUUAAAAAUUAUGUCAACUAUAAAAUAUUUCCUCCUAUCGAAUUCAUACAUUGUUUGGGUACCUUAAAAAUCCAUAAUAUGACUGAAUUGUAAAAUGUGUCCUAGCAGCAUAUGUGGCCUCUUCUAACGGCUGGAGGAGGCUCUGGGACUGAAAGAGAUGUUGCAGUUGUGGCAAACCUAAGUGCUAGAGUGGGAUCUAUAGGAGACAACCGCUUAGGAGGAUGGCAUUCUUAUCGAUCUUCAAAGGCUGCACUUAAUCAAUGUAUGAUAUCUCUUUAAAGAGUUCUUCAGAAUGGACUUAGUAGCUUAAAGGCCUCAAGGAAAGUCCUCUGUUCCUUGUCCACUUCCUUCUAACAGUGAAAUAAAACAUUACAGGCCUAUUAUUGGAUUGUUUUUUGUUUGCUACUACUUUUUCACAAAUUCAUGAUGAUAUUGCUGGAGAAAUUUAUCAGAAUAUCUGUGAUUCUUAUUUCAUAAAAUUAGAUUUUGUUAUUUUCUUUUUCAAAUCUGGGAAUUUGUUUCUUGUUGCUUGAAGAGGAAUUUUGAGUUGGUUACUCUGGAUCUUUUUCUAUAAAGGCAAAUGAAGCAUAUAUGUCCUGGGUCUUCUGAUUGGAAAAUCUAAUAUAUCGAACUUUCAGGAUGAUAAUGAGACUCUUGGAUAAAAUCACCGAUAAACUUUAGGAUACAUAUAUGAGUAGUGCCUAACCCAUUUUCAUGCUGCAUAUAACAUGUAUCAUGUGUGUGUAUAUGGUUGUAAUAUUGUGCAUAUAUGUUUACUUCGACUAGUAACAGAUUGACACCAAUUUUGGUAAGUACUAGAUAGAAUGAAGUGUUCUGCAAUUAAUUUCAAUAGUUAUAAUACAUAUUUGGAUAAUCCUUUUGUCUACUCCUGCUUGCAGUGACAAAAACUAUAUCAGUGGAGUUUGUACGAAAGAAAGAUCCUGUUAUAUGCCUUUUAUUACACCCAGGAACAGUUGACACAGACCUCUCCAGGCCGUUUCAGAGAAAUGUUCCUGAAGGCAAGCUUUUUACCAAAGAGUUCUCAGUGAACAAGCUCUUAAGCAUCAUUAACAAUGCGAAGAGCCAUGACAAUGGCAAGUUCUUUGCCUGGGAUGGUCAGGAAAUCCCUUGGUAAUCUCCAUGAUUGUAUUUUGUAUAAACAAGUACUUGAUCAGUUUCUCACAAGUUCCAAACUUUCCAAUAAGACCCAACAUAUUGAUUAAAUUUCUAUUUAGAUAGAACCAAAGUUUCUUCAAUAAACAUGCCCAUGAACUAUGUGAUUGAUUAAAUUUAUACUCACAUUUUGCAGUGAGGAAAGAUGUAAUUUAAUUAUUGAUUGGUUUGUCACUUUCUUCUGAUGUAAUUCUGAUGAUAGCUAAGUCACUAGGGCAUAGGCUUGUUUAAUUGCUUUGGUGCUGCCUUUAUGCUUUGGUAUAAGUAAAUUGUCUUCUUGAUGUUGUGGAAUGGAUAAAUGGGUUGUGUCUAAUUAGUCUGUCUAUUUACUAAAUGGGCACUUAAAACUGGAAUGAGAUAAUUCCAUUUCACCCUGUGUAUCAUCUGAUUUUAUUUUUCUUCUGCUUAUUUGAGAUAGGCUUUCUCUUGCGAAGGACUUGAAGAAUUGGUAUUUUCUGCUUUGUGUCAUUCUUUAUGUUGACUCCAUUACUUUGCUGAACAAUUCUGAAAGCAAACUGGGCUUUCAGAGACUGAGGCAAGCAAGAUGGGAUUAUGUUGUGUGGUUUGCAAGUUUCCUCAAGAUCAUAUGACUGUUCAUCUUUCAAUUUGGAAUCUGGGUAGUUUAUGUUAGCCAUAACUCAGAAAGAUGAUCCUUCGAGUGAAAGUAUUCAAAUGCUUAUUAACUGAGUGAGCUGUGUAGUUGGCCUGCGACCAAUCACCAGAGAUGUACUAUAAUUAUUUCGCCUUUUUCAAUUACCUUUCACAUUCAUCCUGCUAUCUUCUUGUGCAUCCUCUUUUAGUUUCUUGUUGAACUAGUCAUGAAACGUUACCCUACUUAGAACAUUGUCAAGCAUCAGCAUCAUUUUUCUUGGCAGUUCCAUUGAUAACCCUCCAGUUAGUAGUUAUGGUUCAUCAAUUAACCCUGAGGGGUAGUUCAGUUGGUCCGGCUUUGGGUUUGCUCCCCAAUGGUCACCAGUUCGAGUCCCCUCAGGGCCACUAGAGGUUUACCCGGUCGUUAACUUCAGAACCCCGUGGGAUUAGUCGAGGUGCGCGUAAGCUGACCCGGACAUCCACGGUUAUCAAAAAAAAAAAGUUAUGGUUCAUCAAUUACUUAUGAAGGAUAAGGUCACCACACUUGUUGCCUAACCCUUCAGGCAUGUGUUAUUGUUUUUAACAGCCUUAGAGUGCAUAGCUAGAAAGAACUGUAAAAACAUGGGAGUUGGGCAGUGCUUUGCAAAUUAUUUCUUCGCCCACAACAUAUUUAAUUUUCAGCCCCUUGAAUUUUUCCCGAUUACUAUUAUGAUAUACCACAGUCUCAGUUUCAUGAAUCAUGCCUACUCAUGCAAAAGUUGAAUAUGAUCCCACUGAUAACAGCUUUAGAAAUUAGUAAGGAUGAGUGAUGAAGAUGAUCAAAGACUAAACUGGAACUGAUCCAUUGAAACUGGAUGAAGAUUACAUGAUUGAGACCAAAGCAAGGGUCUCACAUAGGCACCAUGAAACAUGGCUGUAAUCUGUUUUAUUUAACUCAUUCCUUGGUUUCUCUAAGUCACCCCUUCCACUCACAACUUGGAACUCCCAAGUAUUUCAGUGGAUCCUGCAAAACCAAAAAAUUUAUAUCAAUAGCAUAUCCUUUUAGCAUUACUUUUCUUUAAUGGGAUUAUUGUUUGUGUAUCAGAUUCAAAUGUUUCAGAUGGGGGCAUAUCCUAUGUACUUACGUUUCACAGUUGGUGUUCAAGGAGACCGGGAACCCAACUUUGAUGUUGCAAGCUGUGGGAAUCUGGCUCAAGAGCCUGUCCUGAACGCCUGCGAACGCCUUCACACCAUUCUUCAAGCAUCGGCAAAUAUUCUUCUUAUCAUCAACUGUUUUCACAGUUGCAGCAAGCUGUUGAAGUCCAGAGCAGCAUGCCGGCGAUGGCUUUGGCUGCUUGCCAGUAGCAUACCCCACACAUGCGGCUGCCUUCAUGUCAACAGUGCCGCAUGGCACGGUUGCUCCACUAGUGCUGGCUAGGAAGAGGAGGAAGGAGAGGAGGAAGACCAUAGAGAAGAAGGUGUUCUUCAUGGUUAACUGUCAAAGUAACUGUAUUAGCUAACUGAAGAAGCUCUACUCCUUUGGUGUUGGAGGCAGGCAGGUUGAAGAAAAUUGUGUGGAGGAUGAUGGGUUUAUAUAGAGGAUUGGAAGGCUCUGGGACUUUGGAUUAUGUGAAAGUUGAGUCUUCCAAUGCAAUUUUAAGGAUAAGUUGCAGGUGAUUUUAUUGGGCCUGGUGACAGGAAUUGAAUGCUGGUACAAUCUCUUCACCUAAGAAAAGGGAUAGAAGAUAGAAGAGAUGCAUAAACAAUUCUUAAAUCUCCUUGAUGGUAUAUGAGAUACCAUUAGUGGGUUUCUUAAAAACUCCAUCAUUUACUAAAAACAAACCUUUUUUUAUCCAAUUUUUUUCUUUUGAUGGGCAAUCGGCCAUAGCUUUCGAAAACCAAGAAAGAAAUAGUAGCUGUCUUAAAUUUCUGUAGGCUCUCCAUUUAUUGAAAACCAUUUUAUCUUCCAACGGAAACUAAUUUAUUUCAGAGAAGGGAGGGGGUCAUUACAGAUAUCUCUUGGCAUCCUUGUGGUCAAUCAAGGUACAAUUUACCCAGUUAGGUGACUGCAUUUCCUUGUGAAGCUAAGUUGAUUAUAUUGCGAAGUUAAAUAUUUCUGGAAAUGAUUGAAUAGUUGCUUUCUACACUUUACCAUUUCUUUAUGAUCAGUUGGAAUGGAAGACACAGGGAUUGGCAAUCUGAAUAUUCAAAUGCUGUGAAGAACAAAGUGGAAUGAUUUUCCAGCUGGUACUUGAAUGCCCUUGGAAUCAUGCAACUUAAUUAUCAGUUUGCAACCCAAAAAUUUGGAUAAUGUCUUUCUUCGAGGGGAAGACAUGAAGACAAACUUUCUAUUUUUAAGUGAAGCAAAUCAAAUGCCUUAACAGCUUCUGAAUUGAAUAACUAUCGAUUUUAAGCUGAACUUUCUACUUUGACUAGUGGGCAAAAACAACAGAAUUGUGGGUCUAGCUAGCAAUCAGAGGCAGUUUCAACCAUUGAAAUUGAUGUCCUUUUGCCAACCAUGCUUUGGAAGGUUUCAACAGGUGGAGAAUCCAAAGCUUAUGCAGCAGACAUUGUUGGACAAUAUGCAAUUUCCCAAGAAUGAAAAAGAGUUUACAACUCGAGGUCAUAGAAGAAGAGUAAAUCUAUGAUUGUUUUGAUUUUCUAUAAUUUGUAUGCAUACUAGUAACACCGCAAAAACAAUUUUUUUUUUUUUUUAAUAUUGUUUUUUUCAACAAUUCUAUUGUGAUGUAUUAUUCUAUUGGAGAAUUGCUGAGUGAUCAAUGUAUCCAUUAAACUUUCAUCUUUCAGGGUACUUUAAGAUUAAUGUGUAAGACUCAGUCCAGUGAAUUUGCCCAAAACAUCUAUCUGCUGCGUUCAACUGCUUUUCAGAUUUUUCUUGUUGUGGCAUUUGGUAUACGCUCCCUUUCCCAUCCUGCCUGUAUCAAUUUUACAUUGGCUGGUGAGAAUUUACAUUACUUUGUGUCUGAGUUGAGUCAGCCAGCCAUGGACCGUUUCUACCCUACAGAUUUCCUUGAUGAGGAGUCAGACUUUUGGUUCCUAGCAGUACAAAUCUAAAAUCUUUGUUUGUUUAAAUCCACAGCUAUUGAACCAGGCAUGUUUUUUUACUUUUAGCCAAUUUGAGAUACUCUUCCCAACCAAUUAAGGGAAUUUUUAGUGUGUGAGGAUCAAGGUGAUGGUGAUGCUUAGAUGGGAUAUAAGCUUCUGAGUAACUAAGGAUGAAAGGAAUGGAGUUAACAAGAACAUGAAAACAGAUCCAUUAAAGCCAACUGGUAAUUACAUGAUCAAGGACAAAAGUCCCAUAGAACAUUGCCCCUAAUCUGCAGUUUUAUUCAACUUUAAUCAACUACUUCCUACAUCAUUCCAAGAUGAGCACUUGUUCCCCCAAUCUCUGCAUCGAUUCCAUUGCAAUUCAGUGGAUUCUGCAAAAAUUGUUCAAAAUUAAUCAAUCUCAAAUUUAUAUAUACACAACUAAGGAGUCUGCAAGCUAUGUAAUCUAACUUACGCUUCACAGUUGGUGUUCAAGGACACCGGGAACCCGACUUUGAUAUUGCAAACGGCAGGAAUCUGGCUCAAGAACUUGUCCUGAACGCCUGCGAACGCCUUAACACCAUUCUUCAAGCACCGGCAAAUAUUCUUCUUAUCAUCAACUGUUUUCACAGUUCCAGCAAGCUGUUGGAGUCCAGAGCAGCAUGCUGGAGACGGCUUCGGCUCCUUGCCGGUGGCAUACCCCACACAUGCAGCUGCCUUCAUGUCAACAGUGCCGCAUGGCACAGUUGCUUCACUAGUGCUGGCUAGGAAGAAGAUGACAACCAAAGAGAAGAAGAUGUUCUUCAUGGUUAACUGUCAAAGUAACUGUAUCAACUAAAUGAAGAAGCUCUUGGAGUUGGAGGCAGUUGACUUGGUGAAAAUGGGGUUGGGGCUGAUGGGGUUUGUAUAGAUGCCUAUGGGGACCUUGGGUUAUGGGAAGUUUGAGCUUUCCAAUGUUUGGUGGAUAAGUUGCAGAUGAUUUCAUUGAAAUUGAUGAAUGGAAAACAGUGAUCUGGAUUAUAAGAUUUCCCCCCCCUGGUGUCUGAUGUCUUGGAAACUGAAUUUCAGGUCAUUGGGCUUUGGAAAGGUUCUUACUAUCUGGGUUUUAUCCUUCUGGUUUGGAUCAUUCACAGUAAACUUUCAGGUUAUUUCUCAAGUUUCAACCAACACUCAGUAGUAAAAUUUCUAAGACACCAUUGGAGGAGAAGACUGGAUAGCAUUAUACUGUGAACUGAAUCAAGGGACCAUCUCAAAAUGAAAUAAGAAUAAAAGUCACUGUCACACUACCCAUCUGUCAAAUUUUUUAAAAUUUUAAACUUUUAGAUUUUUUUAACUUAUUAUACUGGUAAGAUUGAUUUAUCUUUCUAUGGAAGUGUUACAUUAUAGAUUGCAAUCACACAUGGGCUCAGGUAGCAGUCAUGUUAGCGAGGAUAGAUUAAGGGUUCGAGAAUAAUGAUCAACUGUAUGGACAUUUUGCUUUCAUAUCCCAUUCAGGUAAUAAUGAAUAUAAGAAGGGUUCAAAUAGAAUAACUCUUACUUUAUAUCAUAAAUACACCCCCCAAUAAUCUCUUGGCACCUGUCUAUUUUUUCUUUUUCAUUUUUUUCAAAUAAAAAUUAAAUGUGAAAGGAUAAAAAUAUCCUCUUCUUCUUCAACCCUACACCAACCUGAAACCUUAACUCUCCUUCCCCUUUUUCUUCCCUUUUUUUCCUUCUUUCUUUUCCUUUCCUUCCCCUUCAUCAAGUUCAAUAUUUUCCUUCUUCAAACUUUAUUUUUAAAAUAUUGAGAGAAGGGAUGACCACUAGUAGAAGGGAAGGGAAAGCUGGAGGAAAGGGAAGGACAAGAUAGAAGGAUUACGAUUAGUGUUUGAUGUGAAGGAUACAAGGGCAAAAAUGUAUUUUGAUUUUCAAUUUUAUUUUGGAAAAAAAAAGAAAGAAAAGAAACUGAGGGGGGUGUGGAGAGUGACAAUUUCCCUAAUAUUAUUAUCCAAGAAGUUUUUCAAAUUGACCUUAUUUAAUAGAAAUUCUUAUAGAAUACUAUUAUAGGUUGAAGUAACACUACUUCUAAAAAAAAAAAAUAGGUUGAAGUAACACUGACUAUGCUAGAAUUUAUUAUCAAACUUGGAAAAGCCCAGUUGAUUAGGUUUGCUGUUACAUUUGGGAGAAGAGGCAGCAACCAGUCUAUAGAUAAGGGUCAGCAACAAAGCAGAUAUCAAGUGAAAUUCCUGACCAAAUUGGUAUCAUAGAAAAUCAAGUAAAAUGCAUAAAAAGAUCAGGGAUAUAUAGCAUUGAAGGUGAGGCAAGCUUUCAUACAAAUGAGUGUUCAGAACAUGCAUAGACAGCAGAUCAAAGCAACAUGGAAUAUAAGAGCAAGUACAGAAAUUACAUGUAUAAAAAAUGUCAUAACACUAUACUUACUAUGCUGGAGAGCACAGAUACCAAGCAAUGCAGCAAGUAAGAACAUCGAAAGAAAAAAGAAAAAAAUCAAUUGCAGGGUCUAAACAUGUUAACAUGCUUGCUAAAUCAAAUAUAAGGCAAGGAUAGCAGGCAGACCCUGUAGAACCACAAUAAAAGAUUGCAUUUACUUCAGGGGCAUUUGAAAUUAAAACAUGGGAACACAAUAGUUCUCUAACCAAGGAACAAGUUAACACCAAUAAAAAGCAUGAUGAAUGGAAUCUGCCAAUACCCAGGUUUAGGCAUUGUGUCAAAGCAGCCGCCAUGUACCAUUCAAUCCUGCCCCAAAAGGGCUAAGGUAUUUGAAUUACCUAGCAAGCCUAUGCAAUUUCACUUUCCAAAAUCAUGAAAACUAGCAAUAUGGAUUAUAAAAAGACUACUUCAACCAGUAAGAGCAUUUCCUAAGCCAUCUGCAUGAGGGAAAGCAAACCUACAACAUAGUUUAACGAUAAACAGCAUCAAACAUCAUACAAUUGGUUUCAGAUAAUAAAAUAGCAAGAAAAACAGGGUCCCAGAGUCAUUUUGACCUGGAAAAACCCCUAUAAAUACAGUAGGGAAGAAAAAAAAAAAAUCAGAAAUUACACUAUCAUAGGACUAAGAAAUAGCCAUUCAUACUUUUGUUCCUCAAUGGUAUCAGAGGGUAUAGCAGUUGGCAGCACAAAUAUUGCAAGCCAAGACUACUGCAACUAUGAAUCCUGAGUUACCACUUGAUAGAAUAUAAUGGACCACGUUAAGAAGUACUCUGAGAUGGAGAGCUUCAACUCUUCAAACUCCAAGUCUCCAAGCUGCUGGCCCUGACAGUGAUUUCCAUAGAGAUAUAAAUAUCAAAUAUUAUACUUUGAUUUUAACAUUUCCAACAGUAACAGCUGGAGGCUGCAAUAAUCAACCAAGGUGCUGGAAAGUGAUUUCUUUAACUCUCUUGAAUGACAAGUAGAUGUGAGAUGCAGUCCAUGUCAGUCAAAGAGAUCAUUGUCAAACUCCUACAAAAGUAAAAGGAGAAAUUACUCAUAUAAAACAUAAAGACUUAAAACUUCUUUCAAGAGCAAAUUAUAUAUAUACAGAGAGAGAGAGAGUCACCAAGUAGAACCAGCUCUAAAGAUGCAAACAUCAAGCCAUCCAUAGGUUUGACAGUUUCUAUUUCUCAUUCCAAAAUCUGUCUAUGGAAUUGAAGGGGUAUAGAAGCAUCUGUUGACAAGUUGAAGAACUUAUGGAAUUGAAUGCAACUUCCCUUUGUAUGAGGAACUGAAAGCAGCCCGAAGGAUGAUGCACCUCCAAUUCCUGAACAAGCUUGAACUGAUGGGAAAUUCCUCACAGUUACUAGAGUCAAUCUCCUCAGAGAAAAGACUCAUUGGAUUGUCAAGUUAUUGGGUCUCAACAUCAAGUUCCAACUUAAUAUUUUGCUAAUAAGUUCAGGCCAGAUGGUACCAGACUUUUAACGAACGUAUCUGAGAAUGGUGCAACCUUUUUGAAACCUAAACAUGAAUUAAUUGUUUAGAGUUGAAUCUUGAGCAGGAUUCUUUCUUCAUUCCUCAAGCUUCGAUAAAUUAGAUCAGUCAUCUCUUUUUCCGUGGCUGCAAGAAUUAUGUCAACGAGCUAUCCACUGGAACAAGACAUUCCAUCAUUUACAACUACAACUUCAUCAUCAACCAUCCUACCAUUAUCAUCAACCAUAAAGGCUUGCAUCCCAUUCUUAUGCUCAAUCCAACUAUAACCUGGAUCCUUAACUACCUGAUUGUAACUCAUCAGUUCUCUAACAGCCUUGGCAUCAUCCCAUCUUCCCAGGGAAGAAUAGAUGUUAGCAAGAAGCACAUAAGGAGCAGAGUUUUGGGGAUCCAAGUGAAAGAGCUCCUCUGCUGCUCUUCUUGCUAAGCUCACAUCAGCAUAAACUCUACAAGAACUGAGCAAAACCUCCCAUAUGAUUGGAUCAUAUUUACAUGGCAUCUUAUCUAUAAGAACUUCUGCUUCAUGUAACCGACCAGCUCUGCCUAAAGAGUCAAUGAUGCAGGUAUAAUGAUCUACAAGUGGUUCCACUCCAUGUUCUUGCUGCAUUGAAUUGAAUAUUUUGAUUCCUGUGUCAACCAAUCCAGAAUGGCUACAAGCGGUUAAAACAGCAACAAAUGUUAUGCCAUCAGGUUUCUCACCUGAUCCAAUCAUGUCUUCAUAAAGAAGAACAGCCUCAUCCCCACAUCCGUUCUGUGCAUAACCAUGUAUCAUUUCAUUCCAAGUGACAGUAUUUUUACCAAGCAUCAUGUCAAAAACCCACCGGGCUGCAUCUACAUCACCACAUUUAGAAUACAUAUCAAUCAGAGCACUCCCCACAAAGGCAUCAUUCAUGUAUCCUUCCCUUGCUAUCUGAGAGUGAACCUGUCUGCCUUGAGACAAAGAAGAUAGUUUUGCACAACAACUGAGUACAGUAGCAUAUGAGAAUUGCGAAGGAAACAUCCCCUUUUCUCGCAUCUUCUUGAAGAAAGUAAAAGCUUCCUUGUCUAGAGAAUUGAGCGAGAGACCUGCCAUCAUAGAAUUCCAGCAGACAAUAUCCAGUUCAGCUAUUCUGUCAAAAAUACGCUUUGCCAUCUCGACCUUCCCACACUUUGAAUACAUGCCAAUAAGUCCACUGGCAAGAUAUAUGUCAGUACGAAAGACAGCCUUUUGUGAGACAGCAUGGACCUGUCUUCCACCUUCCAGAAGCAUCAUCCCUGCAAGUGAGCUCAGUAUAAUUGCCAAAGUAGUGCGAUCAGGGUGGACACUUCGAAAUUGCAUUUCCCUGAAAAGUUUUACUGCCUCCUUGUGGUUCUCAUUCUGGGAAUACCCAGAAAGUAUAGUGUUCCAUGAACUCAAGCUUGGGGAUGACAUCCCAUCAAACAUUUGGCGCCCAGCUUCGAUAUCACCAGACUUUAUGCAUGCCACAAGCAUAUUGACAUACGUGAUCUCAUCUGGCUCGAAACCAUGAUACUGCAUUCUCUGCAGGUACUCUAUGGCUUUACUGCUUUGGGAUUUUUGGCCAUACCCAGCUAUCAUAACAUUCCAUGAAACAACACUGACUUCGGGCAUAUUAACAAAAAUCAUCUCAGCACUAUCCAUGUUCCCAUUCUUUGCAUACAUAUCAAGCAAUGAAUUAUUUAAAUGAAGAUCUGAUUCAAAUCCAUGUUUAAUUGUGAGACAGUGCACCUGUUGCCCAUGCACAUCAGAUGAAAGCACAUCAUUUGAGUCAUGAAGACCAAAUUCCCCACAUCCUCCUCUGGAACAAACACCCAAAACGCUUGACAGUGAGACAGAAUCAACAUGAAUUCUAUUUCUUAGCAUCAACCUAAACAGUCUGAAAGCCUCGUUGACUUGAUCACUGUCUGCCAACCCACCCAUCAUCGCUGUAAAAGAGACCUCAUUAGGUUCUGGCACAUCCCCAAAAGCUUGAAUUGCAUCCCCAAUACACCUACACUUAGCAUACAUGCCCAACAACGCAUUACCCACAUAUAUAUUGUUAUCAAGGCCAAUUUUAAUAGAAAUCCCAUGACAUCUCCUACCGCACUCUACAUCAACCAAUGCACCACACGCACUCAAAACACUAGCCAAAGUAAAAUGGGUGGGCACGAAUCCUUCCCGACUCAUCCUGUAAUAAACACCUAAAGCCUUCUGUUCAAACCCAUUUCGAGUUAAGGCACUAAUCAAAGUGUUCCACGAGACAAUAUUCCUUUCGGGCAUUUCUGCGAACAACACAUGAGCAUCUUCUAACUCACUAGCUUUACAAUAAGCACCUAGUAUAGCAUUCCAAGUAUAAAUGUCCCUUUUGGGCAUUUGAUCGAACAGGCGGCGAGAAGCAUCAAUUGCAUUGCAUUUGGCAUAGAAUUCAAUGAGACGAUUGGAGAGGAAGGUAUCGUCAGAGAGACGUGAGCGGAGCAUAUGGGCAUGGAUGAGCUUGCCUGCUAGGUGGGCUUUCUUGUCUAUGCAAGUCUGCAAGAGACUUGCCAAGUAGGUUGUCUUAGUUUCCAUUGUUGGCGCCAAAGAUCUUUUCAAAACAGGGUCAAGACCAAUUUCAAUAGCAAUUCCGUGGUCCACUUUUGGAUCAAAUUAUCCCCACAUCACAUCAACUGGAAAAUUUUAUUCACAAGCUUUCCAGUUCAAACCUUUGAUGAGAUUCUCUUUUUCUCGUCUUUGAAGUCUUUCUUUCUUCGUAACCCCCUCCCUAUGUGUCGAUUGAAACCCACUGCUCUCAGCCAAACUCUUAUUCAAUUCGUUGGUUUUUGAAAGAAAAAAGAGCGGAAAAGAGAAGAAAAGUGAAGGAAAAGGAAUAGGCAAAGAAAGAAAUAUAUAGGCAAAAAAAAAAAAAGGAAAACAUAUUUAAAAAAAAAAAAAAAAAAAAGGAAAACAUAUUUAUUUUUAAUUGUUUUAGGUUAUUUUAAAAAAUAAUUAUAUAAAUACGAAGAACGAUUAAAAAUAAGACAUUGAAUAUAAAAGUUAUUUUUAAAAAGAUUUGAGGUUGUCAAACAAGCUUUUUGUUAUGAAAUAUUAAGGAACAAUUUUUAAAAACUAUUUUUUAGAAUUGUAUUUUAAAACACUUAUCAAAAGGAGUCUAUGUUUGUUUGGUAAGGAUAAAAAUGGGAUAGGUUUCUUUGUACUACCCGUCCUCGUCUCGUCUCUAAUGAAAUGAAUUUGAAAUUUAAAUAAACGGGUUUAGGAUAACUUUAGGAUUUUUUUUUAAAACUCAAGAUGGGUUCGGGACAUGUUUAGGUAUUGCCUUGUCCCGCCUUGCCCUAAUUAUAUAUAAAAUUAAUUUUAAAAAUUAAUUUAAUUUAAUUUUUAUUUUUCUAUUUUUAAUAUAUAGAUGAUGAUGAUAAUAAUAAUAAUAAUAAAAAUAUUUAUCAAUAAAAUAAGUUAUAAAAAAUUAUAAUAAUUUAAUUAUUUAUAAAAUAUAUUUAUUUUAAUGUAAUUAAAAAAAUUAUAAUAAUUUUAAAAUUUUUGAAAAUUUUCAAAAAAUAAUUAAAUGGUAUAUGGCGAGGGUGAGUAUGAGAAUUUCUCAUACUUGCCUUCUCACACCCAGUUUAAUUUUUUAAUGAAAUAUGGAUGAAAAUUAUUUUAAAUAAAUGAGGGGGUUGGGAUGGGAGUUGACUCGUCUCAAACCCACCCCGUUAUCAUUCCUAUUGUUGGAUAACUAUUUUUAAAAAUAAUUGUAAAAAAUAUAAUUUUACCUUGUUUAGUUUUCUAAGGACAAAUGAAAGAAAACUAAAAUCAAUAUAAAAAUAAUCUCUAGCAUUGAUUCUUCAUAAUUAAUAUAAUAAAAUUAUUUAUAAUAUUAAUUUAUAAUUGACAUGAGUUUAAAAUUAGGUGAUUUGACUUAGAUCGACAUUUUAAAACUAAUAUAAUUAAAUUAUUUAUAACAUUAAUUUAUAAUUAAAACGAGUUUAAAAUUAAGUAAUCUGAAGAAAAUUUAAAUGCAAAUAAAAUUUAGCAUAAUCAUUAUUUAUUGGUGAAGUUGAAAUGUUUUCAAAAAUGAAAUUAAGCUAGCACUUGAUUCCUUUAAAAAUAGAUGCAUUUAAAAUGCACACACAUGUAUUAUCAUUUUUCCUAACAUCUAGAGGAGCAUGUAUAAAAUAAAAUACAAACAUGCUAUCCUAAGAAAUGACAAGAAGCAUGCUUGCAAACUAGCAAUGACAAUGACAUAAUCAUAGUGCACAAGUACUUCUUUCCGGUUUAAGUCUCACCUAGAAAAUAUGUUACUUAUUGAGUUUAUUUUACAUGGAUUGUGGGAUCAAUUUCGAAGGAACAUAACAUAUUAACACAAGGUUGAAAAGACAAAUGAAUAGAAAAAGUCCAACCUCAUGCUAGGAAAAAUCUUUUCAGCAAAAAAUUAAACUCAUUAGACUUUAGAUACAAUUCAACUUAUAUUUUUUAAGCAUCAGACUUUAGAUCUUAAUGCUUUUAUAGACAAAUUUAGUUUUUUCUUAAUUACUUCUUUCCACUUUGGCCAAGUAUUUCCACGUCAACAUUCUUGCACAAUUUAUGAUUUAAAAUCUUUAUAAUUCUUUUCAUUUAGAAGGAAGAUGUACUGUCUAUGACAAUAUUAUAUUAUUUGAUAAUGUCUCAUUCUUGAUAUUUAUAGAACUUACAAACAUUUUUUACCUUUUGGGUACCUAUGACUCUUUAAGAGUUAUUGCUAAAUUUAUUCAUCUUGGGGGACUAUCUAUUCAAUUUGUGCAUUUUCAAGGACAACCUAUCCCUCCUCUUCAAGGUCUAUUUAUUUAAUCAAUUUUAUAUUGAUUAGUGCAUUCUCAUCAUUUCUUGGAUGAGCAUGAACUCUUUAAUAAUGUUAAUCUUUGCAUACAUGUACAUUUUCUUGUGGACUUUCCACUUCCACGGAAUGUCUUUUAAGCCGACAUGUUAAUAUCAACUCAUAUUCGUUGAUAAAAUAUUUUAAGAAUUUUCACGUUACAUAUAUAUAUAUAUAUAUAUGAGACAACUUGAGAUUAUUAUAUUAUAUGUAAAGAAGUAAUAAAAAGGAGGUUGAAUAAAAUUCACUAUUUAUGUCAUAUCAUGUUUAGUCAAACAUAAUAUAUGAUAAGUAAAAUGAUAACUUAUCUUAUCCAUUUAAAAAAUAUGAGAAAUGAUAUGUUAUCUUAUAUCUUAUUUCAUAUCAUAUUAUAUCUACUCAAUCAAACACGGGUUUAAGUGAUGUUUAGUAGAGGUUGAAUAGAAUAUAAUAUGAUAUGUAGAUUUUAAGAUAUCAUAUUUGACGUGAUUUAUAUAUUUUAGGAUAUUAUUUCCAAGGAAAUAUGAUAUCUUUUAAUAUUCGAUUCAUUUUUGCAAAUUUAAUUACCCAUUUAACCGUACAUCUCUUAUAUGUGAAAAUUUUCUUCCAAAAUGUUUAGUUCUGAUUUAGAUACACUUGUAGUUUCUAUUUUUAAAAAUAAAAAUUGGUUGUAAAUUCUAUAUGAAGUAUGGUUACUCUUGUAUGAACAUACCUUAUGUUGGAAUCCGUGUAACAAUUAAUGGCGAAAAAUAGAAAAAUGAGAAAGAAGAACACAAAGAUUUAACGUGGUUCGACUAAUUGCCUACGUCCACGGGAACAAGGAAAGAGGAUUUUCACUAUGUUUAAAAUUAGGACUACAUAAAAAGAUAUUUAUACUAACCCUUAUGAAUGAAAUUUCAUAAAUACCCCUAAACCGUACCGCAUGGAGCAUUACCCCCCGCACCCCCCCAAUCUAUCGUUCGCCCCACAAAAAAAAAAAAAGUACAAGCCUGAAUGGCAAAUGCCAUCGCUCGAUUCCAUUCCACUUCGCUUCGCUCCGACAUUUGCCCAUUUUUCUCCAUAUGUCUUUUCGCUCAAAUAUGAGCCAUAUACUACAACACCUUAUGUUCCUAAAAAUUACUUUAAAAUUUAAGGUGGUAAAGAAUUUUUAAUACCUCAAUUUUUUAAAACUAUUAUGUUCUUAAGUUUUAUAUAGGAAUUACUAUUAUUUUUUGCUUUUUAAAAUAAAAAAAUAAAAAAUGUAUCUAAAAGAGACUCUUUGUAAUUAUUUUUUUAAUAAACAAUACUGUAACUAUGCCUAAAAAAAUAUACCUAACUUUUGUUAUGAGCUAAUUUAAUAUAUAUAUUUUCUUUUGGUCACUUUUAAUUAGCUUAGAUACAAUAUGAGAUAAGUUAUAUACUACAUGCUAUAACAUAUCUUAUCUCAUGCAUGGUUGAACAUGAUAUAUGAUAAAUAAUGAGAUAACAUAUUGAUCUUCUCUUUUUAUAUCCUUUUUAGAUGGGAUAUAAUAAUCCUAAGUUUAUCUCUUUUUCUCUCUCUAUGUAUAUAAAUUUUCUUUUUUUAUAUUUUUGUAAUAAUUUUUUUAUUCCACUUAUUUUGCAAAACGUACAAAACAUUUUGAUUAAAAAAAUUAAAAUUUUAUUUUGAAAAAAUAAACAACUAAAUAAUUAUAUUAGAUGUAUAAUACAAUCUAAAAUAAUACUUAUUUAUAAUAUCAGUAUUAUUUAGUAUAAUAUUUAAUAUAUACAAAAUAUUUUUACAUAUUUUAUAACAUAAGAUAAUAUUUUUAUUUAUAAAGUUUAAAUAUUUCAAUCUUGAAUAUCAUCAACAAGGAAAUAAAAAAUUACUCACAAAGUGUUCAUUUGAUACACUAAGGUUUAAAAACAAAAAAUGAUAUUUUUUAUAUUAUAGAAGCUACUAUUAUUUUCUUUUUUUUUUAAUAUAUAUAAAAGUAUGUUCAAACUAUACCUAAAUUAUAAGAUGAUUUUCCAAAAAAAUACUUAAAAUGAGAGAGAUUUCAUUUAUUAUUAGAUAUUGCAAUAUAAUUUUUUUUUAUCUAACCUACCAUCCAAAGAAAAAGAAGAGACAAAUAACUUCCCUUGGUGUUAGUGGUCUUUGAUUGUUUAGGCUUUCUCAUUGUAUUAUUUUUCGAAGAUCCUUGUAAAUGGCCAAUAAAACAUUGCCUAAGGUUUAAAAGUAGUUGGAAUAUUUUCUUAAUAAAUAAUUUUGUUCUUUGUUUAAGGUCACUUCCCUAUGUUGGAUGUACUCUAAUUUUGUCAACUUUAACUUAUUUGAUUCCUACUUUUCAAAAUCCAAAAAACAUUGCUAAUAAGAAACAACAAUGUCUAUUCUCCAAAAUUGAACUGUAUUUUGUCAAAAGUACUAAAAUCAUAUUCUCCUAAUUUCCUACUUUUAGCCAUAUAGAAAUGCUUUAAUACAAAAACCUAAAAUUUAGACUCAAUUUAGGUGUCGCCUCAACCUCAACCUCAACCUGCUCUUUGGCCUUUUAUCCAGCCUACAAGGUAAAAACCUCUGCAACACUGGGUGUAACAGUCUCUAGUUGCCUCUACCUCUGCCUCUUCGUUAGCUCAUCUUCUUUCCCAGCCUGCAACGAUGGUAUCCUUUGCAGUAUCAAUAACACCCUUUAUAGUAGCGAUAGUAGCCUUUGUAGCAGCAGCAACCUCUGUCUGCAGGUGCCUCCUCAUCGUCUCUUUCAUUAAAUGUUUAAGGAACACCCUCCUUUAGGCUAUUGCCUCUUCAGCAACAGCCUAUAACUCCUCGACCAUAGUCCUCUCAACCUAGCGUGCUUCUCCUUAGGCAUUCCAUUUUUGGGUUGGGUUUUUUUUUUUUAAUUUUUUUUUCUCUUUAAUGAAGAAUCUCAUAAAAUAACAAUGUUAACUAAAAACCCAUAGUUUUAAAUAUAGGAUAUAUUUUUUUUGUUUUUUAGAACUAGAUCAAAGUCAAAAGUCUUCUUACAUGAUUUCUUGAUCACUAAGACCAAGUUAACAAAGGUUUUUACAUCUCUAUAAUUCUCUAAAAAUCCCUACACAAAUGCUAUAUACAUGCUAUGUACAAGAGUUCUCAUGAACUUUAUAGAACAUUCCACAACACUCCACUUUCUCCCAUCCAUGUAUGAAGAUGGUGCGAAUGUCUCCAAGCUUCUCUAGAAUUCUCCACACUUUUCCACUAGUAGAGAAGUAUGGGUGACUCCAAGUGGUUUUAAAAGCUUCUUGUUUCUUAUAAAACCUUUAAGUGAGAGAUCAUUUGAGUAGGUUGUAACACUCUCCCCCACCAAUGUAAUAGACAUCUUCAUCUCUCCUUUUGCACAAAAAUCUAAACGUUCCUAAACCACUCAAUCAAAAUUGUGUAAAUGCAUACCCUUUUCGUCUCUACUCAUUCCAUUGCACGUCUUAACCAUGAGAAGGAAACCUAAAUUAAAAGAUUAUUCAAAAUGGUAAAUACUUAUUGUUUAAAAUAAUAGGAAAUUUAGGCUCACAAAAAAUAGGUUGAAAAUGCUCCACAAUGAUGCUAUCACCUAUCUUAGGAAAAAAAAAAGUUCAAUAUACAUCAAAAUACAUAUUGGGACAACUACAUAAAACAAAUUUGAAUUUUGAUUAUCAAUUAAGUCUAAAAGUAAAUCAAUAAAAUAGAGAACUACUAACCCAUAUUUAAAAAAUUCCAUGGUCAAUCGGUUGCUAAGUAAAGGUCCAAAGUGAAAUUGAGAUAAACAUUAAAUACAAGAAUAUUCCAAUACUAAAAAAAAAAAAAAAUCAUAUCAGAAUAAUGUAGUUCAUAUGUACUUGUAAAAAAAAUAAUAAUCUACAAAAUUUAUUAAACCUAAAAUCGUAAUGAAAAUGGGAAGGAUAAUGCAAUUCAAAUGGGCUUCUAUGAAAAUUAAUCAAACUUGAAUAGUAAUAACUAAUGAAAAUGAGAAGGAUAAUGAAGUGUCACAAACUUAGUGUUUUUCCUAAGCUUACUACAACACUUAAACAACCCAUGUCUUUUGAAGUUGCUAAGUCAGGCUUACCCCAAUCUUAACUCACAAUGCUAAGCAAAACUACUUGACUCAAAAUACAAGAUGCAUAAAUGAAGAAACAGUUGAAGAUUGAAAGCUUGUAUUGUAUUAAUACACUUGAAAGCUCUCAAGUGCUUAGUGCCUUGGUCAAAUGAGGCCACCACCUAUUUAUAAGCACCAAGAAAACUCUCUAAAACCUUCAAAGGUUUUUACAUCUCUAGAAUUCUCUAAAAAUCCCUACACAAAUGCUAUAUACAUGCUAUGUACAAGAGUUCUCAUGAACUCUAUAGAACAUUCCACAACACUCCACUUUCUCCCAUCCGUGUAUGGAGAUGGUGUGAAUGUCUCCAAGCUUCUCUAGAAUUCUCCACACUUUUCCACUAGUAAAGAAGUAUGAGUGACUCCAAGUGGUUUUAAAAGCUUCUUGUUUCUUAUAAAACCUUAAAUGAGGAUCAUUUGAGUAGGUUGUAAAACUCUCCCCCACCAAUGUUAUAGACAUCCUCAUCUCUCCUUUUGCACAAAAAUCGAAAUGUUCCUAAAUUAAUUCCUAUCAAUGAAGAGUUGUUAUAAUGCUUGUCGAUGAAAAGUUGCUAAAAGUGCAAUAAAUAUCUCACAAACCCAACAAUCUUCCACCUAAAAACAUUUUUGGAUCCUAACACAGAGGGGUGGGAGCCUCUAAAAGGGUUGGUGACUAGGGACCCCUAAGGCGUAUUUAUAGGCUUUUUGUGGGCUUAAGCGACUUGAACUCAUCUUGGGCUUAGGUUAAUUGAACUAGCCAACUUGGGUCUUAAUUAAUUAAUUAAUUAACUCAAUUAAGCUCCAAUUAAUCAAUUAGUUUAGUUUAAAGAGACCAUUCACAAGCUUCUACGCAACCUUACAUAUUUAGCAAAACACCUUUAUGCACUCAUGUGAAUAAAAACUCAACUAACCAUCAUAAACUAAGUUACCAUGGAAACAAAGCUCGAGUGGAGACCACUAAGACCCAUAGAGAACUCAACUAACCCUCAUAAAGUUUUAAUUCUAUCAUGCCACCAUGCAUUGUAUGUACGUUAUUCAUUUUUUGAUCUAUCAUUUCUUAUUUUUCUUUUAACCAAAGAAGGUCUUCUUAUAGUCAAAACUAGGUCUUCGAUUAUAAACCUUCGCUACAAGUCUAGCCUUAUAAGUUUCAACCUUUUCGUCUAUCCAUUUUUUCCUCUUGUAGACUCAUAUGUCCCCUAUAGGUUUUAUCCCUUCAAGUGGUUCUUCAAGAUCCUAGAUUCUAACUCUACCUCCAUAGUUCUUUGUCAUAGAAAAAUAUCAUUAUUGCUCAGUAAUUCUUGGGAUUAGUCUCAUGUCCCUCUAGAAUAGCCUUAAAAGACUCUUUCAAAUACAUGAACCUAUCUGGUUGUAUAACAACCCUCCCACUACAAGAGACUCUCAUAUACUAGAAUUACUAAGAAUCGUGGGUAUAGAAACCUUUAGAUUCAUAGUCAUUUAUGCUAACGUGGAAGUGUCUUCAAGUGCUCUCCAAUCUAUAUUAUGUUUUUCUUAUUACUUAUCAUAUGGUAUUCUUCCGGAAAUAUGACAUUUGUAUUAACAAAUAUCUUUUGAGCGACUUGACUAUAAAAGUAACGCCCUAUUAUUCUUUUUAGAUAGUUUACAAAAUCACACACCUCAGACCUUGCUUCCAACUUGUUUAUCAUUGACUAUAAAAGUAGCACCCUAUUAUUCUUUUUAGAUAGUCUACAAAAUCACACACCUCAGACCUUGCUUCCAACUUUUUUAUCUUUGGCUUCAACACAUGCGAUAGACACGAGAAUUUUUAAAACCCAAUACACCCUCUCCCUCUUAGAUGUUUUCCUUAUUAAGAUUAGUCUUUAUUUUCUCACUCCUAAAUGUGAAUGUGUCGCAAACUAGGUUAACGACCUAUCCUCAUCUUUGUCAGAGUCAAAAAGACUAACUUGGAAGGCAUUAGAUUAAGUAGGUAAGUUGUAGUCUCCAAGGCAUAUCCAUAAAAGGAUAUAGGAAGUGAUGAAAACUCAUCAUAGAUCUCACUAUGUUUAUUAUUAUUUGAUUUCUUUUUUCUACUACUCCAUUUUAUUAUAGAGUUACUCAACUAGGAUAUAAUCUCAUGCUUCUUAAGGAGAAAAUCAAAUUGGGUGGAUAUAUACUUACCACCUCGAUCAUACUAAAGUACCUUGAUAUGUUUACCUAAUUGGUUUUCUAAUUUUACCUUAAAUUCAAUGAAUUUAUCCAAGGCAUCGGAUUUCCUAUGCAUCAAGUAAAUAUAUCUAAACCUAUCAAGUUAUCAUCUAUAAAGGUGAUAAAGUACUCAUACCCUUCUCAUGGGCUUUAAAAGUCCUAUACAGAUUAGUAUCAACUAACUCCAAACAUUCGUCGACUCUAUAUUCUUUAGCAAUAAAAGGCUUCUUGGUCAUUUUACCUUCUAUGUAGGAUUUGUAGAAUGGAUGAUCCUUUAAAAUCAUAGAGUACAAUAUUCUACACUUACAAAGUCUUUGGAUCCUAUUUAGAUUAAUACGACUUAGACACACACUUCAAAAAAAUAGGUUUUUAAUGAUGAACUUUUAGCCACGACCACAAAUAUCGUGACCAAAGGUAUUAUUUUGUCACGGCCGCAGUAAAAUUGUGACUAUAUGUGUUAAUAAAUCUAGGGUGGGAAAAAAACAUAUUUAGUCACGGUGAUUUUACCAACCAUCACCAAAAGCAUUGAUGAGAGGGUAUUUUAGUGACGGAUUUAUUUGAAACCGUGACUAUUUGUAAAUUUAGGGAGGGAAAUUUUGGCACCAAUAAUUUUAGUCACGGUAAUUUAUAAUUCGUGACAAAAAGUGUAACAAAUGAUGUUUUAGUCACGGUUUUUUAUGAAACCGUCACUAUAUAUAUAUUGUGACUUUUAGUCACACCAUUGAUUAACCGUGACCAAAUGCAUAAAGGUUUAUUUUAAAUAUUUUGAACCUAUGGUCACGGGAUUGACACAAUCGUGACCAAAGUCUAUUAUUUAUUUUAAACCUUUUUGGGUUACCUAUUAUAAUUUUUUAGAAAAUAUUAUAUAUCAUAGAAAUUAUCAUUAAUAGUAAUAAUAAUAGUUCUUAUUAAUUAUAAAAAGUUUAAAGUUAUAUUAUUAUUAUUAUUAUUAUUAUUUUAAGUUAAGAAAGAAAUUAGUGUGUUACCAUAAAAUGUAUUUUUAAAAUUUAUAAUAUAAAUUUAUAAAUACAUUUAAUAUAACAAAUUAUUUUAUAUAUUUUUAAAACUUAUUUUAUUUAUUUUUAUUUGAAUAAAUAAUAAAUUUUGUGGUUAUAUAUCAUGGAAAACUUGAAAAGGGGAAAGGAAAAAUAUAAUAAAGCAAUAAAUAAAUAAAUAAAUAAUUUAAAGUAAUAAACUUUUACCAUAAAAUUUAUUUUUAAAAAUUUUAAAGAUAUAAAGAUUUUUGUUAUAUAUGAAUUUAUAAAUUUGAUUUAUAAUUUUUUUUUUUACCUAUGCAAGUUAAAUUCUUACAUUUUUUUUAUUUUUUGAAUUUUUCAUGUAAUAUAUGUAUACUUUGUAUGCUAUUACUAUUACACAAAUUUUAUAAUAAUUAAUUAAUUAAAUUCAACUUGAAUUGAACUUAACAAUCAAGACAAGUAAAGAGAAAGAAUUUUUAUUUUUUUAUAAAAUAUUUUUUAGAUAUUAAAAAUACUUUUAAACUUCCUAUAAUUACUCCUAAAGAUGACUCUUUAUGGUAAUGUUUUAAUUUUAAAAUAAAUAGUGUAAAAAAAAAUCUUGUUCUAUUAAUAAUAAUAAUAAUAAUAAUAAUAAUAUUAUUAUUAUUAUUAUUAUUGAUUUUAUAGAAUAAGAUUAAUGAGAUAAAUUAUGAUACAUUUAAUAUUAAAACUAUAAUUUAUUUAAUUCAAAUACAUUUAAUAGUGUGAAAUAAAUGAUAUAUAUAUGAUUGUUUUAAUAUUUAUAUUUUUUAUAUUUAAUUAUCAUAUAACUAAUAUAAAAAAGACUUAUUAAAAAAAAUUUAUAUUAAUUUUUAUAUUUUUAUUAAUCAAUUAAAUAUAAUUUAAAAUAAAAUAAUUAGAAUUAUUUUUUUUUUAAUGAUGAACCUUAACAAAUUUAAAUUAAACAUACAUUAUCAAAGAAAUUUAUUGAAGUUUAUUAGAAUUCUACUUUGGUAUCUAUAUGAGGUGUCCUAUAGAAGGAAAAUAAGAAAAGAAUAAGAAGAAAAAUAAGGAAGGAAUAAGAAAAAGUUGAUAUACGAGUGACAAAACAGGAAGGAAAUGCAAAGGAAAUAUAAAAAGAUAAAAAGAUUGAAAAAAAUAUGGUAGGUAAUUAAAAUAGCAUAUUCAUGCAAAAUAAAAUCAAGUUGAACAAUUUUUAUUUUUAUUUUUAAUUUAAUUCUUUAAUGGUUUGUUUGAAAACCAUUUUUAUUUAUUUUAUCUCAAUUAAAUAACACUAAUAAACGUAUUUUAAAAGUAUUUUUGAUAGUAAUUUUAAGAAUGUUUUAUAAUUUUUAUAUAUUUUAUUAUAANNNNNNNNNNNNNNNNNNNNNNNNNNNNNNNNNNNNNNNNNNNNNNNNNNNNNNNNNNNNNNNNNNNNNNNNNNNNNNNNNNNNNNNNNNNNNNNNNNNNAUGGAUGAGCUUGCCUGUUAGGUGGGCUUUUUUGUUUAUGCAAGUCUGCAAGAGACUUGCCAAGUAGGUUGUUUUAGUUUCCAUUGUUGGCGCCAAAGAUUUUUUCAAAACAGGGUCAAGACCAAUUUCAAUAGCAAUUCCGUGGUCCACUUUUGGAUCAAAUUAUCCCCACAUCACAUCAACUGGAAAAUUUUAUUCACAAGCUUUCCAGUUCAAACCUUUGAUGAGAUUUUUUUUUUUUUGUUUUUGAAGUCUUUCUUUUUUGGUAACCCCCUCCCUAUGUGUCGAUUGAAACCCACUGUUUUCAGCCAAAUUUUUAUUCAAUUCGUUGGUUUUUGAAAGAAAAAAGAGCGGAAAAGAGAAGAAAAGUGAAGGAAAAGGAAUAGGCAAAGAAAGAAAUAUAUAGGCAAAAAAAAAAAAAGGAAAACAUAUUUAAAAAAAAAAAAAAAAAAAAGGAAAACAUAUUUAUUUUUAAUUGUUUUAGGUUAUUUUAAAAAAUAAUUAUAUAAAUACGAAGAACGAUUAAAAAUAAGACAUUGAAUAUAAAAGUUAUUUUUAAAAAGAUUUGAGGUUGUCAAACAAGCUUUUUGUUAUGAAAUAUUAAGGAACAAUUUUUAAAAACUAUUUUUUAGAAUUGUAUUUUAAAACACUUAUCAAAAGGAGUCUAUGUUUGUUUGGUAAGNNNNNNNNNNNNNNNNNNNNNNNNNNNNNNNNNNNNNNNNNNNNNNNNNNNNNNNNNNNNNNNNNNNNNNNNNNNNNNNNNNNNNNNNNNNNNNNNNNNNAAGUUUAAAAAAUCACUUUGUAAUAUUAGAAAAUCAGCUACAACUACUUCUCUAAAAAACACUUCAAUUAUUUUUUUAAAUUUUCUAAAUUAUUUUUUAAAAUAUUAUCAAACACAUAUUUUUAGAGCUAUAAACACUUUUUAAAAACACCGGAAAAUGAAUCUCCUUAAACAAUUUCAAGGAAAACCACUUAAAACACUUGGAAUAUAAAUAUUUUUUUAAUGGGUAUAGACUAUAGUUUAUUGAUCAAAUCUUAUCAUUUAGCAAUUUAAUGAAAUUAGAUUAUAAUAAUGAUGAUAGCAUAUUAUAUAAUUGACAAACAUAAGCUUAUUUUAAAAAAUUAUAAAAUAUUUUGAUCAUAUUUUCCAAUUUUUGUUAAAUUAUUUUUAUUUAUUACUUAAAAUUAUUUUUUAUUUUAAAUUAUACUAUUAAAUCAUUUUACCAAACAUAUUUAAUUUACUUGAUAAUUUAAAUUAAAUUAUUAAAUUAUUAAAUUACUUUAAAUUAUUAAAUACUACUUUACCGGUGAAAUUAUACCAUAAGCGUCGUUUUGAUAGUGAAGAGAAAGAGCAACAAACCGACGUCGUUUAAAUGCACACACAAUCUCUUUCUCCAUCUCUCUCUAUGGUUUCGUAGAUGUAGAGCUAUGUUCUCUCAUGGUGGUGUUAAUCGGAGGAAUCUAAUUGAAAACACAGAUUCGUCUGAAAAACCAGAGAAGAAGAGGCCUCAUUUGAACAUUGUGUCAUUCCCCAUGGCCCGAAACUCCAGUGUUUCUCCCCAUAAUCGAAGCGUAAGCCUCCUCCUCCUCCUCCUCCUCCUCCUCCUCUCUCUCUCUCUCUCUGUCUUUUCCUUUUCCCGCUCUUUGUUUUCUUAGGAAACUGUGGACAAGAGAAUAGUGGAAAAUUCUUAUUCUCAUAUUAAUUAAAAAAAAUCGGAGAGCUUAUGGAUGAAACCAAAUGGUUUUAUUAGGUUUCUAUUUGGUUGGCAAGGAAGAUGAGACUCAAAUGGAAGUUCAAUUUUGAUAUCUCAAAACCCCCCGACUAUAAAAAUUACCGAAAUUUCUGUCGACCGAUAAAUAUCGCCGAAAUUUUUCGACAUUUCAAUCCUUGCAUAAGACUACCCAACCAGGUCUGGAAUGAUGAUAAUGGUAUAUAAUUUUUGAAGGAUCCAAAACUGGAGUGAAGCGUAGAGAAACGGAACCCUCGAUUAAGAUCUAUCUUCUCCCUCUAGAAUUUCUACUCAAUUUCCUCAAAGUCAGAUCUCCACAAUUCUCUCUAGCGAGGUAGGGUUCGAUUCUCAUCUCAAUCUCCGUUCACCGUCUUGUUUUCAUUCCAUUUGUCUGGUUUUGUGUGAAUUGUUUCUAAAUCUAUGACUUUUUUCUGUAAGGUUUGAAUUGUUUCCUCGAUUGUUAUGAGUUGCAAUUGUGAUGAAAAUGGAUUUAAAUGCUUAAGCACUAAUGAAUUUGGGAAUUUCCUUCAUAAUUGCCAUAUUGGAAAACCCUCAUUUUGCAUCACAAUUUGGAUGUAAUGCAUAUUGAAAAGAGUAUAUGUGACAGUAUAGUUGGCACCUUGUUGAGUAUCGAUGAUAAAUCAAAGGAUAACUUCAAUAGUCAUCUUGACUUGCAAGCUAUGGGUAUCAGAGAUCAACUUCACCCCAUACAAAGAGGGAAUAGGGUUAUAUUGCCUGCUGCAUGCUAUUCACUAACUUCAAAUGAAAAAAAGGAAUUCUGUAAAUUUUUGAAAGAAAUAAAGGUUCCAGAUGGUUAUGCUUCUAACAUCUCUCGCUGUGUACAAGUGAAUGAAAGAAAGAUAUUUGGGUUGAAGUUUCAUGAUUGUCAUGUUCUCAUGUAACAACUCCUUCCACUUGCAAUUCAAGGAGUUCUACAUAAAAAUGUUUGUGUUGUUAUAGUUGAACUAUGUAGUUUCUUCAAAUAGUUGUGUUCUAAAGUGUUAAAGACUUAUCAAUUAGAGCACCUUGAGAAUGGCAUAAUAGUCACACUUUGCAAAUUAGAAAGAAUAUUUCUUCCAUCAUUCUUUGAUGUUAUGGUGCAUUUACCUAUUCAUCUUGUAAGUUAGGCAAAGGUUGCUAGACCAAUGCAAUAUCGAUGGAUGUAUCCUAUCGAGCGGUAUGUUCUCAUUCAAUUAAUCUUAUGUAUAUUAGGUUUCGUAUAGUUCAUGAAACAAAUCUAUCAUGUUGUGGAAUGACAGGUAUUUACGUACAUUAAAGUCUUAUGUUCGUAAUAAGAGUCGUCCAGAAGGUUCUAUUGCAGAGGGGUACAUAGCAGAAGAAUGUGCAACCUUUUGUUCAAGAUAUUUGCAUGAUGUUGAAACGAAGCAUGACCGUGAAGAAAGAAAUUAUGUCAUUGAAAACAACAUAACAAAUGGUGGAGGGUUAACCAUUUUCAAAUGCAUGGGACGUACAAUAGGAAAGUCAACAUCUCGUGUUCUUAGCACAGAAGAAUGGUCCCAAGCACAUUUAUAUGUGUUGACUAAUUGUGAGGAAGUGACAUCAUUUAUUGAAUAAGACACUUAUUUGAAUAAAACUUUACAUUAAUUCUCAUACAAAAAUUUAAUUUUGGUUUUUGUGAGCAUUAUAAUUAAUUUUUUUUCUUUUUUAUCAGAGAGCAUAAGCAAUCUAUAAGGGUUAAGGCUCGUAUUCGUGCACGAGAUGUAGAUUUGAUUCACAAGAGAAUUCAUUAGUUGGUUUGAAGAAUGUGUAAGUUCAUUCACUACAUAAAUUGUUCUAUUAUCUAAUACACAUGUAUGUAUUAACAUCUUAUAUUUGAAUCUAUAGAUUAUACAAAUGCGACAUGAAGGUCCAAUUUCUGAACACAUACUAUCAUUGUCUCGUGGACCAAGUACAUCAGUUACAUGUUAUAGAGGAUACAUCAUUAAUGGGUUCAGAUUUCACACAAGAGAACAAGAAAAGGGAAAAAAAACUCAAAAUAGUAGAGUUGUUGUGACCACAGAGGUAUCAAGCUUUACAAGUGUAAGAGAUAAGAACCCAAUUCCUGGUCAUGUUUCUUACUAUGGUGUGCUAAUUGAUGUAAUUGAGUUACAUUACCUUGGUGGAAAUAGAGUUAUUUUAUUCAAGUGUGACUGGUGGGAUGUAAUCAAUAGUGGAAAGGGAAUAAAGAAUGAUGAAUAUGGGUUCAUGUGUUUGAAUUUUGAACGUACCAUAUGCACAGAUGAACCAUUUGUGCUUGCAUCUCAAGCAAAACAAGUCUUCUAUGUUCAAAAUUCAAAUGAGGAAAAUUGGCACACCGUUGUAGAGAUACAAACUCAAGGGGUUUAUGAUAUGAAUCAAAAAGUAUCUACUAAUGAUCCAGAGCCAUAUCAACAGCUUAUAAACACUUCAUAGUCAACGUGAUGUGCAUGAGUUGGUCGAGAAUGAUUUAAUCAAUUGGGAUAGAAAUGAUAUUGCAGGAGAAACUAUCCAAACAGAUGUUCUACUAUCACGACAAGAAAACAUUGUUGAAAAAGAUAAUGAAUUCAUUCAUGAUGAUGAUAUAGAUGAUGUGUAGCUAAUAAUAUUGGUAAGUACAUACAUAUAUACUUACUAGAUAUACAAAUUGUAAUUUAUUUCAUAUUAUUUAUGUAACUUAUUUUGUAUAACUUUUUCUAAUUUACUUUAUUAUGUAGAAAAUGUCACAUCGAGGAGGAAGAGUACAAAUAGUGUCUCCAGAAGAUGAGUUGGACAAUCUACAACAACUCUUAGACAUACAACCUGCUGCAACUACUACUCCUAGUAGUUCUGAUCCUUCUAAUUUUUCAGAUCCUUUUGUUGUUGGUAUGAUUAAGAAGAUUAUGUUUAAUUUUACAUAUGAUAAAUGUGUUUACAUAUGUUUAAUUUCUUGAAUGAUACGUUUUUAAUGUUUAAAUUUAUAUAAGAUAAGUAAAUUAUGUUUCUUUUAAUUUCAUUAUUACUCUUAAUAGGUUCAUCUUCUAGCAAAAAGAGGACACGUGGCCAAACACGUAACUUAGAUUUACUUAGUAUGGAACUCGGGGAAAAAAAAAACUACACGAUUCAAUACCAGAGGGCAAGUUGUUUAUGAUGGAAAAGGGGAAAGAUUAUCAAGCUAUAUGGGAACAUUGGUGCGAUCUCAACACAAUGUACCCAUCCAAGUUCAAGAUUGGAAUCAUGUUAGUGAAAAUGUGAAAGAAAAGAUUUGGGCCUUAGUAUUGGUAUAUGCUAGUUACUAUUCAAUCUAAAUAUUAAUGUUAUUGUUUAAAAAUGAUACCUCUUAUUUAUACAUGACAUUUUAAUGCAAUACAGGAAAAAUAUGAAUUAGAAGAAACAUGUAAGAGCUACAUUCUUCAAUGUUGUGGAAAUUUGUUUAGAAGCUAUAGAAAUAAAAUGAAGGCCAAGUAUUAUAACCCUUAUAAUACAGAUGAGGAGAGAUUGUGCCAUCGACCUCCACACUUAUCGGAUGAUGAUUGGAGGUGGCUCAUCCACUUUUGGGGUACACCUGAGGCCAAGGUAAAGAUAAUUAUCUUUUCUUGAUAAUGUAUCUUAUGACACUCAUAUUCACAUAAAAUGAUAUUUAUUAGUUAUGUCUAACCUAAUAAUUCAUGUAUAUAACUUUUAUUAUGUUUCUAUUACCUAUAUAGGUGACUUGCUAUUUUUUUAAUUGAUGUAGGAUAUCUCAAAAAAAAAAAAAAACAAGGCAAAUAGGGCAAAGCACGUGAUAAAGCAUACAUUGAGAUCAAAAAGUUAUACUCAAAUUCGAUAUAUACAGGUUGGAAAUUUAUUAUUAAUAUGAUUUGUUUGUACAUAAAUAACUCAAUUGUUUUACUUGUAAGAAUAGGCACAAAAGAAUGAGGAUUGAAGUGAGCCCAAUAGAAUUGAGAUGUUUGCCCUGACACACACAAGAAAAGAUGGGACGCCUGUUGAUGAUCAUUCUAAGGAGAUUAUGGUAAUGAAAUAAAUAAAUUUUAUAUAUUUGUAUUUCAAUCAUAGCCUCAUACUAAAUUAUUUUAAAAGUCUAACAUUUUUUUUUUGUUUUUUAUAAUUCCAGGAUCAAUUUCAACAAUUACUAUCCCAACCUGAGGGGACAUCUUCUUCUACUUCUGCAUCAUCUGGAGCAUCUACAUCUGUAUCAUCUACAUUUAUAGCAUCUACAUAUGUAGAUGAGAUAUAUACUCAAGUCAUGGGUCCAGAGAAGCAUGGUCGUGUUCGAGGGUAUGGAUUGGGUCCUGUUCCUACCUUAGUCUUUGGUUCUACUAGUAGAAGGCGAUCAGGAGCUAUUCUUUCAACACAACUUGAAAACGCCCAAGAAAUGUUAAUAGUUGUAGAACAAAAGUUUACAAUUGCAACUGAAGAACUCUCAAAUGUGAAAGAUGGACUCUCACAUGUGAAAAAAACAUUUGAAGAGAGAUUGAUAGAAGUUCAAAGGAAGACACGAGAAGAAGUGAAAUAAGAGUUUGAAGAAAAAAUGAUGGAAAUGCAAAGAAAAAUGCAAGCACAAAUGCAAGCACAAAUUCAAGAACAGGUGAUGCAAAUGAUGCAACAAUUUCAGCAAAAGCAAUAGAAAUUUGAAGAUUUUGCUACAUCUUUAUAAGAUAGAGUCUCUUAACUUUUUUGAAGAUUAUGCUACUUAUUUAUAUGAUAGAUUCUCCUAACUUUUUUUGCUUUCUAUGACUAUUAUGUGAUGUUUGGUUGGUUGAUUUGUUAUAUUAUGUUAGAAUGUGAAACUAAAUUUGAAUCUCUUUGUUUUUUGUUUGUUUGGUUUUUUUAUUUAAUGACUUAUAUCGAUAUAUAAGUUUUUAACUAGCUUGGAAUAAUUGAUUGUAAUAUAUUAAAAAACAAUUAAUUGCUUAAUUGCAUAUACAGGUCUAAAAUGGAUUUGUUUGGGUUUAUAACAGGUUUGAGAAUUUUGAAUUUAUAAAAAACCAAUGUCCAAAAUAUAACAAAUUUUAGUCACGACCACUAAAAAAUUGUGACCAUAAGUGUACUUUUAGUCACGAUCAAUAAUGAACCGUCACCAAAAUUUGGGGAUAAGGCGGCCAUCACAUGAUUAAUUUUAGUAGUCGUGACCAUAAGUGGACAUUUUGUCAUAAUAGACCUAAUUAUUAGUCACGGUCACUUAAUUACCGUGACCAUAUACCUAUAUUUAGUCACGAUUAAUGAAUUGCCUUUGACCAUAAGAUUACAUUUAGUCACAAUCAUUUUAUUAACCGUGACUAUAGAUAUACAUUUAGUCACGGUUAGGGCAUUGACCAUGACCAUAAGGUUACAUUUAGUCACAAUCAUUUUAUUAACCGUGACUAUAGACACACAUUUAGUCACGGUUAGGGCAUUGACCGUGACCAUAAGAUUACAUUAAUCCAUUAAGUUUACAUUUGGUCACAGUAACCUACUUGACCAUGACCAUAAGCUUACAUAUAGUCAUGGUUGAUAACUUUACCCGUGACUAUAAGUGUACAUUUAAUCACGUUCAUUAUUUGACCAUGACUAUAGGUUAAACAUAUAGUCACGAUUUAUUACCUGACCGUGACUAAAUCAACUUAAUAAAAAGCAAAGUAUUCUUAACUUUUUGGUCACAGCUUUUGUAUGGCCGUCACAAAAAAGGAAUCAUAUGGUCAUGAUCACUUAGGAAACCAUGACCAAUACCUUUAGCUACGCCUCAUACUGUGACGCUCGAUCACGGUUUCAUAAAACCGCAACAAUAGGUUUUGGUCACAGAUAUAUAAGAUUUGGUGACGGUCCCCGACCAUCACCAAAAAUCCUAUUUCUUGUAGUGACAAGUGUCAAAGUUAUAUUUGAUUGGUUCUAGGUUCCUUUCUUUUAAGUAAUAUAUGAUAAUUCUCAUUAUUUGGCAAAACAGAUAAUGGAGAUUCACGAUAAAGAUUAUCAACCAAUGAUCUUAAGGAUAUAAAUGAGUUAUUCAUUUUAAUAAAAACUUCUUUAUUGUUAAAAAAAACAAUUGAAUAAUUCAAUUUACAUAAAUUAUAAGACAAUUCUUUCUAAACUCAAGAAAAUAAAGAUAAUCUUUAAGUCCUAGAACACAAUUAUCAUCUAAGGGUAACAUCUCUCACUACUACAUAACAAUUCUUACUUCAAAAGCUAGAGCCAAGUACAUCUCCCCAUCAUUCAAACUUCUCCUUAGUCGAAACCAAUGUAAAUAAUUACAAAUAUGGUUAAGUGGCUUUAUAAUAUAUCCAUCAAGAGUUGGUAGAAUUUGCUACUAAACGUGAUUCAACUAAAAGUGAAUGUUGCAUACCUUGUUUUUUCUUUAGGAAUUUUGGCACUCCUUUUUCUAAUGGCAUUUUUUUUUUCACAAAGGAAACACUUGCCCUUCCCUUUACUCUUCUUAUCUCUAGCCUUGAACUUUUCCUUCUAUUUAGUGGUCUCAAUAACAUUCUUCUUACUAGAUAUAAUUUUAAAGGAUAAAUAUGUCAAUUUCAUGAUUUAAAAUAAAUUAUAAGUUAGUUUUAUCAAAUAACCUUAAUACUUAAAGUAAGAAUUAAAUAAUAAGUUUUAAAUUGACAAUUUAAGUAUAAUUUAACUUAAAGUCAACUUAAGUCAUUAAAUAAUAAGUAUUAAGUUUUACCAAACACCUCUUAAAAGUCGUUCUACUUCUUUUUGGUAAUUUAUAGUUAAUAUAUUGUGGACCCCGCAUUUCGGCUCAUGCGUUUCCCACUGGAUGGCGAACUCGAUUUUUAUUUGAAAAAUGAUUUUUUAUUUAUUAGAAGAUGACUUAGAGUCGCCACUUAUUUUUGUUUUAUUUUUAAAGGGUAAACAAAAUAAGAAAGAAAACCCUAAGUGUGACUCCUUGUUUUGGAAAAUGUGGUAUGUGAAAAACCAGAUCGGGUUCGGGGGUCAGGUUACUCAUCGGGAAGGUAUGGUAAAAACCGUAGCACCCCUCUAAGUCCCUAAAGUCGGGUCUCUACUAAUAAAAUGAAGCAAUCAUGGCGAUGGACGAGUAAAUCAAUGAGUACCCAAAUUGAUCAUGCACGUAUGAAAAACAAAACAAACAUAAGGAGUGAUCAUGAUGUAAAGAAAUACGUACCUGGGUGGCAAACCAAUAUACGCUAUCAAGAGGGGGUUAGUGCACAAUUAAGAAAUAAUUUCAAGCAUGUCAUAGAGCAGAAUAAUCAUCUAUCAUGCAUAACAAUUAAAUUAAUUAAUCAAUCAAUCAAUCAAUUAUAACUUCACUUAUGUGGGGCCCCCACCAAAGCCCGUUUAUUUUUUAGUGAAUUAAUUUCGUAAAUUCUAUAAUUAAGAAUUACGAAAAUAAAUUCACACUUAUUUUAAAACAUUUUAAAAAAAAUGAAGAAAAUUUGAAAGUGUCUUUUUGGAAAGAAAAUUGCAGCGAAUUUUUUAUUAAAAAGAUGGAAAAUGCUUGAAAUCAAGAGAAGAUAAUAAUAAUAAUAAUAAAAUAAGAAUAAAAAUAAAAAUAAAAAUAAAAAUAAAUAAAUAAAUAAAAAGAAUAGAAUAAAAAAUAAAAUAAGAAUAAUGCAUGCUUAGUGGAAAAUGGUAGGAAUUGAUUUAUUUAAGAUUGGAUUUAUUUAAAAUCAAGAAAGAAAAAUUAAAGAAUUAAAAUCAUUUGAAAGAAUCUAAAAUUUUGAAAACUAUUUGAAAAUUGGGAUUUGAGGGAUUAUGUAACGCCCAAGUAUUUUUUUAAGGGUAAUUUAGGAAAUUACUAAUAAUAAUUCAAUUAGUUAAUUAAUUAAUUUAAUAAAGUGGAAGAGGGGUAAAAGUGUAAUUUUACGAAUAAAUACCCUAGGUAUAAAUUAGAAAUUCUAUUUCUUCCUGUUCUUUUCUGAAUAGAGUUCCUGUUCGCAGAAUUUCAGAGAACGUAGGUUGGAGUCAGAUUUCAGGGUUAAAGAACAGAUCUCUAUAGGUAAGAUUUUAACCCCUAGUUUAAUAUUUUAGAUUCAUUGAUUAAUUUCAAACACAUUAGAUAUCUUUUGGAAAACCCAAAUCUAGAUUAGGGUUAGUUUAUAUUUUUUUAAUUCGUUUUAAUAUCAAUAGUAAAAAAAAAAAAAUGAUAUCUCCUAUUUGAAAUGAAAAUAUUUGAUCCCUGAACUGCAUUAAUAUUCCUUAUUAGGUUGUGAGCUCAUUCCCAAUUGUUGAAAAUUUUUCAGGUAUCCUUAGUUCGGGUGAGGAGUGAUGGCUAGGCUGAGGAAUGGUCAUCAUUAGGAUUUGACUUAGGAUUUUAUGUUGGAUUUUGUUUAGCUGUUAGUUAUGUUCAUUUGGAUCAUUUGGUAUUUGGAAGUUAUUUGGAUAUUGAUCUUUCAAAUUUUAUGUUAGAUCAAAGUUGAGUGUUGGAGAUUUUGAAAUUUGUUCUAGUACUUGAAUUGUUUAAGUUUGCAAAUAUUUGGACAAUGGAUUUUGGAUAGUGAAUGUUUUAGUUUUGAAAUUGAAUUUUGAGGAUUUUAGAUUUUGUUCCGCUACUUUAAACAGAUAUUUGGUAAUUGGUAACUUCCAAUUACAAGAUAAUUGUUUGGGUCAGGUUACACUGUAAGCCUUCGGGUUUGAGGUGUAAAAUGACUGUCACGCCCUUGGAGUGGGUCUUGGGGCGUGAAAGAGUGGUAUCAGAGCACUAGGUUUUGAUCUUGAUGGGAAUUUGAAUUGGUUUAGAUUGGGAAUAGAUGAGUGACGCAUUUGUUUAAGUUUUAGUUUCAUUUAGUAUAAAUUCCAAUUCUUUCUUUAUUUGUAAAUUUUCUAAUUGGUUCUUUAGUGACUAAUUUGGUUAUGCCUUAUUAUUUUAGGACAUCAUGCCACCAAGAAGAGCAACUUCUUUACAAAACAGUCAGGCUAAUGAUGAUGUACCUCCAGUUGAGGGUUUGCCUCCCGUGAGUGCAGAAGGGAUCCAUAGGUAUCUUAGGACACUAGCUGGUUUAGUUGAACGCCAAGCUCGAGCUGUUAGGACUAAUGUUCAGGGAUAGUCUUCAUCUUCUAGGGGUAGCUCUUUUGAUGACUUCAAGAAAUUGGGUCCUCCUUACUUUUCUGGUGCUACAGAUCCCACAGAGGCAAAGGCUUGGAUCCUUAAGAUGGAGAAAUUCUUUGGUGUCAUAGAUUACUCUGAGGAGUAAAAAGCCUCUUAUGCAGCUUUUAUAUUAGAUAAAGAGGCAGAUCAUUGGUGGCGUAUGACUAGGAGACUUUUGGAGGAUCAGGGACCCAUAACAUGGAGACAAUUUAGGGAGGCUUUCUACAAGAAGUAUUUCCUUGACAGUGUUAGGCGGCAGAAGGUGGGAGAGUUUAUUCGUUUGGAAUAGGGGGAUAUGACUGUGGCUCAGUAUGAGGCCAAAUUUACAGAGUUAUCACGUUUUUCCCCAUAGUUGAUUGCUACAAAGGAGAAAAAGACAUUAAAGUUUCAAGAUGGAUUGAAGCCUUAUUUGAAGAACAAGAUAUCUAUUCUGAAACUUGGUGUCUAUUCAGAGGUUGUUGACAGAGCCCUUAUAGCAGAGAAAGAUAAUGAGGAGCUUCAUCAGUAUAGGGAAUAGCAAAGGAAGCGAAAUAGGAGUGAUGGUGCUCAUGGUAAUCAAGCACAGCAAAGGUCUACAUCAGGAAGAAAUCAGAAUAAAGGGAAGGCAGCGCAGAAUUUAGAUGGGGCUUGUCCUACUUGUGGUAAGAAGCAUGGGGGUAGGCCAUGCUAUAGAGAGACUGGAACUUGCUUUGGUUGUGGGAAGCAAGGACAUUUGAUCAGAGAUUGUCCAGAGAAUAGGAAGUUCAUCACUAGGAAGCCUAAAGAGGAAAAUAAAGAGGAUAAACAGAAACCCAAAGCCCAAGGACGGGUGUUUGCUAUGACUCAUCGAGAUGCUCAGGCCACUUCUGAUGUGGUGACAGGUACUCUCCGAAUCCACACCUUAUUUGCUAGAGUCUUGAUUGAUCCUGGAUCAACACACUCUUUUGUUUCAGUAUCUUUUGCUGGUUUGUUGGGUUUGCCUGUUGCUAGCAUGGACUUUGAUUUGAUUGUUGCUACUCCUGUGGGAGAUUCUGUUGUGGCCAGUAGAAUGCUUAGAAAUUGUAUUAUGAUGAUUGGUUAUAGGAAAAUGCCAAUUGACUUAGUACUCCUUGCCUUCAGGAUUUUGAUGUGAUUUUGGGGAUGGAUUGGUUAGCUUCCUACCAUGCCUCUGUUGACUAUUUUGAGAAAAGGGUGACGUUUAGUAUUCCUGGUCAGCCUAAGUUUAGCUUUGAAGGGAAGCAUGUGGACAAACCAUUGCGUAUGAUCUCAGCCUUGCGAGCUAGUAGCUUGCUCAAGAAGGGUUGCCAAGGAUUUUUGGCUAGUGUGAUGAGUAAUGAAAGUGAUUUGAAGUUGAAAGACAUACCCAUAGUAAGGGAGUAUCCUGAUGUCUUUCCAGAGGAUUUGCCUGGCUUGCCACCAGAGAAAGAGGUGGAGUUCACCAUCGAUCUGGUACCAGGAACAGGUCCUAUGUCUAAGGCCCCAUACAGGAUGGCACCUGUGGAGCUUAAGGAGUUGAAAGUUUAGCUUCAGGAGUUAUUAGACAAGGGUUUUAUCAGGCCUAGUGUUUCACCUUGGGGAGCUCCUAUUCUAUUUGUAAAAAAGAAGGAUGGCUCAAUGAGACUUUGCAUUGACUAUAGGGAAUUGAAUAAGGUGACAGUGAGGAACAAGUAUCCCCUUCCUCGGAUUGAUGAUUUGUUUGAUCAACUACAAGGUCCUUGUGUGUUCUCUAAGAUAGAUCUUCGAUCGGGUUAUCACCAGUUGAGGGUUAGAGGGGAAGAUGUACCCAAGACUGCUUUUCGAACUAGGUAUGGGCACUAUGAAUUUCUUGUUAUGCCUUUUGGUUUGACUAAUGCACCUGCUGCUUUUAUGGACUUGAUGAAUAGGGUAUUCAAACCCUAUUUAGAUCAGUUUGUGGUGGUUUUUAUAGAUGACGUCUUGGUAUACUCAAAAAGUAGAGAGGAGCAUGAGGGUCAUUUGAGUAUUGUAUUACAGACCCUUAGAGAUAAGCAGUUGUAUGCUAAACUGAAGAAGUGUGAGUUUUGGUUAGACCGAAUUUCUUUCCUUGGGCAUGUGGUAAGCAAUGAUGGCAUCUCAGUUGACCCUGGAAAGGUAAAUGUUGUAGCUAAUUGGAGAAGACCUAGUACUAUGACUGAGAUUCGAAGUUUCUUGGGACUUGCUAGUUACUAUAGGCGGUUUAUAGAAGGGUUCUCUAAGAUUGCCCUACCUUUAACUAAGUUGACAUAGAAGGGAGUUAAGUUUGAGUGGUCUGAUGAUUGUGAAUGUAGCUUCCAAGAGUUGAAGAAUAGAUUAGUGUCAGCUCCUAUUUUGACUAUCCCUUCAGGUUCAGGAGAAUUUGUGGUGUAUAGUGAUGCCUUUCAUCAGGGUUUAGGUUGUGUUCUUAUGCAGCAUGGGAGAGUUGUAGCUUAUGUUUCUAGAUAGUUGAAUCCUUAUGAAAGGAACUACCCUACUCAUGAUUUGGAGUUAGCUGCUGUGGUUUUUGCACUUAAGAUUUGGAGACAUUUUCUUUUUGGUGAAACUUGUGAGAUAUUCACAGAUCAUAAGAGUUUGAAGUAUCUAUUUUCCCAAAAGGAGUUGAACAUGAGACAGAGAAGAUGGAUAGAACUACUUAAGGACUAUGAUUGUAUUAUUCAAUAUCAUCCUGGGAAGGCGAAUGUUGUAGCUGAUGCCUUGAGUAGGAAGUCAGUUGGUUCUCUAGCAGCUAUUAGAGGCUGUCAAAGGCAGUUACUUGAAGAGUUAAGGAGUUUACAAGUCCACUUUCGAGUUAUGGGCUUAGGAGCACUUGUAGCAAAUCAGAGUACAACCAGACUUAGUUGGGAGAAUUAAGACCCUACAAAAGAAUGAUUUCCAAUUAGUGCAAGUUAUGGAGGAAGUUAAGAGGGGCAGUAAGUCUGAUUUUGUUUUGUCAGAUGAUGAGAUCUUGAGAUUUGGGACUCGACUUUGUGUCCCAAAUGAUGAAGACUUAAGGAGGGAGCUUUUAGAGGAAGCUCAUUGUUCCAAGUUUGCAAUCCACCCAAGAGGGACAAAGGUGAACAAGGAUUUGAGGCAAAACUAUUGGUGGUCAGGUAUGAAGCGUGAUAUUGCAUAAUUUGUGGCUCAGUGUUUAGUGUGUCAACAGGUGAAGGUUGAGCAUUAGCGACCAGCAGGGUCUUUGCAGCCACUUGCUAUUCCUGAGUGGAAGUGGGAGCAUAUUACCAUGGAUUUUGUGAUAAGAUUGCCAAGAACCUUAGGGGGUAAUAAUGCUAUUUGGGUGAUUGUUGAUUGGUUGACAAAGUCUGCUCACUUUUUGCCUAUGAAAGUCAACUUUUCUUUAGAUCGUUUAGCUUCUCUUUAUGUGAAGGAGAUUGUGAGAAUGCAUGGAGUACUAGUUUCUAUAGUGUCUGACAGAGAUCCUCAUUUCACUUCUAGAUUCUGGCAUAGUCUACAAAAAGCUUUGGGCACUGAGUUGAGUUUUAGUACUGCUUUCCAUCCUCAAACUGAUGGUCAAUCAGAAAGAGUAAUUCAGGUUUUGGAAGACUUGUUGAGAGCUUGUAUUUUGGACCUGCAAGGUAAUUGGGAUGAUCAUUUACCUUUAGUAGAGUUUGCCUAUAACAAUAGUUUUCAAGCUAGCAUUGGGAUGGCACCUUUUGAGGCAUUGUAUGGUAGGAAAUGUUGAUCUCCUAUCUGUUGGAAUGAUGUUGGAGAAAGGAAAAUUUUGGGGCCUGAACUUGUGCAGUUGACUGUUGAAAAAGUUGCUUUGAUUAAAGAAAGAUUAAAAAUAGCUCAAAUUAGACAUAAGAGUUAUGCUGAUAAUCGUAGGCGAGAUUUGGAGUUUGAGGUGGGUGAUCAUGUGUUCUUGAAAGUUUCACUUAUGAAGUCUAUGAUGAGAUUUGGGAGAAAAGGAAAACUUAGUCCUCGUUUUGUGGGUCCGUUUGAAAUAUUAGAAAGAGUAAGCACUUUGGCAUAUAAAGUAGCCUUGCCCCCAAGUCUAUCUAAGAUUCAUAAUGUUUUCCAUGUUUCAACCUUGAGGAAGUAUAUUUAUGAUCCCUCUCAUGUUGUGGAGUUGGAGCCUAUUCAAAUUUCGGAGGACUUGACCUAUGAAGAGGUACCCGUUCAAAUUGUGGAUGUGAUGGAUAAGGUAUUGCGACAUGCUAUUGUCAAGUCGGUAAAGGUCUAAUGGAGCAAUCAUAGUAUCCGAAAGGCCACUUAGGAGUUAGAAGAAGAGAUGAGAAAAAAACAUUCUCAAUUAUUUCAAGACUCAGGUAUGUCAAGUUUAGAGGACUAAACUUUUGUUAAGGAGGGGAGGAUGUAAUGCCCAAGUAUUUUUUUAAGGGUAAUUUAGGAAAUUACUAAUAAUAAUUCAAUUAGUUAAUUAAUUAAUUUAAUAAAGUGGAAGAGAGGUAAAAGUGUAAUUUUACGAAUAAAUACCCUAGGUAUAAAUUAGAAAUUCUAUUUCUUCCUGUUCUUUUCUGAAUAGAGUUCCUGUUCGCAGAAUUUCAGAGAACGUAGGUUGGAGUCAGAUUUCAGGGUUGAAGAACAGAUCUCUAUAGGUAAGAUUUUAACCCCUGGUUUAAUAUUUUAGAUUCAUUGAUUAAUUUCAAACACAUUAGAUAUCUUUUGGAAAACCCAAAUCUAGAUUAGGGUUAGUUUAUUUUAUUUUAAUUCGUUUUAAUAUCAAAAUAAUAAAAAAUUUUAAGAUUUUGAUUUUAUUAUUGGAAUUUGGGAGAUCUCAAGUUUUAUUAGAUGAAAAAAAAAAUUCCUUGGAAAGUUUCAAUUUUAGGUUAGGGUUAAUUUUAUUAAAAAAAAGAAAAAAAAAAGAGUAAAUAAAUAUAUUAUUAUUUGUGGUUGAAGGGAUUAGAAAAUGUAAAAAAAAAAAAAAAAAAAAAGAACGCGUGUGCACAGCACUGGAAGGAAGGAAGGACGAAAAAAAAAAAAAAAAAAAGGGCGUACGCGUGUACUAUGCUACUGGAAGCAAGGAGAAAAAAAAAAAAAAAAGGGCGUGUGCCAAAUGGAAGGAAGCCUUUUAUAUAUAUAUAUAUAUAUAUAUAUAAUGAAUCAUGGUGAUGGCAAUGGAAAAAAAAAAAAAAAAAACUUGUUUUUUGGUUUGGUGUACCCGAGACAACUAGGUAAUGGUUGAGUGGCUUUUGAAUUGGUUAAUUAAAAUAAUAAUAUUUAGUUUUAGAUUAAUAAUUAAGAUAAUAGUAAUAAUAGUCUUUUUUGUUUUUUUGUAAUAAAUAGAAUGAGAGAUUUAGCAAAAUAUAUAUAUAUAUAUAUAAAAUUUUAUAAUGAAAUAAAAUUGUAAUUUAAUUAAAUUAGUAAUGUGUUAUUAGAAACAAAUUGGGAAUUUAUUAGUUUUAUUUAAAUAAGGAAUAGAUUAGUUAAAUUAUAAAUAAAUAGUAAUAAUUGUUUCUCUUAUGUUAUAUUAGGUGAAGAGUGGAUUUUUUUUUUUCAGAAUUAUUCUUCUCCCAAGCUUUCAAGGACUUCUUUUGAGGUAAGGGAAGUUAAUGCAAUAUUUAUAAAAUUAAAUUAUUUUACAUGUUAUUUUGAAUUGUGGAAAAGAAAAUGAUAUUUUGUUACCAUGCAUGGAUCAAACUGUUUUGCACUAAAUAUUAUGUUGGAAUAUUUUGUUUUAUUUAUGACACAAAAUAUGGAGAUAUUAUGUUGUGUAAAUUUGAAUACUUAAACAAAAACAUCACUCUGGUUUAUUUGGCCCUUGUCAACGCGAUAUAAUAGUUGACUAUUCAGCCUUGUCAACGGGAUAUAUUAAUUGACCUUUACAUUUCAUGGUGGGAAUGUAAUUGAUUUGAACCUCAGCCUCUAGAGGUUUGGUUAGAGGUUACUAGUACUAGUAGUGUUUGGUUCCGUCCACCAGGAACAAUUUGAGGCUAGCUACCCAUUUGAAAAGUCCCACUUAACUGGGCAUUUGAUAUUUGAUAACCAAAGUAAUGAAAAUUGAAUGGAUUUGAUUGAAUCUUAUGUGAAAGUGUUUGAAUUUGAUAUGAAAAUGGUUGGUUGAAUUUUGAAUAUAUUGGUAUUUUUGAAACUCUGAUAUUUGAUGAGAAAAAAAAUGAUAUCUCCUAUUUGAAAUGAAAAUAUUUGAUCCAUGAACUGCAUUAAUAUUCCUUAUUGGGUUGUGAGCUCAUUCCCAAUUGUUAAAAUUUUUUCAGGUAUCCUUAGUUCGGGUGAGGAGUGAUGGCUAGGCUGAGGAAUGGUCAUCAUUAGGAUUUGACUUAGGAUUUUAUGUUGGAUUUUGUUUAACUAUUAGUUAUGUUCAUUUGGAUCCUUUGGUGUUUGGAAGUUAUUUGGAUAUUGAUCCUUCAAAUUUUAUGUUAGAUCAAAGUUGAGUGUUGGAGAUUUUGAAAUUUGUUCUAAUACUUGAAUUGUUUAAGUUUGGAAAUAUUUGGACAAUGGAUUUUGGAUAGUGAAUGUUUUAGUUUUGAAAUUGAAUUUUGAGGAUUUUAGAUUUUGUUCCGCUACUCUGAACAGAUAUUUGGUAAUUGAUAACUUCCAAUUACAAGAUAAUUGUUUGGGUCAGGUUACACUGUAAGCUUUCGGGUUUGAGAUGUAAAAUGAUCGUCACGCCCUUGGAGUGGGUCUUGGGGCGUGACAGAUUAUUUUAAAAUCAAAGGUGAAACAAAGACAAAAAGACAUGUGGCUUGAAAGUGGCCAUGCACCAUGUAGAGUGGAGUCUUGGACUUGGGGCACCUUAAACACUAGUUGCAUGUCAUUUCUGAAGCCCCGAUGAAGGUGAGAUGAUGAAUUCUGUAGAAUGAUGAGUGUACUGAAGCUGGAGAUUGAGUGAGAGUCAGUCAAAAGUACCCCAAGGUGGUCAUGCAGAUGAGGAGUCUUGUGAACUAGACAUCUAUUCAUCCUUGGAGGUACAAUACCCAGGUCAUGAAUAGAUGGACUGCAUUUCUUGGACUGUAAGCUAGUGGCUUAAAGAUAUCAAUAGAUUGACUAAAGCUGCGUUCGUCCAUGCCCAUGGAGGUCUUGAAAUACUAUUCACUUGUAUGUUCAUGCAUAGGACGCUAACAAAGAAGAGAGUAAGAGCAUGGCGGUCACUACUGUACUAUGCAACCCAAGAGUUGCUGCUGCUACCAUUGCCACGGCAAGACCACGGACAACCUCAAAAUUCGAACCCUUGCCUUUGGCUUUAGCAUCGAGAUGUUUGUAUAUGGUAGCAUUCUUCAGCAUAUCCAUAAUGACCAUAAACUUGACCUUGUUAUCACAGCUAAAGACACGCUUGAUUUGAGGAACCUUUCCAUCCUUAAUAGUGAAAGAGAUAUUUUUGAGUCGGCAAUUCCAGAUAUUUUUGCAUUCGACCAUGCUUCCUCUAUAGAGCUCUCCAUUAACAAAACUUGACCAAGAAACCUCAACCCAUUUAAUUGACGUAGCAUUUAAGAAGACAACAUUUCAUUCUUCAAACCCACAAAUGCACAGUUCUUCAAUCUGCCAGAAAUGCAAAGACGGACGGAGGAAGUGCCAUAGCUAGAGCGGAAACGGGAUAAGGUAUUCUGAUUAAUGGCUUCAAGGAGUUACCAAAUCAAAAGUGUUGAUGUCAAUUUUUCCCGCUUCAAAAACGCUGUGCUUUAAAGCUUAACACUUGGCUUGCAUGGAUCAUUUCAUGAGUAGCUUUCCCACCGUAAACUGGGUCGAGGAAAUGGGUGAUAACACGUGGCCACCAAUUCACUGCCACUGCUAGAAUACUAAGUUGUAUUGAAGCUUUUGACACCUAUGUCCCGACAACCAAGAUCAACCUCUAUCCUCUCACACUUAGAGGUAGUGUAUCCUGUCACAAGGGCGAGCACCGGCUGCACCGCAAUAUAAAGACCAGGAACAUUGAAGGUUUCAAACAUAAUUUCACCAGUGUAUUCACGGCUCUCCGGGGCAGUGAGUGGACUUCCCGUCAAAAGAAAGUAGUGAUCCUCCUUAUCACAUCUCAAAUAAUUAAAUAUACACUGUUGCAUGUAGUGAAUAACACUGGAUGGAGGAAGAUGGGUAAGACGAGUGGAUGUGUGAGAGGGAUGAAUGUGAAUAGGAUUAUGGUGGGCAUCUAAUGAGUAUGGGCAUGGUGGAAAUAUGAGUAGGGUUAUGGGUAUGAUGGAACAUGAGGCAUGAUUAGGGUGGGAAGGUGGUGAGACGAAUAAUGGGAUGAGCUGUACUAAGUUAGUAUGAAGAGUAACUGGGGUAGAGUGAACUUAGGGCAGGUGCAAAGGUCCCCAAUUGUUUCCAUUGUAAGGGUGAAGAAACGAUCCUCUGGGCAAUAAGGGUGAUAUCCUCCAAAGUGAUUUCGUCUACUGUCUUCAAGAAGUUCUUUGAGGGCUUUCUCUCUCCAUGCGUUAACAUCUUUCCAAUGCAAUCCUUUUUAUUUAUUUAUUUAUUUUAGUUUCAUCAGAAAUGACAAAUUUAGCAACCUCUUCAGCACGAUUAAACUGUGCCCGGUUAACUUGUCCAAGUGAAGCAAUUGGAAGUAGUUCUCCUAUCGCUUAUUGACUGCCUUUGUCAUGAAAUCAAAGCCAGUGCUAGCAUAAAUACCAAAAUUCCCGUAUUGCUGAAAAUAUUGUUGAAUGUAGAGAAAGAUGGAAGCUGCUGACACUUAUUCAAGACACUGAGAUAUGGCCGUAAGUGCAUUCUUUUCUUUAAAUCACCUUCAGCAUCAUCAAAUUAAACACAUUCACUCUCUUGGUGCGACAGUCACAAACUCAUAGCAUAUUAUUUUGCAACUCCAUGGGCGAUAUGACAACAACAAUCCAUUCACUGCUAAGAACGUAUCCUCUAUAUCUCAUUGCUCCCAUGAGCAGAGAUGAGGAAAAUAAAGCACUCCAUGAACAGGUACCAGAAACAGGGAAAGGUGGGAAAAACAGAGCACAAAGAAUAGGAGCAAAGUGAGCCCAUACAAGCCUCAUUUCACCUAUCGAUCCAUGAACUCAGAUGUAGGGUGGAUGAGAUCAAAUGAGCAUCAAAAUAAAAGGUAAAACAGAGGUACAAAAUAUCUCAUGAGGAAAUCAGAACAGGGCAAACUAAACUUCAGCAAAAACCCAAUAGCAAAAUAUGAACAUACUCACUCCCAAGCAACAAAUGUCCUCUGAGAAUCAACAAAAGAGAGGGUAGAAAAGUAUACCGGUUGAAGAUAAUGAAGAGUCCACAAUAAACGUACCUGAAAAUGACUCUCUACAGCAAAGUGUAACGGAUUUCUCACUGGUCUUGCUCCAGAAGCUCUCCAGAUAAACCACGAAUUGCUCCCCUCGUUCCUCUUCUCCUCUGCAAGCUUCUUGUAACCAGCCUGGAGACCCUCAGAAAAGCCUCCUCCCUUUGCAAAAUCCUCUCCUCCUCUCUAGCUUGCUCCCCCCCCCCCCCCCCCCCCCCCCCCCCCUUUCAUUUUCAAAAAACCCCCCCAAAANNNNNNNNNNNNNNNNNNNNNNNNNNNNNNNNNNNNNNNNNNNNNNNNNNNNNNNNNNNNNNNNNNNNNNNNNNNNNNNNNNNNNNNNNNNNNNNNNNNNAAGGAUCCCCCCAGAAAUAUCUCCAGGCCGCCCUCUCUCAUACGUUCCUGGCAGCUAGCACUAACGGCCUCCAAGAUUCCAUAACAGGUGUCACCUUUUGGUUGCUUCUUCAAAAGCACUAUCUGAUUCUCUGACCACCAACCACGAGGCGACACGUGGCCCUAUGGGAUUGUGACACUUGGCAAAACAAGCUACAUGAAUGAAAGCGAGCCUCUAAUGGGGUCUACAUAUAUAUAUAUACUUAUAUGGUGUUAAAGUUUCCUUGUUGAAGUAGUUUGAAUUAGAAAUUUAGAAAUUUAAUUUUAGUUAUAAUCGGUCUUAUACUUCAUUUCUAUUUCUUUUAAAACUUCUAGUUUCCUUUUUUAGCUUUAAUUAUUUUCAAAUGUUUAAAAAACAAUUAUGAUUAUAAUUUCAAUUCUAUUUUCUAAUAAUACAUUGAUUUAUACAUUUAAAAAGAAAAUAUGCUUUUUUUUUAAAAUAAUAUAUCUAUUUUAAAUUUUAAAAUAAAAUUAUAAAACUAAGAUUUAAAGAGGUUAGAAUUUUUUUUAACCAUUUUAAAUUAUUUAAAAACAAUUUUAAAACCAUUUCAAAUUUCCUUUACUUCCACUUUGAAUUCUUUCUAUUCUUGUUAAAUUAAAAUAUUGUUUUCAAUCACAUUUUUUUCUUUAUUCAAUUUGAUUGUGAAGAAAACCAUGGUUUCAACAAAGAUGUUUGGCGUCAAACACCAGUAACAGACUCCAGGCCAAACAACCAACGUGGGUUGUUAAGUUUCCUUCUUGGAGAAGGAAUUGAUUUAAGAAAUCUAGAAAUAUAACUUUGGUUAGAAUUUGUAUUAGAUUUCUUUUCAAAAUUUUAAAUUUCAUUUCUAGUCGUAAUUAUUUUUUUAAUAUUUUAAUAAUUACUAGGAUGAUAAACGUGUACCAAUUUUUUGUAAUAAUAUAACUAUUUUAUAUUUAAAAUAAAUUUAUAAAACUAAAAAAUUUAGUAAUGUUAGAAAAAAAAAUAUAUAGAAGGGAUAAAAUUAUAAUCAAUUUUAAAACCAUUUAAAACUAAAUUAUAAAAAAAAAUUGAGUGAUAAAAGAAAAAUAGAAAAUUUAAUAGUAAUGUGUAUUGUAUAGGAAUAGUAACGGGUGGAUUUGGGAUAAGGGCAAGAUUUGAUAUGGGUUGCCCUCAUCCCAAUCCUGUUCCAUUUAUUCAAAAUAAUUCUCAUAUUCAUCCUAUUAAAAAAAAUUAAACAAGGUGUGGGUUAUUCUUAUACUCACACCCACUGAUUAACUUUUUUAUGAAAAACUUUAAAUUUUAUUUUUAAAAAAAUUAAUUACAUUAAAAUAAAUAUAUUUUAUAAAAAUAAUGUUAUUUUUAUAAUUUAUUUUAUUAAAAAUAUUUAUUAUUAUUAUUAUUAUUAUAUAUUAAAAAUAGGAAAAUAAAAAUUAAAUUAAAUUAAUUUAAAUCAAUUAUAUGUAUGAUCGGGAUAACUUGCCCCGAACUCAUCCAAGUUUAGAAAAAAAAAUUCAAACCCACCCUUAACCCAUUUUUAAAAAUUUCAUUGUCGUCUCAUUAUUACCUCAAAAAACUCAUUCUAUUGUCAUCCCAAUACUUUAUUUCAUUUUACUAAUUUAUAAAUAAAUAAAAAAACAAGUUAAUCUAACAAGAUUAUAAAGAUGUCAUGGACUUAAAAAGAAAUAAUAACAUUAACAGAAAGAUAUUUAUUCAAAUUUUAUAAACUCAUCAUCCAUAAAAGUUAACAUCACUACUAAAAACCAUAAAUAAUUCUAAAAACAAAAAUUACUCAAAUGCCCAUGCAUAUUGCUUAUAGAUUUCCGCCUCAUCCUCAGGGCUAAAAUCAUUCUUGAUGUUAAAAGUUUGACGAAUCUCCUCUGGUUUCCUUCCUUUUAUCAUUUCUGCAACUCUCCAACACAGAAGCUCUAUCAAACCUGGUGUGUCAAGAUAGUUUGCUGCCAUGAUGAGAUGGUAGAGAAGUGAUUGGUCUUUAUUCACAAACUCAACAUCCCAUCUCUUAAUUUCAUCCUCGCUAGCUUUUUCAGAUAAAUGCUUGUUCCAGUACUCUAUCACCAUCGCCAAGAAUCGGCCAUCCACUUCUAGUAUCGGAAUCACAUCACGCUUCUCCACUUCUACUAUAUGAAUCGCAUCAUCUGCACCAUCGUCUUUCAACAUAUUCUUUAUCAUCCCUGACUGAAACGCGGCUGCCUCACUAACUUCGAAUAUCACAUCAUCUCUACUCUUCAACUUCAAAAUCUUUUGUGAAGUAGACAUGAUAGUUGAUCUAAAAAAACACCAAAACACCAACCUUAAUGUUUGCUACAAUACUUUGAUGUGUUGAAAGGGUUAAUACUAUGUAUACUUAUAUGGUAUUAAGUUUCCUUGUUGGAGAAGGAGUUGAAUAAGAAAUUUAGAAACUUAAAUUGAAUUAGAAUUGUUCUUAUACUUGAUGUCUAUUUCUUUUAAAACUCUUAGUUUCCUUUUUUAGUUUUAAUUAUUUUUAAAUAUUUGAAAAAUAAUUAUGACCAUCAUAUUUUAAAAUUUGAAUAGUAAAAAUAUUUUAAUACAUCAAUUUUUAUAGUUUUUUAAAAUCAUUAAAUAUUUUUAAUGUUUUAUAAAGAAGGUAUUAUUAUUUUAUUUUUUUCAAAAAAAGUAUAUGAAAAAAAAUUUAUGUGUAUAAUUCGAAGUAUGUAAAAGGUGGCUGAAUAGGUUGUCUUUAAAUUAAAGACUAAAUUAAUAUUUUAUUACCUAUUUUAGACUUUUCCCUUUAUAUUAAUUUUUUAAAGACAACAAAAAUCUUAUGCAAAUAUAAAUAUAAUAAAUCACACAAAUAAAAACAAGAUAUAACAUGGAAAGACCAUAUAACAACCUAUUAGAUAUAAGAAGAUAUGAGAAAAUGGUACACAAUUAUACCUGAUGGAUAUACCACUCUGUCUAAGAUCUUAUACCGUGAAUAUCAAAUCCUUCGAAGUCCUUAUAGAAGUAAUCCACCUUUAUUGUAUCUAAAAGUUACUCUCAAGAAAAAUUUUGAAAGUUUGAAAGUUGGAAGAUCAAAAGCUUUUAAAUAAAAUAUUUGUAUUUAUAUUUACAAAACUGUUUUUAGAAUUAUGGAGAGUUUCGUAAUUCUAAAAUAUUCCAAAAAAUAUUUUUAAAAUCAAAUUCCAAUUAAGUGAUGAUCACAAUUUUUAAAACUUGUUAAAAAGAUUUACAAAAAUCCUUUUCAAAAUCAAACAUAAUUUUAAAACUUAUCAGAAAUUAUUUUUGGAAUUAAAAAUGCAGUAGAAACUAAAUUAGAAAAUAGAAAGUAUUUUAUUCCUAAUUUUUUGUGUAGUCAUUCCAAAUGCUUUACCAACUAUAAAUACAUACUUAUCUUAAAUUUUACAACUCCACCAAAGUAAGUUAUCUAAUUGGUAAGAAAGGAACAAAAUUGUUAGUUAAAUAAAAUUAUAAGUAUAUUCAAACCAACACAUAUUUAGUAAUAUUUCUUGAAAUAGCUUUUAAAAAUUUGAGUGUUCAAUUUUUGUGUGCUCGAUUUUUGUAAUAAUAUAACUAUUUUCUAUUUAAAAUAAAAUUGUAAAACUAAAAAAAUUUAGUAAUGUUAGAAAAAAAAUUGGUAUUCACUUAAUCUGAUUAGGUAGAGGUGUUCUUCUUUUAAUAUUCAAGGUUCUGUAUUUUGGAGGGGGGGGGGGGGGGGGGGCCCCCCCUGGGGGAAAAAGUAAAAAAAAUUUCCCACUUGACCCUUAACCCCAGGGGUAAAUUUUAUUAUUUACCAAAAUUGCCCUUUUUAAAGAAAAAGAAGGAUUUUUUUUGGGGGCCAAUUUUUUGAAAAAAAAAAUGGAGGAAAUGCCUGGGUAGGGCCCAAACCCUAAAAACCUUUUUUUUUUGGGAAAAAAAAAAAAAAAAACCCCAAGCAAAAAACAUUUUCCUUAAUUUCAUGGCCAAAAAUGCGAUUUUUUUUUUUUUUUUUUNNNNNNNNNNNNNNNNNNNNNNNNNNNNNNNNNNNNNNNNNNNNNNNNNNNNNNNNNNNNNNNNNNNNNNNNNNNNNNNNNNNNNNNNNNNNNNNNNNNNUUUCAGGUUUUUUUUUUUUGGGGGGGGGGGGGGGGGGGGGCGCCCUCCAUGGGGCAAGAUGUAAGAAAAAUUACCAACUUGACCCUUAGCCCAAGUGUUAUAUUUGAUUAUUUACUAAAAUUGCCCUUUUGAAGGAGAAGGAUGGAUUGUUAGUGUGGGCGAUUUUUUGGAAAAUAGAAUUGGAGGACAUGCAUGGUUAGGUCCAUAGCUCUAAGACCGUUUGUUGUUUGGGAAAAAGAAGACGAUAAGCCUCAAGCAAUAACCUAUUCUCUAGAUCUCAUGACCAAAAUUGCUAUUUUUUUUUUUUUUUUUUUGAUCAUUGGAUUAAUCAUAGAAACAGAAUAUGAACAUAUAUUUUUCAAUAAUAAAAAAUAUAAAAUUUUCAUAUCAGAAUGCUAUAAUAAAAAAAUAUUAUGUUGAAAAAAUAUUAAACAUCAUGGAAGGACUGUCAAGAAAAUUAUAAAAGAAUUUAUUUUUAAUUCCUUUUAUAUAAUUAUUAACUAUGUAUUUAAAAAAAAUUAAAACUAUCAAAUAGGUUUAUUAUUCAUAAAAAAAAUUAACAAUAAUUUGAAAAAUAUUUAUAUAUUGUUUAUAUAUAUGCUCGUAUAAAAUUCGAGUUUUCAAAAGAUAAAUCCCAAAAUGUUUGGGGAUAUUUUGAUAAAUGAAUCAAAAUCAAGCAUCAGGUGGCAUGUUCUUUUCCAUUAACCGCCAAUUAAGAGGCCCAAACUCAAUAAAAAUAGGCUUAAAAAAAAUAUAAAUAUCAAUUUAUUGUCAAAUUUCUCUUACUUUCAAUUUGAAUUCUUUCUAUUCUUAUUAGAGUUGAAACAUCGCUUUCAAUCACAUUUGUUUUUUCUUUAUUUAUGAUGGAGAAAAUCAUGGUUUCAAGCCUGAAAUAAUAUUUGUUGGUUGAAUUUUGAUGUCAGGGCUCAACUACCAGGAACAAACUGGAGGCUUAACCGCCAACUUGGGUUACAACGUGUAAACGUGGGUUAUAAGACCACCCACUACCCUACUAUCAGCAUGCCUUUUCAUCAAUCUCACCUCCUCCAUGCACACGUUUCUCAAAUGCCUUCUUCCAUUUCCAUUUCUUCUUCAACCUUCGUUCUCCUCUUCUUCUCCUUCUCCCUGGUUUCAAUCUUACCUCCCCUAAUCCUCUCUGCUUCUGUUGUUGAAGAUCUCAAUAACUUACACCCACCUUCAGACUUCAACUCAACCAUCAACAACAACUGUCUCAACAACCCUUCUCUCAGGUACUGCAAUUCUUCCUCUCCUUUGGACCUCAUUGAGAUCUUCAAGUCCACCAUUGUUGCCAGCCACCUCUGCAACGAGUCCAGGAAUCCCAACUGCGUAGAAACCUUCCCUAAAAUAGACCUUCACAGCCGUCCAAAGAUCGCCCCGCUUUACUUAUCCUUCACCUUCUUCUGGAAGUACUGUCCUUUAACCAUUCUGUCUAUCAAUCUCUCCAACAAUUCCAUCAAAGGCGGUUUCCCAUCUGAUGUUCUCCAAUGUUCCCAAAUCCAAGCUCUUGAUUUGAGCCACAAUGACCUCUCCGGGGAUGUCCCCAUACAAGGCUUCUCUCCCCUUACCAAUCUCACUCUUCUUAAUUUAUCAUACAAUCACUUUUCAGAGAGUAGGAUCUCUGAUUCCCAGUUCUUCAAACGUUUUAAUUCUUCGAGUUUUCUUCGUUCAGGCCUUGUCCCGGAUCACCAGGGAUUCACGAUCAAGGUGGUGGUGUUCUUGUUUGGUUUUCCUAUGUUUGUGAUUCUGAUGGUGGGCUGCUUGGGGUGGAUGUGCAUCCGGCGUCCAGAUUUUCUACCAGCAGUUCUCCGAGGAGGAAAACACAAGUUCACACCAGCAAUGCUGGAGGCAGCAACGGGUGGUUUCUCGAGAAACAAUUUGGUGGGGAAGAGUGAGGGGGUUGACAUUUAUAGAGGAAGUGUGAGAGACAGCAGUCAAGUGAGGAUUGAGAUAUACAGGGACGAGAUCUCAGGUGAAGGCCGCAGGAGGUUUGCAGAAGAGUGUAAGGUUCUGGUUCAGUUAUGCCACAAGAACAUAGUUCAAGUAGUGGGGUGGUGUGACAACAGGAGAUUAAGGGCCAUUGUCACUGAAUGGACCGAGGGAGAGAAUGUUGAAAUAUGGGUAGCAAGGUCAGCCCCACCAUGGAAGCAGAGGCUGAAGAUUUUGAUGGGGGUUUUGGAAGCUAUGCGUUAUCUGCAGGAACAAUGGCCUCAAGUUGGGUAUGAUCUCAGGACAUGUAGCAUAUUGCUGUCGAAGAAUCGACAGCCAUUGAUUUCAAGGUUUAGGAUUGGAGAUCAAAUCAGCAACACAAGAAGUAAUAAUUCCUACUCCUUUUUCCAUCUCUAGUUUUCACUCUAAGCACUGCCGAAUCACUAGUGUCUCUUCUCUAAUCUUUUGGUAUUUCAGAGAUUUACAAGUUUGGGACGUUGGUGUUGGAGAUGGUAACAAACAAGAGGCCGCGAGAAGAGUUUGAGCGGGGUGAAGCGGAAUUUAUAGAAUGGAUUAGAAUGCAUCAUCCUGGAAAGGUGCACAAGGUGAUAGAUGAAAGAAUGAAAAAGACAGGCAAUACAGUUGAUCAGGCUACUCAGGGAAUAGGCAUAGGAUUAAUGUGCGCAGACCUCUCAAGGGGAUGGCACCCGAGCUUCGAUCUGAUCUACAGAAUGAUGUGUAAACUCUCUGAUUCAUGUCAAGUUCCAGCAUCUCCUGACCAUAAGAGAUCUCAUGGAGACAGAGGUGAAGGACAUAGGCGCAAUCAAUCAAGAUGAACCGGCCAAACAAGCGUUAGCCGCAUGAACUUGAGUACAUGUAAAGAUAAGAACAAUUCAGAAAAGCAGUCAUCCUAACGAAGAGAGUGGUAUUCUACUCUCACACGCUUUAUCAUCCCUGUUUGUGUAGCUGUUUCAGAGCAAACAUUAGAAUUGCCUUUAUCAGACUUGUAUUGAGUGAAAAAUAUUGCCUUAUCCUAUUUGUUUGUUAAUUUCCCCUAAAGUAAGGAAGGGAGAGAUGGGAGGAAACCGAGGAAGAGUUGGUUGUUGGCUUCCUAACUAGACAAAAGCUUCAGCAACAUCAACUAAUAGGUAGUGUUUUUGCGCUGGUGAAAGACGAACUGAAAUCUAACUCACUCAGGAUCUACAAAAGCAUUCAACUUCUAAAUAUGCUAAAAUUCAUCAACAUUUUUCUGUUACUUGAUGCCAUCAACAUAUCACUGAAACCAUUCCCGAGAGCAGAAUGUGUAGACAUAAAAUGCAUAGUGGCUAUAUUUAUAAGAUGAACAAAUUUAUGAUUCAGAGAACAUAAAGAAACAGUCAUGGAAUGGACGAACUACAAAAAAACUUGCAGCCUUCCAGCUGGUUAAUGCACAAAAUUGAGUAAAGAAGAAAACGAAAGAGGGGACACUAGAAUACUUUAGCUUAUGAGCAACCUGACCUUAUCUGGUCAUAAUAUUUGUUAAAUUACAUAAAUAUCCAGCCUUUUUGUAUGGUGCAGUCACAGCGUAAACUCCUUUUAUUCCAAAAGUGGAGAUUCUUUAUUUGAUGACUGCAGGUCUGUUAGCUUGCAUUUUUGAUCUGGCCCCAAGAACUCUCUUCGGCAUAUCAGUUGUUAAAGCAUACAUCUUCACAGGAAAUAAUUCCCCAGGAAAUCCCUUCUGAUCCUGAUAUAAAACAAGGUUACUAUUAGAAAUAUUGAGAAUUUAUGAUAAUGUAAAGGCCAUGGAACACAUUCAAACCCUUGAUCAACUGACAAGCUUGCCAUCUUAUAGAUGAGGACAAUUUUAAAAACAACAUUGGUACCAUUUAAAAGCAAUUUCAAAGAUAAGUAUGCCCUAACUGAACUUCUAAAGUUGACUUUUGUAUUCAUUCUUCUUUAGAUCCUAUUCUAGUUUGAUAAGUGAUUGAAAUUUCACUUCCAAAAGAAAGCCACCACUAGACCAAAUAUCUCUUCAAGUAAUAGGGUCCCCAUGAGUUCAAAAAUGUAUUUGCCAAAAUAUGAAUUCUUCCACACUUCUACUCGGAAUAGAAAAUGAUAAUAGUUGGACUAAAAAAUUAAUAAUAGUUUGGGGCAUAGCUUGUUUAGAAGGGGGAAAGGUAUCAAUUUGUUGAUAGAGUUCAGUAGCCACCUAAAAAAAUUUGUCCUUCUGUGGCAAUCUCAGAGACUACAAGUAAAUACUCUCCACCAGGUAAAUAUUUGUGGACUUGAUGGUCAGUCCAAAGGUUGUAAGGGAAAUAUUUCCUACAAAGACGUGAAACACAUACAAUUCCAACUAUAGGAUUCUUUACAUUCCCAUCCGAGACAAGCAUGAGGAAAUCUAGAGUUAACAGCUGAUGGAUUUUAUUUAAUAUAUCAAGUCUCAACAAAAACUAGUCAAUAAGGGAGUCAGACAGCCCGAAAUUUUUAUAGGGAUUUUAGACUCCUUUGACCUAGGGGAUUGGUACUUUGUGCUUUCUUUGGUUUAGUUUUUCUUCCCUUUUGUUCCCUGCGUUCAGCUGCCAGCACAUUUUUUUGAUAGGCAAACAAAAUAUAUCAAGAUUAAGAAGCAUCUAAAAGAAAUGAAAUGCACCAAGUAUAGACAAUGCCAAAAGGCGAAAUCCAAGAACAAGAUUAAUAAAGGAAAGAACAGAGGGCUAUAUCCUCAUAAGCCCUUUCAAGUUCAUCAGUACAAUCUCAUUAAUAAAAUAAAUGAAAAAAAAAAAAAAUUCAAUGUCCCUGGAGGAAUUCUAGACCAACUGGGAAGAGUUUUGAGAAAUGCCUCUUUUAACUGAUAGUGCACUCUAGGAAUGUACCAAAACAAACACGGGCUAUUCUAUGUGCCUUCCUAUGUCACAUAUCCACACUUCCAUCAUAAGAACUGCAGGAACAUUCAUUGAACACUCAUCAUUUGCAAUCUUAAGAGGAAUUCCUCAAUUCUUUUGAGCUCCCAAUCAUGUAACUGUCAAACAAAACAAGGGCUCCAACAUCCCCUUUCCCCUAGCUGCUCUCACAAAACCGCUACCUAAGAAUCCUUUGCAUUGGCAAUACCUAAAAGGGACGGAAAGGAAUCGCUCAACAAUUACUCACCACACCACCUAUCCUACCAGAAUUUUACCCUCCUUCUCUUCCCCACUAUGAAACAAGAUACGCUUUUACCAACAUCCCAUCCUUUUAUAAUUGCCUCCCAGAGGCCUACUCCAUGCCUAUCCCUUCCCUCACAUGAACUCCAUCCCCUGCUUCAUCCUUCUUCAUACUUACUUCCUCUUUAUCGAUAAUUUUUUUUUCAUUUAUUAUUAAAAGAAAUCAACAUGCCUCAACAAGAAUUUAAACUAUUGAAUUUGAACAUCUUCUCAGAGCAUUUUCAAGGGUUCUACAUUGCCCAUAAAAUUUAAGGUUGAAGUUUAGUGCUAAAAUAUUGAAAUAAAGUUGGCAUUUUGGUAAAUUGGUCAAGCAUAUGGGAUUCAAGAAAAGGUGGGCUCUUAUCUUUUUCUUAAUGCUGAUGCAAAAUUAUAUAAUAAGGAACCCAGCAACCUGUAGAGACAAUUUAAGCCAUCUCCUUUCUAGAAAUUAUAUUCCAAGCACUUUAUUUACAUUUUUUUUCCUUAUUAAGGAGAUCCCCAGAUGAGUUCCUUUUUCGCUUAUGUCUUUGUUUAUUUUGAUUUUCUCUUCUUUCAAUUAAAGAGACUCCAAGCACUCUAAUUUGGACAAUUUUACACAAGAAUUUUUUUGGAAGAAUUAGCAAGGUCUAGAAGUGAUGCUAUAUAAUUUCUUCUAGAGACAUAAUUCUUUCUGCUGAAGUUGAGCCCAAAGACGAUAAAAAUCCUUAUAUACUUCUCCACCUUUAUCCUAAGUAAUGCUUGUGAAUGGAUUUAGAACACAAAGUACAUAGAAAAUCCACUUAUCAAACCAAGUUUGAUGGCUUAUUUUGGGUUUGCAAGUGUGACAGUGGGACAAACCUUCGAUUUGUAGAGGUGCAGUCCACACUGACCAAAGAGCUCCUUGAAGUACAAAUCUGACCGGGUAAUGCUUCUAUCUUCUUUGUCCAACACAAAUCCUGCUUUCAAUUCAAAAAUUACUUCCAGAAGAGGGCAUGUCUCUAGUUAGUAUGUGGUUACUUGGCAAAUAUAUGAGACAAAGUUUGUCUAGUUAGCUGGGGAAAGCACUGUGAAACAAAUAUUACAAAAAAUGCCUCUAUGGCCUUAUCCUAUUAAAUAGUAUAGCAAUUAACCAAUGAUGAUGCAUGCGGCCUGCAUACAGUGGCUUGUUCAUGACCUAUUUAAGGUUCACUAAAAAUAAAUCACUGGUGGAACUAAUCCACUUUUAGGUUGAACUUCCUAGCAUACCUGUUUCAUUUAAAGUUUUUAUCUCUUAAGCUAUCUACUUCUGCAGCUUCAUUAUUAGGGAGUUCAAUCCUCAUUUCACCACAUAAUUCUACUUCAAAAAAUAAAUAAAUAAAAAUAUCCAACAUUAUAAAGAGACACAUACAAAGACCAUUUACUUAUUUUAAUUAUUGUUAUCACGAUAUAAUAGGCAACCUAGUCCUAGUACAUCACCCAGGGUAUUAGAUUGUGUUACAUUUUCCACAAAGAACCAAUGUGUUCAAACCUGGGCCUUUCAACAGACCCAUAGUGACAGUUUCACUGUCCAGGGUUCCAACUAGCUCAGUCAGCAGGUUGAACAAUGACAUUAGAAUGAGGUAACAAAUAUAAAAUAUAAAAAAAUACUGAUAAGAUGAUUUUUCAUUUAGUUGAAUAUAUAUUGUCAGAAAAGGCAUCUACAUAUGUAUGCAUGUAUGUAAACAUUUUUCAGGAAAUCAUGAGCAGCAGAGAUAGUACAAAAGAUACAAAUGCAACAAAUGCACAAAUAGCAUUAAGCAGAAGUCACGGCAGAAAAUUUGAAUAUAUUAUUCCAAAAACUCAAAAAUAAUAUAAAUAUCACAGAAAAUUUCAAUAAUAAGAAGAUGGUAAAACCCUAACUGACUGAGGAUGAAAAGAAACUCAGAUUAAAUAAACUCCAGUCCAUCUCCCCCCACCCCAAAAGAAAAAAUAAUAAUAAAUAAAUAAAUAAUCAAUUAAUUAAAUUAUUUAUAUCCAACUUGAAAAGGUAUCUUCAUCUUGGAGGAUGGUUUUCAUCUUCUCAACCGUGCAGAUAAAGUCUGGCACAAAAACUGAAUUCAUCAUUGGACAGCAGAAGAAAUGGAGAAUUAUGUAUUGGGUGUGGAAAGGGGUGUAAUUGGUAUAAAGGCUACAAAACUGUGUAAAUUGGUAGAAAGCCCAUAAUGAGUAAAAAGACAAAAAUGUCGUUCUUUUGUCUUUUUCUUUAUUUUGUCCUUUUCUAGGUUUUUUAUUAUUAAUUAUUUUUUCUUCUUUACUUUUUCUGGUUUUUUAUUAUUAUCUUUUCAUCUUACUUUCUACAUUUAUUAUUAUUAUUAUUAUUAUUUAAUAUUAAUAUUAUAAUUUGAUGUAUCAUAACAUAUAAUUACUUAUUAUUAAAAACAUAUGAAUAAUAUUGAUAUUAUUAUGUACUGCAUAUAAUGUAGCUACAAUAUACAUAUAGUGUAGGUAUUGUGUACAUAUACAUAUACAUACACACACACACACAUAUAUACAAACAUAUAUACACACACACACUAGGUUGAGCUCCCCAAGGCAACUCUUAUCACCAUCCAAGGACCUGCCCUUAAAUUAACUGCAUAACCCAACUUCUCAGUAAAUAUAUCUCACAUCUAGCACUCACAUUUUAAGCUCCCAUUUUACCAUUCAGCAUUUUUAUUAGCACAUUUACUCAAAUUAGGAUCAGGCCCAUUUAACUUCUUGUGAAAUACAUCUAAAGCCUAGUGCAAUAUUAUUGGUUUGCCAGCAGAUAUUCUGUUCACUAGCUAGGUAUAAACCCUUUUCCUCUUUGGACUUUGUGCAGCCUGACUUUAUCAAAACAUGAUCUCUUCUCAAUAACCAUAGAAAAUGAUUGGAUAAAAAGAACAUGACUUCUUUAUCCAAGCUUCAUGGGCACAUUUCUAUACUAUGGAACAAUGAAACUGAGACUUAUUUCUUGGGAUAAUAAACCCAUAGAACAGUGUUUUGAUCAUGAGCAGAAUUGUAUAGUAGGGAACAAUGACACUGAGACUUAUUUCUUGGGAUAAUAAACUCAUAGUUCAGUGUUUUGAUCAAUAAGACCACAUGAAUUGAGUCACUCAUAACUAAAUUGCAAAAAUAGAAAAUAGACAAAAUUGAAUAGUACAACCUAUCUUUAUGUCAAUUAUUUGUCAAAGUCCCAUCACAAAGAAGAGAAGCAGGUGGAAAUGCAUGAAAUGAAACCAGGCACCAUGAAACAAGGAAGAGACAGAAAAAUAGUACCAGAUCUUGCAAUGUUCUCCUUCAGGAAAAAAAAUCCCCCAGGUUUCAGUCCAGCCUGAAAGUGGAAUAUUUGUUAGCACAAAACACAAAUUUAGAUAUUAACUAGCAUUUAGAAACUAGAAUAUUAUCUAAUGGUGAAAAAUAUAUCUCUUGGUUUCCAAGAAGCAUAGAAUGUUUCUUACACACACAAUUCUAAAACCCUGAAAUGUGAUAGCUAUAGAAGUAGAGGCAGACAAUGAGUAUGGCUAUCUGGCAUCACAACAGCAGCCUAGUAGGAAUGAACCCUUAGGUAGGUACAAUAUUUUCCUUAGGAAUGCCGGCUACCAAUAAAAACAAGAAACUUAGAGCAGAUUGAGGGGAAAUGCAACUAAAUGAACCUACAAGUACCAUGGAUAGAAUAAAAGUCAGUGGGGUUUGGCUGUCAAAGGAGCAAGAAGUAAGGUCAGGAAUUGUAGAUGCCUUUAAAAAGUUACUAACGGAAGACUCGGAGUGGAAGGCGGAUAUAGGGGGGUUAAUUUUGAAUCAGAUCAGUCAGCAAGAAGCGGAUACCUUGGAGCUUCCUUUCAUGGAGGAGGAAGUCCAUUCGGCCCUAAUGGACAUGAAUGGGGACAAGGCUCUAGGUCCGGAUGGCUUCACGGUGGCUUUUUGGCAAUGCUACUGGGAGUUCGUGAAAGAGGAGGUUUUAGAGAUGUUCAAGGAGUUCCAUGAGCAAAACGCCUUUCUCAAGAGCCUCAACAACACGUUUCUGGUUCUCUUACCAAAAAAAGGAGGGGUGGAAGAGCUGGGGGAUUUCAGGCCUAUUAGUCUCUUAGGUGGGCUGUACAAACUAUUGGCCAAGGUGUUGGAUUAGGAUUAAAAAUGUGAUUGGUAAAGUGGUUUCCCCAUAUCAGAAUGCUUUCGUUAUGGGAAGACAGAUUUUGGAUGCAUCUCUAAUUGCAAACGAGGUGAUCGAUUCAUGGCAAAAAAGAGGAGAGAAAGGCCUUAUCUGCAAAUUAGAUAUUGAAAAGGCGUAUGACAGCGUUAAUUGGCACUUCUUAAUGAGGGUUUUGCAAAAAAUGGGGUUUGGGGCUAAGUGGAGGGAAUGGAUGUGGAGCUGUAUCUCAACUGCUAAAUUUUCAGUUUUAGUAAAUGGGGAGCCGGCUGGGUUUUUUUCUAGCUCAAAAGGGCUACGGCAAGGUGACCCUAUAUCCCCAUAUCUGUUUUUCAUGGGGUAUUGAGUGCCUUUAUUCGGAGGGCUGUGGAAGGGAGAUUCAUUUCUGGGUGCAACAUUCAGAGGGGCAGUGGGUCAGUUGUCAAUAUUUCUCAUCUUCUCUUUGCGGAUGACACAAUAGUUUUUUGUAAGGCAAAGAAAGAAGACAUGACCUACUUGAGCUGGAUUUUAUGUUGGUUUGAAGACGUUUCAGGGCUGAGGAUAAAUCUGGCUAAAAGUGAAAUUAUUCCAAUAGGGGAGGUGGAAGAGAUCCUUGAGAUGGCUGUGGAGUUGGGAUGCAAGGUAGGCCAGCUGCCAUCAACCUACCUAGGGCUGCCAUUGAGUGCGUCCAAUAAAGCCUCUAGUGUGUGGGAUGGGGUGGAAGAAAGGAUGAGGUGGAAAUUGGGCCUUUGGAAACGGCAAUAUAUCUCCAAAGGCGGAAGAAUCACCCUCAUAAAGAGUACUUUGGCUAGUAUGCCUUUAUAUCAAUUGUCCCUCUUUCGUAUGCCUAGGACAAUGGCAAGAAGGCUGGAAAAGAUGCAAAUAGAUUUUUUGUGGGGAGGGGGAAAUAUGGAAAGAAAAGCCCACCUAGUCAAUUGGGAGAGGGUGUGUGUGGGUAAGGAGAAGGGGGGGUUUGGUUUGAGGAAGUUAGUCCCCUUGAACAAAGCUUUGCUUGGAAAAUGGGUGUGGAGAUUCGCUCAGGCCAAGGACGAGAUGUGGAAGCAAGUGCUUAUGGCAAAAUAUGGGCAAGAGGAAUUUGGGUGGAGGACUAAGAAGGCAAACGGGGCGUUUGGUGUUGGGGUUUGGAAAGAAAUUCUGAAGGAAUCUGAUUAGUGUUGGAAUAAUAUGGCUUUUAAGGUGGGAAAAGGCGCCAGAAAUUCUAAGGUUCCCUCAACUCUUUGUCGUGGCUGCCCAAAGGAACGCCACAGUGGGGGAUAUGUGGGACCAGAAUUCUGGUCAAGGAGGUUGAAAUCUAAGGUUUAUUAGAGGCUUCAACGAUUGGGAGUUGGACGUGGUAGGCGAAUUACUUCAAGUCUUAAGGAGUCAAAGAAUCAGCUUGGAGGAGGACUUGGUCUUUUGGAAGGGAGGAAAAAAUGGGAAGUUUGGUGUUAAGGAAGCGUAUGGCCUACUGAUCUGCCCUAGUGUCUCCUUGUUUCCCAAAAAUGGCAUUUGGGUGGAGAAUGUUCCUUCUAAAUUAGCGUUCUUUGCAUGGGAAGCUGCUUGGGGGAGGGUUCUUACCCUUGAUAGGCUUCAAAAGAGAGGAUGGCAACUCCUGAAUCGUUGUUAUUUAUGUGGUAGCGAAGAGGAAAAUGUAAAUCAUUUGCUUAUUCAUUGUACAGUGGUUAGAGUGUUGUGGGAGAUUGUCCUUGGUGUGUUUGGUGCCCAGUGGGUCUUUCCAGAAACUGUAAAGGAGGUGGUUCUUAGUUGGAAGGGUUCUUUUGUGGGUAAAAAGAGGGAGAAAAUUUGGAGAUCCAUUCCGUUAUUUAUUUUCUGGAUAGUUUGGAAGGAGAGGAAUAGAUUAGCAUUCAGGGGGAGGGGGAGUUAGCUAUUCAGAAAAUUAAGAAUUUUUUUGUUUGUAAUGUGUGGGGGUGGGCAAAAUUGUAUAGUGGAGCGGAGCCUCGCUCCCUUAUAGGUUUCUUGGAGUGGUUAGCCUCCAUUUAAGGGUUGGUGGGUUUUUUGUCUCUUUUGUCUUUUGUUGGGAGGCCUUCGUAGCCUCGUAUACUCCCCGUAUGCUAUGCGGCGUUUUGCCUUUUGCUAAUAUAUGUGUUUACUUAUCAAAAAAAAAAAAAAAAAACAUCCUAAGAAAGAAGAAAGCUACAUUUCUCAAUGAAUGAUUUAAAUACUUGCAAGCAGCAAUCAUAGCUUAGAUUCAAAAUAGGGUGGCCUACUGCUAGUCAAAAUAUGUGAAAUAUUCAUAGUUGUUAAAUUGGAAAUCGUAGAGUCUGUCAUUUUUCUAGUUUAUCAUAUUGCAUAUUAUAAAGUUUUUUUUUUUUUUUCAUAAGUAAAAUAUGCAUAUACAUAUAUGAAAUGCAUAUAUAUAUAUAUAUAUAUAUAUAUAUAUAUAUUGGAAGUAUCAAUUAUUGGAGGAAUAACACCAUAUCAUAUAGACUUGAGUGCAUUGGCUAAUCUACUCACAGUAGUAAAAUUAAUUUCAUUAAAAGAUAAUAGGAUAUAAAAAGUUAAAUUGGACCAUGUCAAAUAAAAACGUUAAAGAAUAGAUUUUGAAAAGUUUAAUUUUACAAAAUAUGGGCUUAAUGCAUAGGCGCAUCACAAAAUUUACAUAAACAAACUUUUUGAAUUUUUUAGCUAUGAUUUUUCCCCCAAAUUCUAAUUACACAUAAAUUACUAUGCUUUGUUGAUACCUAUGUCUUGAUGAGCCAUCUCCAAAUUUCUAGUUUUCCAUGUUUGUUAUAGACACACAAACCUCUUUCUAUUUUACUUAAAAUGGGAUAAAAUUCUUUCUUAUCCUACUCGUAAGUGAUAUGAUAAAAUAAGAUUAAGGAAAUACAAAUAAAUAAUAAAGGAAACAAACAUCUAAGAGAGAGAGCGAGUGUUCAAACACAAUAUGCUCCAAACUCUCAAAGGAGUUCUUUCAACAUUUUAUUCUUGAUUACCCAUAAAAAUAGGCACAAUUAUGUUAAAGGGGUAACUGAAUCUAAUACUGGCCCUAAAGACCAUAUAUUUUCCAUAAUUGGGCUAAAAGAGUAGAGCAAGUUUUAAAAUUGCUCUCAAGGCUAAAUGGACAAUUUAUCACCCAAAAAUGCCUAACAUACCCUUAAUAUGGUUUUUAAAAAAGGGCAAUCUCCAUUUCCAGCAAAUAGGUCUAAGAUCCAUAUAAAAUGCAUAUUUAGGCUCAAAGGAUAGAAGUUUAUGCAAUUGGAUGACAUCCCACAUGAGCACUACAACUAUUUAAUAUAUUAAAAUUUAUCCUUAGGCAUCCAUGAUGAUUAAUAUAUUAAGAUUUCAAGAAAAAUUUUAAAUAAUAAAUAAAAUCUUUCUCAAAAUCUAUUUAGUAUUCAUAUAGUUUUUUUUUUUUCAAGUUGCAACUAUUAUAUUAAUUCAUUUUUCAUUAAUUUAAUGUUAGAUUAUUAUUAUUAUUUUUUAUUUUUGAAAUUUAAUUAAAUAACAACUGUAUAAGGCAUGUACAACAUGUAUAUCAUCGAUUUAUGUACAUGUUUUUCUUCAUUUUCUUUGUUUAGUUUCCAUACCAAAUUACUAGAAAUUUUUUUAUACAUAUUUACAAAUGUCAAAUAUAAUUUUUUUUCACAUUUUUAUACAUAUACAAGCCAGUUAUACUAAAUGUACAAGACAUUUUCAUAUUUUUACUAACAUCCAUAAAAUCAUGCAAAUAUAUUCACAAUGAGCAAAUGUGUACAAGUUUUGCACGACUAGUACAAAUACGUUAUACAUUUUAGUACAAAUUACCUUGUAAACGUGUGAAAAUAUAAAAAAUUGUAUUUGACAUUGAUACAUGCAUGUAAUCAAUGUUUCCGAUGCUAUUAAAACAAAUAAAGAAAAUGAAGAAAAAAACUAUAUUCAUAGUAGGCAACUUUUAUAUGUCUUGUACACCUAGUGCAAAUGCCUUGUACAUUUAGUAAAAGUACUUUGUAUAUAUGAAAAUGUAAAAUAUAUAUAUAUUGGAAAUUUAUGCAUGUAUAGACAAUAUUUCCAAUGAUUUGAUAUAAAAAACAAACCAUGAGAAUAAAAAAUAAAAUAAAAACAUGCAAAUAGAUAAGUGUAAAUGGUAAAGGGUAUUUUUGUCGAUAAAUUUUCAUGGCCUUAGCAGCAAUUAUGCAAAAUAUGUGGCCUUUAAGGCCAUUAUCAAAUUCAUCUACCCCUUUAACAUAAUUGUCCAUUAAAAAUGUCUCCCCCCUAACAUUGAAGGCAAACUUCAAAAGUCACAAGCGCCGAAAAGAAUUUGAACUUUUAGUUUAUUCAAGUCCAAAAUGGAAAUUCUUCAAGAGAUCAAAGUUUGUACACAAAAUUUUCAAGUUCAAAUCCAAGUCAAAGGCUUUUGAAUCUGAGAUCAAGCAUUCAAGCAUUUGAGUUAGUGUUUUUUAGAGUAAUGAAGAACCAGAAGGCAAUUUAAGGAUUGCAUUUCUUUUAAUUCCCUCCCAUGGGUUGCAACACAACUGACUUCAAAAGUUUAGGCUUCUUUUUUAUAAGGUAGUCCCAAUAAACAUCUAGCAGUAUCUUUCAUAAUUAGAUUGGAUUUAGGAAGAUUUAGGUUACCUUUGCUCUCUUAAAGAAUGAAAUGAAAUCGUCGUCUGCAAGCUGCCCAAUACACCACUGAAUCCAUAUAACAUCAUAUCUCCCUGUUUCUGGAGUGAAGUCCUAAAACAAAUGCAAGAAAUUUAUCAUGGGGCUGAAAAAUCACCUACAGCACAAGACAAAUAUACAAGAAUUAACAGAAGUCAUAUUAUUUUCCCAGCCUGUAGGAUUUAUUUCAUUAAUAUGCAUGGGCAUAGAGAGUACCACCAUCACUUGAAAUAUUUCUCCAUCAAGGAUCAAAUCAAUUAGCUCAUCAUAGUUAUCAUCGUACAUCAUACUCAUCAAUGUAAUAAAAUAGCUGUGUGAUACAUUUUUGGAACAUUUUUGUAGUAAGUUUUUACAAUGUUUUUUCCUUUUAAUGAUCUCUAAUAGGAGUUGAUGCUUGUAGCAUUUGCAAACACCCUUUUAAAGUUCAAAAAAAAAAAUGUCACUUCUUGGGUGAUGUGAAAGCAGAGUUCAAAACCCUUCUUAUUAGCAUUUUUUUUUUUUUUUUUGUUCAAUAAAAAGAAGCAACUUAUAAAAGAGAAACACCAAAAGAAGUGUUCCAAAGUACAGAAAGUAUACAAAGGAAUUCCUAGAGGCGACACAAAAAACAAAGGGGGACACCAAAAAACAACCCCCCUUAACCCAAACCCAACCAAUCCACAAAGUCAACAGUGGAAAGAGGACUAGGAACCAUAUACAAUUUGCACCACACCCAAAGAUUACAAAAGAAAGAGAAUUUGAGCCCUUGAAUCAACCGCCCCUCAUUUUCAAACACCCUACUGUUUUUUUCCUUCCAAACAGUCCAGAAAAGGCAUAAGGAGCAGCCUGCCACACCUUUUUCCUUUUUUUGCCCACAAAGAAACCUUUUUUUUAUUGGUAAAUAAGAUUUGUAUUAAAAGAAAGAAAGUAUACAUGUUGUAUACAAAGAAAACCAAAGACAAAAAAAGGUGCAAAAACACAAAACCCGCUACCACGCCCUAACGAGAGCCUACCCAAUUCACAAAAUCUAACAACGAUAAUGAACCAUCCUCAAUAUACAACCGAGCCCAAUCCCAAAAUAGAUACAAGAAAGAAUUUUUAAUAACUUGGUCCAUGCUUUCAUAGUUAUAAAAAGCUCUCCUAUUCCUCUCCCACCAAAAAGUCCAAAAAGGACACAACGGAGCAACCUUCCAAGCUUUCUUCCUCUUUUUACCAACAAAAGUCCCAUGCCAACUCAGAAGAACCUCUCUAACUGAAGAAUGCAUCACCCAUUGGAUACCAAAAAGCACAAAUACCAACUACCCCAAAAUACAAGCUUUCGAACAAUGGAUGAGGAUAUGGUCACUUGUUUCUUCUUCUUCCUUACACAAGUAGCAUCUAUUAAAAAUCCUUCAACCCCUCCUUUUGAGCUGAUCAAGAGUCAAGAUCCUGGGCCCUAGUUGCUUCGCAAGCAAAAAUUGUAGGCACCCAACAAUUCCACAAAAUGCCAUAGGGGAAUGACUCCAGUCUCCUAUUUGCCAAAGAGGAGUAAAAGGACUUAACAGAAAAAGCAUCAUCCUUUGUAGGUAACCAAACCAUAACAUCAUUAGUCUCCAAAGAUAAGUGGUGAGCGGACAAUCUCCCAAAUAAGGCUUGCACCUCCUCAAGUUCCCAAUCAUGAAACCGCCUACUAAACCUAGGACUCCAGAAGCGCCUCUCUAACAAAAGCCUUGCCAUCCUAGAAGCGCCUCUUUAACCGAAGCCUUUCCUAGACUCCAUCCAACUUCAAAAAACCUAAAUCUGAAGCAAUUUUCCAUCAAACAAUUUCCAUACUGUUUCAUUUGUAUAGCACUUUAACAGCAAGGUCCAGGUGGCACCUUUCAACUGAUAUAAAGUAUUCUGGUCUUCUGUAUGGAAGGAAUGUAGUAUUCUGGUUUUGAAGUUUAUAUAACUUGUUUGCUACAAGAUGUUUCACAGAACUUAGAAAACUAAAGUUUGUACUGAGACAAACCUUAACAUUUGUCUUUUGGUAGGCAAGACCAACCUUAGCAUCAUCGUCCUGAUAUAAAUUUGCCUUUCUAUCUUCCCAUUUAAAUCUUCAUCAAAAAGAUACUUAAAUGAUGUAAAAAUUGUAAAAACUAUGUAAAGAUUUAGCAACUAGCAAUUAACCACAACUAAAUUUUUGGAUGGAGGACUCCUUUAAGUCUUACACAUUCGAGGAUUCUUAGGCAACAACAGAGCCUCUACACUGGAAAGCCUUGCAGGUGAUGAGUGACCUAUGGCUUGCAAUCAUAUUUUUAGUGAAGGCUCUUCUAGGAUACUCUAUCAAGCUCCCAGCUAUCUUUGCUAUCAUCGCCAUUUUUUAUCUUGUUUCUCUUUUAAUUUGGUAUGAAAGAGUUUAUCCUUCAUUUUAUCAUAUCACUUCUUACAAAGUGUUUAUGUCAUGACAAUUCACACAAAAACACACAUACUAAAGUCUAAAGAUUAAUUUUUUUGGACUGGUCAUAGAAUGAUUUUUCUGGUUAGGUUUCUUUAGCUUCAUUAGAAAUAAUUUUAAGGCUAAUCAAAUAUCAAGCCAAAAGUACUUUGUUGUUAAAGACCCAGAGGCACUUUAAUUUCUGUCUGUUGUUUCCAGAAACAAGUUUUUAAAGUUUGUUCAAGGAACAUAUUUCGUUGUUUUGUCACUGUAAGUUUUCAGUUUUCUGUUUUUAGGUAACAAUAACUUGUGAAUAAGAGGGAACACAGAUUUUCUGUUUGAUCAUAUUCCAGAAAUAGCUUUAAGAAUGAAAGCCACAGAACUUAAUGAAAAAAAAAUGGGGAUUGACCAUGUCUAUAACACAAAAAAGGAGGGGAAAAAAGGGAAAAUAAAGAAAUGAAUGGAGAGCUAGUCUUGAAGAAAUCGUCUGAAUCAAUUCAGAGAUGGGAUAUAUUUUGGCUUCCAACAAAGUAGAAUAACUUCCAAUGACUUGUUUAUUUGAUUAGCUGCAAAGGGGUAAAAGACAGGGAAAGGCAAGGGGAAGAGUGUUGCUGAUGAACUGAAAUAGGUUUGUGCUGCUGUAGAGUUUAACGGUUUCCUACAGCUGAAGACCUAAGAAAGAUGAGUUUAGUAAAGACAUACCAAAUUGAACCAACUGACGCUUUGUCAAUUUAGACAUAUCACAUGGUCGGCAUAUACAUGUCUUGACAUACACAUACAUCACUAAGAUUUACAUGAAAUGUCUAGACAAAUUUAUCAAUCCUUUAAAUGAUCCAUAUUUUGAAUUCCAUCUGAAGCGAAGAUGAUACUAAUUGAAUCCCAUGAUAAAGCUAUUAACCUGAAAAAAAAGAUGCUCCUUGUAUAGAGAAAAAAAAAGAGAGAAAAUAAUAGAGUGUAUAUGAAUUUAUUGCAAUGAAUAUUCAAAUUUCCCUCUAACUGCCUUAAAGCUCUUUCCCAAGAGCUGAACCUCCAAAGACUAGUAGGGGGAUUGAAGGUCAACGAAAGAACAAGCUCCAAGAGAUUUUGAAACCUUUCCUGGAAGUGAAAAUUAUACAUUGGGAAGUCAAAAGAAAAGAAGCAGAGAGAACUUGAAAGGUUUAAAUUGAUGGCACUCAAAUGAUAACAGGUUAUUUUGAAAAGGAAACAGGUAAUUUCUUUAAACAUUUUGAGAUUUUAGGCAACAUUUAAGCUCAAUUGGGAAGGGGAAAAAACAGAAGGAUAAAAAGGUCAGCAUGGUGAGUAACAGGCAAUUGACCCUUCAAAUAUUUAACUUAGGACCCAUUUUCUGCUGCUUCCUGGCAGUCCCAAAAUAUGUUUUGGCUCGUCACAAAUGCUUUAGAGAGUUUUAAACUACACAUUAAAUCAUUUUAAUCCAGAAGAGAAUUGGGAUUCAGAAGUUCUUCUUAGCAAAGCUAGGAUUACUGUGCUUUCCAACAAAGAUACAUGAAGAGGUUUUUGGACUUCUAUUUUUUUUUUUUUUUCCCCUAAUAAUUUUGGAAAUCCACCUCUUCUCUAAAUAGGUCCUCUUGAAGAACUUUACUGGAAACAGCAGCUGUGACAGACAGCCCAUUUGUGGUUUGAAUGGGGAACUUUAUAAGUUAGCUCUUCAAAUGGCAAACUCAUAAGAACAUUGAACAGAAAAGGGAGCAUGGAAGGGACAUGAGAGCAUGGGAAUGGAGUGGAUGAUUGCAUAUUAUAAGGAGUUCAUACAUUUGGGACCUGUAGAGAACUACAUAUGAAAUCAACAUUGUUAGUGGGGAAUAGUGCGUAGCACACUGAUGAUAUUAGUAAAAAAUAUCUCAAAGAGAAGUGUCCAUAUUCAUAUAGAUAAUUAAAAAGACAGCUAAUCUGGUACAGUAAAUGAUUAAAUAAUAGUCUUUACUGUAAACUGAAAACUUCAACAAGAAAUUAUUGGACAAGCAUUUCCCUAAGUCUUUUGUUGCAAAAUUCUUUAAUAAGAAUGCAUAGAUUUCUCUUCUGGGCAUCAUGCACCCGUCAAUAAAAAAUGAAAAAAACCUAUAAAAAAAAAUUAAAAAAUAGAUUUCUCUUCUUAUAAAUUGUUUCAUACAUUGAAAUCAUCCGAAUCUCUUAGUAAAUCAACUUGUUUCAAGUUAGUUUCAAGUAUUGUCCUUAUAGUUGCAGAUCUGUUAUGAGAGAAUUUCGAGGAGGCUGGAUGGUUGGAAAAAGGCUUUUUUGUCUUUGGGAGGGAGGAUUACUCUAAUUCAGUCUUGUCUGUCUCACAUCCCUAGCUACUUCCUCUCCCUCUUUAAAAUCCCAGCAUCAAUAGCUUCAAAGAUUGAGAAGAUGCAAAGGGAUUUUCUUUGGCCUGGGGCGGGGGAAGGGAAGAAAGAUCAUCUUAUAAGAUGGGAGGUUGUUAGUAGACCAAAGAAGUUAAGAGGUUUGGGUUUUGGGAAGACUUCUAUGAGAAAUAUUGCUCUCUUAGGGAAAUGGCUUUGGAGGUUCCUUAGAGAAAGGAGUGGUCUUUGGCAUAAGGUUAUUGCAAGUAUAUAUGGGACACAUCCUAAUGGAUGGGACGCCAACAUGGUGGUUGGAUGGUCACACAGAUGUCCAUGGAAGUCUAUUGCUCAAGUUUUCCAGGUUUUUUCCCCUUUUGUCCGCCUAGUUGUGGGCAAUGGGGAGAGAAUUCAUUUUUAGGAAGAUCUUUGAUGGGGUAACCAAACUUUGUGUUCUCAAUUUGCUGAUCUUUACAGAGUUAUUUAUGUGAAAAACCUCACUGUCUCAAAUGUCCUUGGCAAUUCAUUUCCACUGUCUUGGAAUUUUAACUUUCGCCGCAAUCUUACAGAUUCAGAAAUUGAUCUCCUUCAGAGAUUAAUGUCCUCCCUUAGUUAUGUGCUUUUCUAUCCUUCUUUAGCAGAUUCAAGAGCGUGGUCUUUAUCUUCGUCAGGAUUGUUUUCAGUGAAAUCUUUUUUCUUGGCCUUGUCAAAAAUCUCAAAUCCUAUCUUGUUCCUUCCGGCCAAGUUCUUGUGGAGUUCAAAAGUCCCUUCAGAGGUUAAGGCCCUCGCUUGGUUAGUAGCAUAUGGGAAGGUAAACACCAAUGAUAAAUUGCAAUUGAGAAGACCCUACAAAUCCCUCUGUCCUCAAUGGUGCAUUCUUUGCAAAGGAAGUGGAGAGUCGAUUGACCACCUUUUUCUUCGUUGUCCUAUUACCAUUGGACUCUGGCACAAGUUGUUCAAUCUAGCAAGCUUGGUUUGGGUCCCUCCAAGGAGUUUUGAGGACAUGUUGGUUAUUACUUUUAAAGGCUUGGGAAACUCAUUAAGAGGCAAGACACUUUGGCAAAUCGCUUGCCUUACGUUGAUUUGGUUGGUGUGGCAAGAGAUAAAUAAUAGGAUCUUUGAGGACAAAGGGAGAACGGAAGAGAUGUUAUGGGAUUUAAUUCGGUUCUAUUCUUCUCUAUGGCCUUCUUGUACUGAAGCUUUUAGAGGAGUUCCUCUAAGUGUUUUACAACUCAACUGGAUUGCGGUUUGUGCUUCAAAAGUUUGAAGUUUGUUGGGGUUUCUCUUUGUUUUUAGAGUUCUAUUGUUGGGAGUUUUCUCCUUUGUUCAGUUUGUGUAGGAAGGACCUCUCAUCCUUCCCUUGCUUUCUUCUCUUUCUUUUGUAACUUUUCUUUCUCCUGUAUCUUUUCUUCUAUUAAUAUAUUCUUCUUCGUUUCCGAUCAAAAAAAAAAAUGCAAAUCUUACAAGAAUCCAAGUGAAAAAAUAAAAGAUUGCAGUUUCUAAUUGGGCCACAAAGCAGAGGAGCUGUAACUAAAAGCCAAAUUCCCAAAAUGUCACCAAGUUCUAUGCAUUGAAUGGUUUGGAUAGCUAACAACCCUAUUAGUUAAUCGGAUCAUUACUUAAACCUGAUCUGUUUAAUCAGAAUUUAGUAAAGAAUUUCCACAUGGUAGUCUGUUAAAUGCAUCCAGAGAGAAACCUUGUCAUCGCAUUCCCCCCCGAGCCAAAGCAAGGUGCAUCAUGUGUGCCUCACUGACCCUGUAUGGCUUUUUCGCACCUAGGGAAAAUUUUAAUAACACUGAGCAAAUGCAACCGAAAUGGUCCAGAACAGACAAGAAUGAUCCAAAAUGGAUAAAAGCUGGACAAUUUUAAGAAAUUGGAACAUAGGUGCUUUCACCUAGAAUUCCCAUCUAAAACAGAAUGUUUCAGCUCAUUUUGACAAAAUGAAGCAAAUUUCAUAACACAUGAAAUCAGAUGAAAUUUGAAAUCCCCAUUUUAUAAAUCAAAAUAUUCUAUUUUCUGAUAAGCACAGUUAAAUGAAUCAUCUGCCUAUCCAUUAAACAUGAAUGAAUUCAUUCUAAGAGUUUAAUAAAUGAUCUACCUUUCCUUUUUCUUUUCUUUUUCUCUUUCUUUUUUUUUUUUUUUUUUUUUUUUUUUUGUUUUUUCUUUCUUUUUCUUUUAAUGGUUAUUAUUACAUUAAUUUUGGUGAAAACACCCUUCUACUUAACCAAAUCGUUUAUUCAAAUGCUAUCAAAAUCAAAGCUGAUAAAUUUUGCAGCUACCACGAGAAGCCACUAUUAACACAUUUUUAUAAGAAAACAUAGACAAGUCAAGGCUCUAAACAGUUACCCUAAGACAAUAAAAUGCAAUCACUUCCUUUUUUGGGGGGCAAACCAAGCGGUUCUUGGCAUGCAUAUAUGUUAGUGUCACUAAAGAUUUAUCAGAUAUGAGUACAUUAUCAAUUGAUUAUUCUUUCUCCUCUUCUUUUCACCUCUUGGUUAAGCAACCUUCUUCAAUUAUCAAGGAGUUGGUUUAUUCAAAUCUAGAUUUCAUAUAUCAAACUUCAAAUCUGUAGAUUUAUGGACACGGUGAUCUAUAGCAAUUAUUCACUUUGAAACUGUACAUGUGUAUAGCAGAGUUUUUAUUAUGUGCAUGUGAGUAAUAUCCAACUAGAUUUACCUGAAGUGGAACACAAUAAAAGUUGGCUGCCUUGUGCAUAUCCGAAAACAUAAGCUUUCCAGAAGCCAAAGUUUCACGGGCAGCCUCCAAGAAAUGCGAUGCUGGCUCAACAAGAUCAACCUAUAUCCAAACAAAUUACAUUAACCAUUGAAAAACCUAACACAAACAAUCAGUUGAAUCAUGAAAUUCAAACUGUCAGCAGGUUUACAACAGGAACCAGUUUAGAAAACCCAAGAUUUAUUGCAGGCUGAUGGAACAAUCUAAUUCAUGAUAAGGGCAAUUUGACAUGGACUAGUUUGAGCAUGUAAACAGUUGAUCUAAAGUUGGAUUAAAUAGUGAGUUUUUCAUAUAAAUGAUGUUUUGUGAAGGCUAUCUUAUGUAUAUUAGCAGUAUCUGCAUUUUUUAAAUGCAUGAUAAUACUCAUUCUUAUCUGCUCAUCAAAAGAAAGAACAAGAGAACAAAGAAGGAUUAGAUAUCUGUGAAGAAAUAAAAACAAGUACCCACCCCUAAACACACCAUGGACAAAGCCCUAAUUAAAACAAUACACUACUUAGCAGAAAUAACCCUACUCCUUGAGAAAGGAGCCCCACAACCCAAAAGGAUCAUGAUAAUAAGAAUGCCUGCAAACUCCUUGGUAAAUGAUACCAAAGAGAAGUCAAGAAGUGAUUCUGUCCCACAAUCCACCACAUCUCUGCCUGUAUUAAAGAAAUUUUGGGGUUCUUCUUACCCCAGACCCCGUAUAGUGUGGCUAGUAACACAGCAAUGCUAUAAAAGACUGCUCCUAGCAUUCAUGCUGGAGUCUUGAAAAGAAAUAACCAACAUGUCCAAGAUCACAUCAGGACCACAGAUUGGACCCUAGCAAAAGAAGAUGAAAGAUACUGCAAGAAGACAAGCCUUAAAAGAAAUGCAGAAGUCAGCUUGCUUCUUGCUCCACCCACAAAAAGUGGCAUUUGUGAAGGUUAUAAGUUUUGUAGGGUCCCCUGAACUAAAGCAAGUUGUCAGCAAGUGAGCCACUAAAUAAGCAAGGGUUUUGACUUUCAUGGGAGCUUUAACUCCUAAUGAACUUGAGGGGAGAAACCAUAUAAAAUUUGCUACUUAGAAAGGAUAAGCAAGAAGGAUUUCAUAGAAAAUAAACCUGAUAUAAAAAACAAGAAGAGACUCUUCAUAAAAGGUAGAAAAAAAAUGAAAAGAGAAAUUCUAGAGACUAACCCAUCAAAAGCCAAUCCUAACAAACUCAAAAAACCAAUCCCCCAAACCCCUAUCCUCAACCCCCAAACAGACUUAUAGGAAUAUCAAUGAACUCUUCAAUUGGUAAGACCUAAAAAGAAGCCAAGGAACUAACUUAUGUUCAGUAAGUUCAAUUGCUCUCUGAUAGACCUCAAUGUGUCCUAAACAUAAAUCACCACUUCCAACCAUCUUUAUCCAACUAAUAAAUGACCACUAGUCACCAUGAUAUUGCUAAGAUCAUCAUCACCUUCCAUUGAUUGCUAUAAAAAAUUACCAUUAUCAGCAUUCUUAACACACAAUUGUUGCUAGAAUCACCGUAAUGACCUACUCUCAAUCGUAUAGAUAUUGUCCGCUCUAAACCCAAGAGGGCCUUCACGGUUUUAAAAUGUGUCUACAUGAUUAAGAGGAACUCAUAGUUAUAUAGUGUCAAGACCUUUCUCAUCUACCCGAUGUGGAUAUCACAAUCGCCUCCCUAUGCAAACACAAUGUCCUCGUUGUGUCCCACAAGAUUGCGAGGCUAAACAAAUAGCACCCCUCAUAGGACCAAACAAAUCCCCACACCAGAGUCAAGGAUUGGCUCUAAUACCGUUUGUAAUGAUCCACUCCCAUCCAUAUAGAUAUUGUCCACUCCGAGCCCAAGAAGGCCUUCACGACUUUAAAACGCAUCUACAUGGUUAAAAAGAGUUCAUACUUAUAUAACGCCAUGAACUUUCUCUCUUUUCUAAUGUGGGAUAUGACAAUCACCAUCCUCAUGGUCAUUAGCACUACAUCCAUCACCUUUAAUUCUUUAUUACCACCACCAUUAUCGGCAUUCUUAACACUCAAUUGUUGCUAGAAUCACCAUCCUAAUGGUCAUCAGCACUACAUCCACACCUUUAAUGCUUUAUUAUUACCACCACAUUUCUCAAAAUAGCAACAAUUAGUAUAUCACCCUUAACCACCUCCCAUCGAGGUCACCAAUACUUUUGUCAUCCUCCUGAUGAGUGAACAUCUAGCUGCCAAUUCCUACCUAGCUUUUUUUUUUUUUUCUUCCCUUUUUUAAUAGGCAAAAGAAUUUUAUUGAAAAUGCCAAAUAAAAAGGGACGCUCCCCAACUACAUAGGUUGUAUACUAAGGGCACUAAGCAACAAAAAGAGAAAGUAGAAACACAACAAAGCCAACACCUCCCUAUGCUGAACAAAAUCCAAUUUGUUGCCUUUGUUUAGGUUUUGGGGAAUGGAGAGGAAGCCAUUGUAAAUUAGAAUUAGGCUUGCAAGCUGAAGCACACAGGAGAUUUGGGGAUUAGGAGGAUUAGGAAUGGAGCACUCUUGGGCAAGUGGAUUUGGAAUUUUCCUAGGAGGAUUGAUUCGUUGUGGCUUAAUGCUAUUAGAAGUAUCUAUGAAUUACAUUAAAAUCAAUGGUUACUAAAUCCGAUUUCCCCUUUUAAAACUUUGAUUUUUGAGUAGCUAGUCAAAUCAGGAAGUUGAGAAAUCCUUCCUACACUUUAUAGAUUGUUUACCCCUCUCUUGUCACUCAUGGACUUUGGUUCCUCCAUAUCAAUUUUAUCUAUCUUUUUUCACGCUUUUCUGAGACCAAUUCUUCAAUUGUCUUUCCAUAGCACAAUUUCAUUUGAAAGUUAUUCUGACUGAAGUCAAAGUCUUUGCAUGGUUAGCAAUCAGUACAACAGUAAAUACCAAUUACAAGAGUAGCAAGAAUGGUAAAAAGGGUACAUUAUAUGCAAGGAAGAAAGAAUUAAUCAAAAGAUGUUUUAAAAGGCUUGCUGGAAUUGGAUUGGUCCACUCUAGUAUUGCUUCCAUAGAAAUGGAGCAUUGUCAUUCUCAGUAUAUACACAAAUACCAAGACAAAGUGAUCCUCUAAUAAAAGUGGGGUGCAUACAAGAAUUCCCCAAUGAACUAAAAUCAAGAUUUGAGAAAUGCAGGGUUUUCCAAGAAGAAACAAAUGGAGAACUUUUUCUUUUCUUUUUCUUUUGUUAGCUUGUGAUAUCUACAUAUAAUGAGAAUAAGAACAUGUUUUAACAGCCAAAAUAUUGACUUCCGUGUAGGUCAGCAAAAAUCAAAGGUAAAAGACCAAAUAAGAAAAUUGAAGCAAAUUUGAUGCCACAUAUCCAUUGCCAUUUUUUGCUAAAGUUUGUUUUUAUCUACUGCAACAAAUUAAGGAUUUUCUGCUCCUUCUUAUGACAGGUUUUGGGACCUAAUGCAUCAAUGGAGAUUGACCACUUGGAAGAGGAGCAAGCUCGUGCUGAAGUCUUUUCCAGUUUUCCUUUUGCAGUUAAGCAGUGCUCGUGACUGGGGGAUGGAUAAGAGGCAUGUAUAUGGAAAUCAAUCUUCUGAAACAUGAGUGAAGACACAAUUCAAUCCUUAUAUUAAGCAACACAAUAGAAAAGAUGCACUAAAAGCCAACAAGAUUUAUCAAUUCCAGAAUGUUUGCUUGUUUUGUAACUGAUACGGGUGCACAAAGGACUCUCAUUACCAGAAAAGAGAAGGCUAAUCUAUGUUUGCUUGUUUUGUAACUUCUAUGGGUGUAUAAAGGACUCUCAUUACAAGAAAAAAGAAGGCUUGUCUUACCUCAUUAAAAUACCUUAUAAGAAGAUUCUUAGUCACUCUCCCGAUGCCAGAACCACAAUCUGCAGUAGAUUUGAGUAUAAAAAUAUCAUAAUGUCAUCCAUCAAUCAAGUAGUUAUUUUCACAGCAAUUGAACACAUCACUGAUGCUGAAUUUAAAAAUUAAAAAUGCCACAACAAAAGCAGAAACCAUAACUAUAACUCGCACAGGGGAAUUUUUUUCCUUAAUCAGAUUCUAAAAGUUCACACAAGGAUUUGAAAAUUUUGCAUUCCCUCUGAAACUUGUUUAUAAGCUAUUAAAUUUUUAGAUGUUUUAUGGUAUCAAAAUUGCCCUUAUGGAUAGGAUUGAACUAUGUAAAUAACAAAUAAAUUUUUUGGUGAUUCAGCUAAACUAAACAUUAUUGUUGUCAAGGAAGCAAUUUAUCCUAAUACUCUCUCAAUCAAUACAUUUUUUUCCUUCAGAAUGAAGCAUUGUUUCUGUAUCCACAACUCUAGAACCAUUAUCUGUAAUGAGCUUCAUGAAAGUUUAGCAUUCAUUCAAUAUCAUGGUCACAUUUUUCUUCCAAAUUAUUCAAGUUUCAUCCAGAUUUUCUAAUCUAAAGAAUAAUUCAUUCCUGAAUAUAUAAUAUUAAAAGCAUUAAUUUUAGAAGCCAAACUUGGUCUCUAGACACCAGAUAUUAUUAAAAACUUUCAGGUGAAACUAUUAUUAGUGAAACCGACCACAUCAAGGAAGCAUACCAAAAAAUCAGCUUCGUGGAGCAGACCAAUUCUGUAUUGCCCUUCUCUAUAUUAAAGAACUUUUGAAUUAGUAACUGUUUAAUCAUAUCAAGUUCAGAAGAAAGUCAACUUUUUUUUUUAUUGGACAUUCAGAAGAAAGUCAAUUGAUGAGGACUUUUCUUUUUUCUGUUUUUAAUAGAAUGUAACUUUUCAUCUUUUCAACUAACCUCAGCUUCUGAUCUGAAUGAUCUCAAAUUCUGACAUAUUAGCGCCGACUCAUGAAACUUCUAUCAUAUUAAAAACAACACGUACAUGUUGUGCGCACAAUUAACUUUAUUUUUAAUACAAAAUUAUCAGAAUUAACAUAUAAUAAUAAAAAAUAAUUAUGCAACAGUUGAAACCUUUAUUUACUGGUAACUAAAUAAAGAAGAUGUGACUUAAAAUAAUGUGGAAAUAAAAAAUUCAUGUUGGUAAUUUUUUUUAAAUAUCUUUUUUUUUCGUGGUGGUGCCCACAAAGUAAAUUACAAUUUUAUUCUUGUCAUCAAAUUAAUAAUCUAGCUAAAAGCAAGGUUAGAUAAAUUAAUUAAUAGUAUAAUGACAAUAGAGAGCCUCUCCAUCUGCAUUCCUAACAACAUAGAUUUAGGCAAGCAAAAAGGAAAAGAGAAAACAAAAAACCACCUCUCUCUUCUUGGUUCGAACUCAACUAAUCAAUAAAGCCUAUGAUUGACGUAAAAUGAAAGUCUAUAUAUACUCUAGCACAAUAAGUCCAAGAAAAAAAAGGACACACAUAAAGGAAGAUUUGAUUACUUGACCCGACUGUUCUACACCUUCAAAAGACUUUCUAUUUCUUUCCUUCGGUAACAUCCAAAACAGGCACAAAGGAACAAUCCUCCAAGCCUUCUUCCUUUUCCUCCCACAAUAGAACCAUACCAACUCAAAAGAUUGCCUCUAAUAGAGAUUUUUUUUUUUUUGAUAGAUAAAGAAACAAAUUGAAUUAAAAAGAGCCACCAAAAUAGCAACCCAAGGUAUACAAGAGACAAAGCUCCCUCCACCACCAAGGCUUAAACAAGAGAAAAAACCAAAAGAAUUAGAGCCUCAACAAGUGCCCAACCAAUCAAAGAAUCUCAGUAAAGUCAAAGGACAAUCAUCUGUAAACAACUUAGAUUUUGAUAAAAGAAAGCAAACAAAAUCACUUUUCAGCCUUUGGAAAUAAAACACCUCCUCAUCGAAUGCAAUUUUCUUCCUUUGUCUUCCAAACCCAUCCAAAACAAACAUAGAAGGCUUACACUUCAAACCUUCUUGCGUUUUUUUUACCUACAAAAGAACCAUGUCAUCCCAACAGAGUCUCUUUAACCAACAAGGGAAGCACCCAAGAUACCCCCAAAAAGCACAAAAAGCAACUCCCAUAAAACCCAAGUCUUUUCCCCAUGCUCAUUUCCAAACAAAUGGCAAAAAUAACACCUAUUUGCUAAAGACCAUCCUCAUCUCUAAACUUGAUCCAAGGUUAGAACUUUACCCCAUGCUACCUCCACGCAAAAAAAAAAGACCCUAUGCUACACCCAAUUCCUCUCAUUGGAUAAGACUUGAAGUUGUCUGGUUCUAAAGCAUUGUAAAGGGAAUUAACUGUAAACUUGUCACUCUUUGUUGUUGUCCAAAGCAUUGUAUCUUCUACAUCCCUACACACUCUCUUCCCACGCAAACAUGAUAGAAAUCUCUCCAUGCAAUCCACCUCCCAAUCAUUAAAAGGACUAGAAAAACAAGGAUUCCACCCCCUCCCCUCCUCCCUUCAACAUAAUUCCAAACAUCCUCCACCCAAAUAUCCUUGGAAUUGACUAAAGCAAAUAAAGAAGGGAAAGACACACUUAACAUAUUGUCCCCACACCUCUUAUCCUUCCAAAAUAUCACUCAUCGCUUGUUACCCAUCAAGAAGGAACACCUAGUUCUCACAAGAUCCCAAUCCUUCCAUAUCGCUUUCCGCAACCCAACCCCAUACCCCUCUCUCACCUCUGGAGAAGACCACCCCCUUCUUUCUUCUUCAUACUUCCUACGGAUAACCUAAUUCCAAAAGGCCCAUCUCUCAUUCGUAAAACGUCAACUCCACUUGCAAAGGAGAGCCUCUUAAGAAUUGAAAGACUCUUAACACUCAAACACCUUUCCUUUUGUCUAAGCAAAAAAUUCCUCAUUUAACAAGAUGUGGCUUACGCUCUAACACCCCACCUCCCCAAAAAAAGCCCCUCUAAAUAUGUUCUAACCUCAUUCUAACAACCUUAGGAAUACAAAACAAAGACAUAAAAGAAAUGGGCAAGCUAAAUAAAGUACUCCGAGUUAAAGUAAGUCGUCAUCCUCUGGAAAUGUAUUAUCUUUGCCACAUGGACAACCUUUUACGAAAUCUCUCUUCUACUCCAUCCUAAGUUGUCAUAGAGUUAAGCGAAGCACCUAAAGGGAGACCUAAAUAAGUGGAUGGAAGACAACCCACCUUGCACCCAAACUCAGUAGUUAGGUCAUCCAUAUUAUCCACCUUUCCCACAAGAAUUAACUCAUUUUUCUCUAGAUUAAUUCUCAACCCUAGAAUCGCCUCAAACCACAUAAGCAGCCAACAUAAAUAAGUGAUCUGAUCUCGAGAGGCCUGACAGAAAAUAAGAGUGUCAUCUGCAAACAACAAAUAAGAAAUCUAAACACUUUGCCCAAACCUACCUUGCACUUCACAACUAGAUAAGAAACCUCCAGCCAUGGCCCUCUUUAAAAGGGAACUAAGCACCUCCAUUGCAAUCACAAAUAAAUAAGACGAAAGUGGAUCCCCCUGUCACAAUCCCCUAGAGCUGUGAAAAAAGCUUGUGGGAGUGCCAAUCACCAAAAUAGAAAACCUUACUGCGGAGACGCACCCUUGAUCCACCCAAUCCACUUCACACCAAAACCCAUUCCAUGCAAAACCAAAAGCAAAAAAUACCAGUCCACAUGAUCAUAAGCCUUCUUGAUCAUAAACCUCUAAUAAAGGAAUGCAUCACCCACGCGACUCCAAGCAGAGAAAAAACCAACUACCAUAGGAGAAUUGCUUUGGAACAAUGAAGAAGCAAGUAAUCAGCUGAUUCUUCAUCCCUUUUACACAUGUAGCAUCAAUUUGGAAUAUUCUAACCCCUCCUUUUGAGUCGAUUAAGAGUUAAAAUCCUUCCUCAAAUAGCUAGUCAAGUAAAGAAACCUAACUUCAUCAACACCUAAGGGUUCCAUACUAUGCUUGCAAGGAAAUACUCGCUCCUUCCCUUGGCUAAGGAUGUAGGCAAGGAUUUGAUAGAGAACUUGGAAGUCUUGGUUUCCUUCUAGCCAAAUUUGUCCUCCUCAUCACUUCUAAUUGAGAUUGACUGCAAUCUCUAGAAGAAGACCUCCACUCCCUUCAAUUUCUCAUAGUGGAACAAUAUAAUCAAACCCACCCCCCCUCCCCUUAUCCUCUCCUUAAAAACCUAAUCCNNNNNNNNNNNNNNNNNNNNNNNNNNNNNNNNNNNNNNNNNNNNNNNNNNNNNNNNNNNNNNNNNNNNNNNNNNNNNNNNNNNNNNNNNNNNNNNNNNNNUCCCACAAUUUUGCUAUCUAAGUGUCUUUAUGAAAUGACUAAAAAAUAACACUGGGAAAGACUUUUCCAAAGAAAUUUCACAACAACAUCCAUCUUUCUAGAAUUUUAUACUUUUGAAGACUUCCCAUCCAUUUCCAAUAUCCCUCCAUAGCCUCACCAUUCCUUACCACCCUUGGGCACCAUCCCCCUUCUUUUGUCCCAUACCUCCCUAUUAUGGCUUGUUUCCAAAGGAUCAUUGGAUUCUAAAAAGUCUUUUUUCCUUCUUAACAUCCACUCAUUUUAACUCACCUCAAGAUUUCAAGUAAAGUUUGGAAGAGCCUCCGUUGAAGGAAAACAAAUAGUGCUUUGAGAGUUGAAAUAUCUUGUUCUUCAAUUAACUCCAGCAAACUAAUGGGAAAAAAAAGUGUGUGUGUGUGUGUGUGCGUUUCUUUUUUUGACAGGCAAAUGAGAAAAACGAAUAAUAAACCUAGCAGCGUACUAGUCUUCCUAUUUAUGUAUUUAAAAGGAAUGGAUCCUAAGUGCCACAAAGGCAUAUUCAAUAAUUCAAGCUUUAACAAUAUAGCCUACAUCAAAAGCUUUGCCUUAGGGAAUGUGCAACCCUUCCAAAACUCAUUUAGGACCAGUGAAAAUAGGUUGUCCUACCUAUUAGACUCACAAACCCAAAGUAUCAUCAUUGGCAAUCAUCUGAUAGUUGCACCUAAAAUUCUUAAUGCAUAAUGUUCUCUUUUAUAAGAAAUAGAAAAUUUUUUAACAAAUAAAAUGAAACCAAAUAGAGCACCACGAGGAUAAAAAAAAAUUCAUCAGUAUAUAGCUAACCAAAACUAAACUAAAACAAAGCCAAAUUACACACCUAAUGAAAAUCAAAUUAAAAUAUCAAUAUUAUGUUAAUCAUCAUUCACAACAAUAUCUUCUUCAAUCUCAUUAGUGCAGAAGCUCAUACACUUUUCCACAUUUAAGCCACCCUAUAGUCAUUAUUCUCAUGAAAGACUCAAUCUACACGGCCUUCAGCCUUUAAAGAAACACCAUAAGCAAGGGGUUCCAAGUUCGAUCCCAUGCACCAAAAAGGAGAAAAAAUUUGCCAAAUGUUUGACAAUGUACUAAUUUCAGUUAAUAAACAUAUAGUUUAAAACUACGAUAGCUAAUGCAAAAGAGUGAUGUCACAACUUUGCAAAAUGCUUCUCUAAAGUUUUUUUUUUUUUUGAUAGAUAAACAACCAAAUAUAUUAGAAAAGGCUAAGAAGCCGCACGUAUACAGGGGGUAUACUGAACAGCCCAAAACAAGGCUGAAACAAACAAAAAAGGGGAAAAGCCUCACCCACCCUCAAGUGGUCGCAAGCCACUCCAAAAAGCCUAAAAGAGAGUAGGUUUCCUCACCAAUGUACACCUUAUCCCAACUCCACAAGUUACAUACAAAAACAAUUUUGAAUUUCUGAAUAUCUAAAGACCCUCCCCUGAAAGUUAACCUAUUCCUUUCCUUCCAAACCGUCCAAAAUAUACACAACGGGAUGGAAUUCCAUAUCUUUUUUCUUUUUUUCCCCACAAAAGAACCCCUCUAACUAAGUAACACCUCUAUAACUGACUCUGGAAACACCCAUUGAACUUCGAAAAUGGCAAGGGUAAUCUCCCAAAUAGUUUUAACCACUAUACAAUGUAAGAGAAUAUGAUUCGCAUUUUCCUCUUCGCAGCCGCACAAAUAGCACCGAUUAGGGAGCUGCCACCCCCUUCUUUGAAGCUUAUCCAAAGUGAGGAUCUUCCCCCAUGAAGCUUCCCAAGCAAAAAAAGACACUUUUGUUGGAACCUUAUCCAUCCAAAUGCGUCUAUUCGGAAAAACACCGGCUGAGGAGCCACUCAACAUUUUGUAGGCACCCUUGGCCCCAAAAACUCCAUUGCCUUCCCGUUUCCAUCUCACUGAAUCCUCUUCAGGAGAAAUCCUGAAGUCCUUCAGAAGAUUCAGCAUAUCUCCUAUCUGAUCCAGCUCCCAAUCAUUGAAAUCUCUAGCCAAUCUGAGAUUCCAACCUCCUUAACCCAGGCUAGAAUCCCAUACUUCACAAACUUUGGCAUUCUUAUGACCCGCCAAGGUAAACAACUGAGGAAAAGUUUGAGAAAGCGCCUCAUUGCCACACCACUUAUCCGUCCAAAACAAAACUCUAUUCCCCUUCCCAACCUUAAAAUCAAUGCUCUCCCAACACCAAUCGGCCUCCUUCAUGAUCUCCUUCCACAAUCCCACCCCAUAAGGCCCACAAACUUCCUUAGUCCUCCACCCACAUCCCUCUUGACCAUAUUUCACCCCUAUCGCCGUUUUCCAAAGAUUAUCCUUCUCAUAGGCAUAUCUCCAAACCCAUUUGCCCAGCAAGGCUUUGUUCAACAAGUCUAUCUUUCGGAUGCCUAAACCACCCUCCUCCUUAGGGCUGCAUACCACCUUCCAAUUGAUCAAGUGAACUUUCCCCUCCAAGCUUCCCCCCCCCCCCCACAGGAAGUCUCUUUGAAUUUUUUCAAUCCUUUUUGCCACAGCCUUAGGAAUGCGAAUAAGGGAAAGGAGGUAGAUGGGUAUGCUGGCCAAAGUGCUCUUGAUAAGAGUAAUUCUUCCCCCCUUCGAAAUAUAUUGCCUUUUCCACUGGGCUAGUCUUCUUCUCAUUCUCUCUUCCACCCCAUCCCAGGAAGAAGAGGUUUUAUGUUGGGCUCCAAGGGGCAGCCCCAAAUAAACAGUGGGUAAAGCCCCCAAUCUGCAACCUAGCUCAGCUGCCAACUCCUCCAGCUCAUCCACUUCCCCCACAGGAAUUAGAACACUCUUAGCCAGAUUAAUUCUGAGGCCGGAGGCUGCCUCAAACCACGCCAAAAUCCAGCUUAGAUUGGUAAGUUGCUCUCUUCUAGCUUUGCAGAAAAUGAGUGCGUCGUCAGCAAAGAGGAGGUGAGAAACAGUCAGCUCUUCCCCCCCUCUCCCCCGCAGCCUACAGCCUGAAAUAAAGCCCCCCUCACCAGCCCGUCUAAUAAGGGUGCUAAGCACUUCCAUACCCAAGACAAAAAGGUAUGGAGAGAGGGGGUCUCCUUGCCGCAACCCCUUUGAAUUCGAAAAGAAACCAGCUGGAACCCCGUUGAUUAAUAUGGAGAAUUUGGCAAUAGAAAUACACCACCACAUCCAAUCCAUCCAACGAGACCCAAAGCCCAUCUUCUGAAGCACCUUCAUAAGAAACUUCCAAUUGAUGCUAUCAUAGGCUUUUUCGAUGUCCAACUUGCAUAUCAUCCCUUUCUCUUUUCUUUUAUACCAAUAAUCAAUCACCUCAUUAGCUACUAGAGAAGCAUCCAAAAUCUGUCCCCCUCUCACAAAGGCAUUUUGGUCAACUGAGACCACCCUAUCCAGCACUUUCUUUAGCCUAUUUGCUAGGACUUUGGCCAAAAGUUUAUACAAACCCCCAAGCAAGCUGAUUGGCCUGAAGUCCCCCAAGUCUUCAGCUCCUCCUUUCUUAGGAAUAAGGACCAAAAAGGUGGUGUUGAGAGACUUGGCAAAGGACCCAUGCUCAAAGAAUUCCUUAAACAGAUCCACCACCUCCUCCUUCACAAAAUCCCAGCAAUCUUGCCAAAAGGCCACUGUGAAUCCAUCCGGGCCUGGAGCUUUGUCUCCCCUCAUCUCCAUCAGUGCAAAAUGGAUUUCCUCCUCAGAGAAAGGCAUCUCCAAGUCUUCAGCUUCCCGGGAAUUAAGUUGAUUGAGUUGCAGCCCCUCAAUAUCCGCUCUCCACCCCGGCUCUUCUGAGAGUAAUUUCUGGAAUGCAUUCACAAUCCCAUUCCUCACCUCUUGAUCCUCAGUCAGCAGCUCCCCAUUGAUCAUAAUCCUAUCCAGGGAGUUAUUCCUGCGGUGGGCAUUAGCCAUACGGUGAAAAUAACCGGUAUUCCUAUCUCCUUCCUUGAGCCACAGCUCCCUAAACUUCUGCCUCCAAUGAACUUCUUCCAUUAGCACCCAUUUAUAGAAGGCAUCCUUGGCUUCUUUUUUCUGCUCAGUUUCAGCUAUAGACAGACUCCUCUCACUCUCCACUCCAUCCCAGUACUCCAGCUACUGAAGGGCAGAAUUUUUGUUGACUUCCAGCCUACCAAACACCUCCCUAUUCCAAACUUUAAUAUUAUGUUUCAAAACCUUCAUCUUAUAGGCCAAUCUGAAGCUGGCCCUUCCUCUCACCUCAAUCCCUUGCCACCACCCCCGGAGAAGACCAUUAAAGUCGUCCACUUUCAGCCACAUAUUCUCGAAUCUAAACGGGGUGGGGCCCCUCCUUAUCCCCCCACCCAUCAGCAAGAUAGGAAAGUGAUCGGAAGUGGGUCUAUGCAUUCUGCAUUGGGCUACCCCACUAAACAUAUCUAGCCACUGCUGAGUCACAAGAAACCUAUCUAGUCUAGCCCAGGAUUGGUUAUUCCUGCCCCCACUCCAAGUGGCAAUACCCCCUUUUAAAAUGCUUCUCUAAAGUUUUUUUUUUGAUAAGUAAGCGAUUAUAUUAACGAAGGCAAAAGCCAAAGAGCAUACAGGGAGUAUACAAGGCUACAAACCCUUAACCAAAGAACAAAAGAACCCCACCCCUACUUGGAAGCUAUCCACUCCAAGAAACCUAUAAGGGAAUUCGACUCCAUAUCAAUGUACACUUUAGCCCAACCCCAAAAAUUAUACACAAACGAAGUCUUUAAUUUCUGAAAGGCUAACACACCCCCUUUAAAGGCGAGCCUAUUCCUCUCCUUCCAAAUUGUCCAAAAAAUGAAAAGCGGGAUGGACUUCCACACUUUCUUUCUUUUUCUCCCCACAAAAGAGCUUUUCCAACUACUAAGAACCUCCUUUACAGAAUUAGGAAAGACCCACUGAACACCACACAAUGCAAGAAUAAUAUCCCAUAAACCUUUUGCCACCGUACAAUGAAUAAGAAUAUGAUUGAUAGUUUCCUCUUCACAUCCACACAAGAAGCACCGAUUAGGAAGAUGCCAUCCUCUUCUCUGCAAUCUAUCCAAUGUAAGAACCUUCCCCCAAGUAGCUUCCCAAGCAAAGAAAAUAAUUUUUGUUGGAACUUUGGCCACCCAAACAUUGCUAUGGGGGAAGGCCGCUUCAUCAGCAUUAACCAACACCCUAUAAGCUUCCUUAACUUUAAACAGCCCGUCCGCUCCUCCCCUC
Molecule: long non-coding RNA, 97603 nt
Filed under: Vitis vinifera (wine grape)
Lineage: Eukaryota; Viridiplantae; Streptophyta; Magnoliopsida; Vitales; Vitaceae
Description: long non-coding RNA (VVIN_LNC003234)
Source: RNAcentral